UGAAUUCAAUGGUAGUAACUGUAUACCUUUUCAGUCACUUAAGUACUUGGAAUUUGCUGACAUGUGCAGCUGGAAAGAGUGGGCUUCUUUUGGAAUAGGGACAGGUGGUCUUGCCUUCGCACAUCUGCAGGAGCUUUGUAUUAGAAAUUGCCCCGAGUUGAGUGGAGGUUUGCCCAGCCAUCUCCCUUCUCUAUCAGCCUUGUCCAUUGAAAAGUGUCCACAGCUAACGUCUUAUCUACCAUUUGCACCACUUCUCCGUAAGAUCAGUUUUGAUGAUUGUGGAAAGGUUUCUGGAGUGGAGCCUCUCCUAAAUGGCACUGAGUUACAAGAUAUGGAAAUCAAGAAUCUUUCAACCCUUCCCUUGAGGUUUCUUCCUCCUACCAUGACAAGACUCAAUCUUGAAGACAGUCAUGAAAUAGAGUUGCCAAUACAUAGAUGCCAUGAAUCUCUCCAAUAUCUAAAGUUGAAGCAGAGCUGCGAUUCACUUAUAUCCUUUCCUCUGGAAAUUUUCCCCUCACUUAAGAAUAUUCAAUUAGAGGAGAUUCAAAAAUUGGAACAUCUUUCAAAUUCAGAUGGUUCUCCACUUCUUCUCCAUUCGAUGAACAUUAGUGAUUGCCCUGAAUUUAGAUCUUUCCCUGCAGGAGGAUUGGUUGCCCCAUGCCUCACUUCAUUAGAGUUGAAUGACUGUCAUCAUCUAAAGAAUCCGCCAGAAAACAUGCAGGCUCUCCUUCCUUCACUUCGAUCAUUGACAAUAUCCUCAUGUCCACAACUCGAGUCAUUUCCCGAGCGGGGUUUACCCCCCAAGUUGGUCGCGCUUUCACUCUCUAAUUGUGACAAGCUCAUCACUAGCCGCAAGGAUUGGGGUCUUCAAUCACUAUGCUCUCUUAAAACUUUUGUCAUUGAGCAGGAGAAAAAUAUUGAGUCAUUUCCUGAGAUAGGGCUUCUGCCAAGCUCUCUUACCUCUCUGUAUAUCUUUGACUUUGCGAAUCUGACAUCCCUGAACUCCAAAGGGCUUCAUAGCCUGAGCUCCCUUGAAAAAUUGUUCAUUGGUGAAUGUCCUAAGCUCCAUUCCUUCCCAAAAGAGGGACAAAUUCUGCCUGCUUCUCUUACCACUCUGUUGAUUUAUGAUAUGGGUCUAAAAUCACUGGACAACUUAGGGCUCCACCACCUCACUUGUCUCAAAGAAUUUCGCAUAAAUAGCUGCCAAACUCUUCGAUCCAUGCCAGUGGAGGGCCUAUCAUCCUCCCUUUCCGAUCUAUUUAUCUAUGGGUGUCCUUUUCUGGAGAAAAGAUGCCAACGCAAGAAAGGGAAAGAUUGGCCCCUAGUUUCUCACAUUCGCUGCAUCGUGAUUGAAGAUGUGCUCAUCACAUGAUCGAAUAUCUUGCUUUAAAAGCCCUGCUUUUACCAAGAUCUCACUAGGGUAUCUCUGUUGACCCUACACUAAGUAAGCCAUUUAUUUAUUCACAACAUGCUUCAGUCGCUGUGUGGUCAAGCAGUACCAUCUGGCUGUAUUUGCCGCAAGCUACUCUGGUAACACUCCACAAUGGAGAUUAUUUGUAGUUUCACCGGCUUUCCAUUCUUGUUCCUACUAUCGGGCUGCAUGAUUUGUUUAUUGGUUGCCGAGUUAUUUAGCUGGAUCGUCUGCUUUUCCCCUUCUCCAUUCUCUCUAUAUAAAUCACACUCCCAUACUUCAGCUGAGCAUCUGUCACGGUCUUUAUACUCUCAACUGGAAAUGAUUAUUUCAUUGGUACUUUUUUUCGUCAUCAGGUUAUUUGGUUCCAACAUAUUCAGCUUUAAGAUCUCACUCAUAUCACGAUCGUCAACACCUACAAAUGCCAACUCGUGGAACUGUUUGUGCAUGAGCUAACUAAUGUAAAUAGAGCAAAGAGAUUCGUGGCCAUCUGAAGAAGGCCUAGCCUUGAUUAGGCUAUCCAGAUGAAUUCACAAACUCUAUGGCACGUCCUCAAGUUAUAGAGAGAGUAAAUUUGCUCUUAUUGACAGAUGCUUUAUGUCGUCUAAAGCCGUAUAAUAUUGCGAGGGAGACAUAAAUUCUUAAGGACAGGCAUGACUCAUGACUGACCUCUAUUCCACUUGCCAGAAAAGUGUGGUAUCGUGGGUGUAGUAUAUUUUUGUUUGCUUUGUAUUUUUAUUUGUCCAUUUCAGCUUAACAUCACUCUAAUGUUGUACAGUUUAACAAUUUCCCUGCUACACGUGGAAUUUUGAUCCAUAGAAUGUGAACAGUCUAACAGAUGCAAGUGACCCGGCACUUUGUAGUGGCAUAUCCACUUUUGUCACUAAUUAUAUCAUGACAUCAACUAAAUCCAAACUGAAGGACUAAAAAUACUAUGUAAAAGUUAGGUUUUUUUUCGUUGAAGUUGAAAGUUUGCAUCUCAAAAUGCAAUUCGAUCAAAAAAUAUGGACCUAUUGUAAUUUACCCUAUUUUGCGAGAAUAUUGUUACUUUCGAGGGAACUUAAGUGAUUUUAUGUGCACUAACUGUUGAGGAGCUUUUGCGGAUGGAGAUAAAGCUGGAAAUGUAUUGCUAGCUUUUAGCUCGAUUUGAGUAUCCUUUAGUCGUUAAUACUUGACCUUCAAUCAUCAUAGGUAGAGUGCUUCUAGAUGGGACUAGACUAACUAUUGUUACAAAAAUACAUGAUGCAUACAUAGUUAGCGAGAUGUACGUAUAAGUUAUGUUAGAAAAAGUCCAAUGACGUGGAAUUGCUAUGGUGCGGAAUAGUUAAUAUCUUAGUUGGCCAAAAAUUCAUUGCAUUAAGCUUUUGAGUAAAAGUGGUCUAAUUGGAUAUGUUGAAGAGCUUGGACUUUAGCUCUCUCUUGACUUUUGCUAUGUGCUCCUAAGUGAAUAGUUGAUUGGUGGCAACGUGUUGGUGCAAAAGUAUAAUCGGAUUAAGGGGGAAGUAUACUUAACAUUGAGCUCACACGUAAGAGGAGAUAAGAAUUGAUGUGAUGUGGAGUAGUUAAUAUAUCCUAGUUGGCCCAUGAUUUAUAGGUUUAAGCUUUUGAGCAUAUGUUGGUCCAACUAUAUUUGUUGAUAGGUCGAACUUGGGCUCUCUCUUGGUGAUCUCCUAUAUAAUGAUAUUGGGUUUCUACUAAGCGUUACCAAUAGUGGAUGUCGGAUGUAGCUUUGGAUGGACCUAUUCUUCUCCCACAAUAUCGAGAUAGUUUUAGUAACAGGGUUGUGGUGAGGAAAAAAAAUGGUGCUAAGUCUUCACAAGACAAGUGGAUUAUGAGGAUCGGGAGCAGCAUUGGCAAUGAGAUGGUGGAAAUCGACAAGGAAAACAAAUCCAUUUUUCACGCGGUCAGUAAGCCAAGUUAUCGACUCCUGGAAACGAAAGAAUCGAGGUCAAUUUAGAAGUUUCGAAAUUUCAUUGUUGGUUUGCAGCUUGCGAGAAAUUGUUUCUCGAUGAGCGCAAGUGCAAGAGAGGCACUCCAAUGCGAUUGCAACGUUUAGUGUAACACAUCGACACACCAUGUGAGAAGUACUUGCCUACUAGAUUGGCUGAAUUGUCGUUUUUGCAAGCUAAUACUUGUCAUAGUGAAGAAACAACAAACCAUUCAAGGUGAAACGGAGCCAACGCAUGAUCUGUAGUUGUACAUCCCAAGUGUUCAAUGUUGUAGCAUUGGAAGAAAGGAUCAUAUCUGAAACUGAUGAUGGGCAUGAGAUGAGUGGGUUAUGGAGAGAUUGUUUGAUACAGCUUUUCGAUGGUAGCUACGACCGUAAAACUGGAUGCUUCUGCUUUCGCAAGGUAACAUCUCAAAGCUAUCAUUUGGAACCAUGAAGCUGUCCCGUCUAGCUUUUAGCUGCUAUGUGUUACCAAAUGGUUGCAACUAUGAUUAUACCAAACGGGCCUAAGUUGAACUUCAUAGCCUAUACAGGAUCGGGAGGGAUUGGAGAAUUGCGUCAGUGAUACUUCUCUCUCUUCGGUUGAGUGAUUCAUCUCUUCUUCAAAAGGACCUCUAAUUCUCUAGGGGCAGACUUAAGCAAAGAGCGGAAUUGACUCCUGCAUGCAAGCGUGUACCAGUUUCGUGCUAUAGGAGGGUAUAACAUAUGCUGGAUAAGUGAAAUUUGGGAUCAUGUACAAGUCUCACUUAUUUAUCAUGUUCGAGGUGGAAGUCGUCAUAUGUACAUCAAAAGUGGCUGUGUAUGUAUAUAUAAGGACGAUCAUUCUGAUUUGUAUGUAUCGCAUAAUUGAGAAAGAUGAAUCAAAUAACCUUCAUUCCAACUUCAAAAUCUGUAAAGGCGUCAUUUCUCAAUAUGGAGAAAUAGUCCAGAAACCUUGUAGCUACGCAUUAUAGACAGUUAUUUUGAAAUGAUGUGGUGUAUUAUGCUAAUCAACACUGGCACAACUAGCAGUGGAUGCUGAUGCUGAUUUAACUCCCACAAAUUCGCUGAAUGAGAAGGCGAGUUAAAGCAUCUAAGACACAGAAAAACUACCUAGCUUGCUAAAUGAUUUGGACAUAUAGACCAACAAGAAUUGUGAUCGUCAUAUCACUAACGUUCAUCUAACCAAAAUAACAACAGCAACUUGGAUGGAUGCGGAUCGGGAAAAAAAGACCUACUGCGAGACAAGAUACAGGGCACAAGUCAUAUCUUGCAACAUAAUAUCUUCGGAGCAGUUAAAAAAUAGCAUCUCCUGGUCUUAACUCGCCCAACUGCGGAACAGCAUAGAACGAACACUAGGCUAGAUUCGUGCCCAAGGAAUGAAGUCGUGCAUGAUUGUGCCACAAACAGAGCACAACAAGAAAACCACCUAAUGAUCCAGCGGAACCUCAAAAACAAAGAAGGUUAUGAGUAUGUACAAUCAUGAGGCGAACUCCUAUCGGAUUGUUCAAAAACGUCCCUCUUGCUCGAUACAGUUUUAUAGUUUACCGUAUCACUUGAUGAACAGCAAUUUACAAACCAAUCUGUAUACCCUAUGUCCCCAGCAUUACCGUGGAAGAAAUGAAGAAAUCGUAUCCUGGCCCUAGCAUGAAAAACUGAGAAAUCCAUAUCCUACUGAAAGAAGCAUGGGGAUACAGCAUAGCAACAUGUCUUUGUCCACAAACUGCUAAUAUAGGUUUGUUACAACCAUUCAUCAUCAUGCAAAUUUCACAAGCUAAUGAGGGUGAAAAACGACACCCCCUUGUACAAAAAAGAGAGCCAAUCCAGUCAACAGACACGAAACUGACAUUUUACCACUGCCAACAAGAUGAAGUAAGAACAUCAGAGACAUCGGACAAUAUUCACAUCAAACACAGAGGUAAAGAGACUAAAAUCCAAAGCGCUAGUUCCACAUUUGCAACAGCAAUCGAUACAUCAGCACUCAAACAGGUCUGCGGACGCUAUUAUGGGUUGUAUCGGACAUGGGAUCUGCCAGGGCUUCAUCAACGGGUCGGGAAUCUCGGGAAUAUCAAUCACCAGCCCACUGACCACCUCCACGAUCUCGAGUACCGAGUUCAGGGACCGGAGCCUCUCAGUAAGCUCCAUGGCCUGGGCCCUGAGGACAUUGUUUGCCAACUCGACCUCGGCAUACUUCUGCGCAGCAGCAUUGAUACUCACCACGAGCUGAGCGUUAGCCUGCUGCAGUUGCCCCACUUCUCCGACCAAAUCCCCCAGCUGCUUCUGCCUCCUCAUCCGGGAGCGCCUGGCGGAUUCCCUGUUGGACUCCAUCCUCUUCCUCUUCCUUUCAUCAUCGGCCACCCCACCGAGCCUCGGGUCGCCAUCGGAUCCCGAGCUCGCCUGACGCCGAACCGAACCCAUUUUCGAGGGCCUUUCCCCGCGAUCAAUCAAUCACUCGAUUCGGAAAACGACCGAUCAGAGUGUCUCCGCGUGCCGGGAGUUAACAACGAAUUCCGAUGGAAUCAAAGGGAGGCACGAAUCGCGAUCAAUAGGAGAGAGAGAGAGGGGCGUUCAUGAGAAGACGUAGAACCAGUAGAGGAACACCACCGAGAAGGAGUGGACGAUCCGCACCCGGAACAUGAGGAUCGCGUAGUUCAUGACUCGGUUUCCCACAUCUGAAAAACCCUACACCAUCUACCACAAGCGCUCAACCAGUACCCUCCGAUUCUCAGCCCAACGCAACGAAGGGGAAAACGAAAACGGCGACAACGCAGCGGAAAGACAGCAGAGAGAGAGAGAAGGGGGACGUAAACUUAGCUGGCGGCGGCGGCGGCGGAACGCGCGAACCAGAGAGAGGUCGAAGAAGGUUAAGAAAGGAGGGGAGGAGGGGUUUAUAUAGAGGAGGCUCGCGGGCUUCGAUUGGUCUGCCGGGAAAACGAAUAUUCCCAGAAUCUUUUUUUUUUUUGGGUGUAAUUUAUUAGGACGGAUUUUGCUUAGGCGUGUCCCGAUUGCCCAAUCACAUUCGAAAGUGUAAGAUUAUAUUUCUUUCUUUAAUUAAAAAAAACCGAAAUUACCUUUUUAACGAAUCGAUAAAAGAAGAAAAUACACGAGAUGCUUGAGGAAUAAACAAAUGUGAAAAUUUAUAUCGGAGAUGUGGAGGAAUCUAGAGAUCCUCUUCUGAUUUUAUUUUGCCGGUGGUUUUUUUUAUCUUUUUAUUUAUCGAUGGACAACUAAUAUCUGACUUAAUCUAUUUAUAAAUCUCUUUCUUUACGCGACCGUGUAACCAUAAUACGGGGGGGAACAGAUGUUCUUAAAUUUAAAUUGUUUUUGGUGGGGGAGGGGAAGAAUGACGUCAUGGCGCACGUCUGAUGUGGCGUGGGAUUGGUCGGAUCUCAUCGUCGUCGCGGUAGUUGGUGCUGCCCAUGUUCAAUGUAAUGCGCACGUUGUUUGGGACCUUAUCCAGUAGCAUCACACUUUACAGAGCAGGCAAAACCGUGGGUUUGACCGGGUCAAACAUCGAACGUCGGAUCUUCUUGGAUACAUCCCCCCUGGAAAAAUGCACGCGAGCGCCAAGUUGUGAAAAGGAGAGAUAUUUAUUUUAAUGUUUUCUGUUUGGAGACAUUAAUUUCUCGAUACCUUUUUAUUUUCGUAAAAAAGGACUUGUGCAAUGGAAAUUAGUCGGGAUGCGUAAAAUACAGGCUAAAUCUUGGACUUCCAAAAUUGAAAUUGGAUGAAAAGAAUACAUAAGUGAUUUGGUGAAAGCAGAUAGCCGUUUGGAAAUUAAUGGUGAAAAUAUGUAGGUGGGCUCUUGGUGAGAAAAUAGGGAUAGAAAUCAAAGUGGAUAGUGGAUUUGGGGAUUGCAAACAUUGCAUCAUGAAAUAGUACUAGAAAAAUGAUCAUUGCAAUUUGUUUAUUCCACAAAAAAUGAAUGAUUUGAAAAAAAAAAAUUAUUACUGCAAUCCGUUUAUUUCACAAUAAAUGAAUAAUUUGAAAAAAAUGAACUCAAUGAACAAUACUAAUCACAACCAAGAGCCAACUAUCGGCUCCCAAGGAGCAAACCUAGGACACUGUGCCCAAACUUGCGAUCUUGACACUUUAAUCGAGAAUGACAUAUUUCAUAUUAAGGUUAAAAUUACAUGGUACCGGCACAAGAUGCAACAAACUCAAGAUGCAUAACAUAUAUAUAAGGUCGAACGACAUGAGAUUUGUAAUACCCUUUUUUUUUUCAGUCCAAUCAGAGUUAUAAUAUGUUGGCUAAUCAUUAAUGCUACAUCACAUUAAUGCUGCAUCAUCACUACCAAAUUUAGGGUCGAUGACUAGGCAAGGCUUGCCUCACCAGCCCUUGGUCAUAAGGAGAAAAUAUUAUAUACAAUUUUGAUGUCACUUCAGCAAAAUAUUAGUCCAUUCAUCUUGCGGCAUGUGUCACACGUGAGCCCACUUAUCUGUCACGAUCUCUCUCUCCCCUUCCUUUUGACCCAUUUUUCCUUCUCCAACUCUCUCUCUCCCCCUUCUUUUUGACCCCUUUUCCCUUCUCCAGCCUCAAGCCCAAGCCAUUGCCAUUGCCCACCAUGGCAAAGGGCAUGCUUGAAGUCUCCAACGAUGAGCUUGCUGCCAAUGGAUCCCUAUUUCUUUGUGCACCUUAUGGUGGGGAACCUUGAGUUGAAGAUCCCCAUCACUGCCAAGCCCAUUGGCUCUGCCGUUCACCCAUUGUCCUCUCCUCGCUUUUGCACCAACUUUGUUAAAUGAAUAGGAGAUGGCAAGAAAUUUUUCAGUGCGAAAAGCCUAAGACUUUUUGUUUUUGAAGUGAUUAUUUUUUAAUCGUGAAUGCAUGACGUGCCUGUGACACACCCGCAUUGAGAAAAUAUCAAGUGAGAGCAAGAUUUGAUGAAAAAUACUUCAUUAAACCUUUUAAGUUGCAUCCCAAAGAUACGAAAGCCCAAAAUAUGGGGGCAAAAACAAGAGGAAAUAGAAAGAAGCAGGAGAAAGAAGUCGAAUUUGUUCUUAUUUUUGAAAGCCCAUACCCUUAUGAAGCCCAUCGAUCCUCAUCUUGGGCCGUGAGAGACCCGCCGUUCCCCCGACCCGACUUGAUUUUCUUCCUCUCACGUUUUCCCGAGAAAACCCUUCUUCCCCACUCUAGCUUUCUCCGGGAAAAUUUUCCGAUCCGUUGCAAACCGUUCAUCAUCUUCCAUUCUACAACAGAUCUCGACGACCUGCGAGGCUGCGAUGGAGAUUCGCAUCAGAAGAGGCUACGCGUGGGCCAUCGCCGCCGGAUUCAUGGCCGCUAUUGCCGCCAUCUCCGCCAAGUUCUUCUCCUCUCAGGUAACUCAACCUCAUCCGCGCGCUUGUCCGUGCAAGCUAAUCCAUGAUUGUCCCCCGCCGUUCUGCUUUGUCACUCGAGAUUGUGCGAUUGUUCCAGCUAAUGCAAAUCGAAAUCUGGCGUGUGUGUUGGGCUGAAGCACUCGACGUCGCGUGGCGCGAUGUGAGCCGCAGCCGAUAGCCGGUGCGCGGCGAUAUGUCCAAUUUUUGGUUGUUUGAGGAUUAGCGGGACCACUAAUUGAGGAAAGCUCCUGUCAAUUCUACUACUUCUGUGGAGAAGAGUUGAAUAAAUUACCGAGUGGGCAAGAGGGAUGGCGGUGCGACUGCGCCUCGGUCCCAGACAUGCCCAGGGAGGGGUGGGAGUCCUGAGCUAGUUUAUCAGAUUUGAGUCCAUCUUGCCGUGAGGAUUUAGUAUUUAAAGCGGACAAUAUGUAUACAGUAGAGACCGGGGCGUUACAACAAUAUCAUCCAAUGACAGGGGAUCAAGGAGCAAGAAAAACACAUUUAGCAAACACAUGGAACGUGCUCAAAGGGAAACGGGUAUCGGGACGCCACCACGUCAUCGGUGAGCUCACUGGCAGAGCCUCAACGGAACAAUUGGGACGCUGCCACAUCCCCGGUUAGCUGGAGAUCCUCGAGCAAGUCCCAGUCACGAGCGAGUUCUCGGAAAAGCUUUGAGAAGAGCUCACCGGUGGAGUCUCGGUGGAGAUCCUCGAGCGUCAGCCAAGGCGACAACCAUUAUCACAAUUCUGGUGAAGACGAUCCAUGGCGAGCAAGCUACAGGCAUGGCGCUCUUCGCCUAUUCUGGUGAUUACAAUCAAGGGCGAGUGAGAUCGUACCCGCGACCACCCCAGCAGAAAUAUGAUUAUUCUCAUCACACUAGCAGGGGCAAUAUUAUUUAUCAUGAGCAAAUGCACAAGGGGAAAAUGACUUCGCAUUUCUUCAGAAGUCUUCCAAACGCAAGUGCUCAUGUCAACAUUUGCAUCAAGAUUUCUAACUUUUCUGUUUCGAAAAAGUAUAGUUACUGCGAUUUUUCUUUUCGUAUUUUAUAAAAAAAAAAAGUCAAAAACACACGGCGCAUCUCGUUGACCCAUCAUCAACCAAUGCAUGCCGAUCAGCGGGCGCUGUCCAUGUCCCGACCUCAUCGUCACAAGCGAAGAAUGUGAACCAAGCGAUCAACCAUCGAUCUUCGAAGGAGAAGACUUCACAGAUUGGCGCUUCUUCCGUCGGCGAUCGUCCUCAAUUCCUCUCCAAUCGCCUCCCAGCUUCCUCCUGCAUCCUGAAAAUCCCUAUGGCGGCGGCGCUCGUCGGCGGAGCAUUUCUCUCGGCUUUCCUCCAGGUGCUCUUCGAUCGGAUGGCCUCCCGCGAGGUCGUCGACUUCUUCCGGUCGCGCAAGCUCGACAAGGGGAGGCUGCUGCAGAAGCUGGAGGCUGCGCUCCUGUCCGCGAACGCCGUGCUGGACGACGCGGAGGAGAAGCAGAUGACCAACGACUCCGUCAGGAAGUGGCUCGACGAGCUCAAGGACGCUGUCUACGACGCUGACGACCUGUUCGACGAGAUCGCCAUUGAAGAUCUGAAGCGCGAAGCCAGGGUCGAGCCUCGGGCUUUCGUUUAUAAGGUCUGGAGCUUUGCUGCAGACGCUUGUAGGAGUGAAUUGGGGGAUGAGUUAGAGAGGGUUCUGGAGAGAUUGGAGAGAGUGGUGAAGCUGAGAAAAGUGCUGGGCCUAAGGGAAGGCAUUCGCGAGAGGACAGCUAGAGCUUUGCCGACCACUUCGUUGGUCGAGGAAUUGGGAAUUUUCGGGAGGGAGAAGGACAGGGAGGCGGUGAUCGACUUGCUCUUGUCAGAUCUGGGCGAAAAGAACACCAGCGUGAUGGCCAUCGUUGGGAUGGGCGGUCUCGGUAAGACCACGCUAUCUCAGCUCGUGUUCAACGAUGGUGUGGUGAAAGGGAGUUUCGAGUUGAGGGCGUGGGUUUGCGUGUCCGACCAAUUCGACAUCUGCAAGCUGACGGCCACGGCUCUCGAGGAGUUCUCCUCCUCGUCUAAGAAGGAGACCGAAAAUCUCAACCAGCUUCAGCUCCAACUGAAGGACUUCUUGACAGGGAAGAAAUUCCUAUUGGUGUUGGAUGAUGUUUGGAAUGAGGACUCAAAUCUUUGGGAUGCGUUCCUAGUUCCUUUUACCUAUGGAGCAAGAGGCAGCAAAAUCGUCGUGACGACACGAAAUGAAAGUGUCGCAUCGGUUGCUCGUGCCUUCUCGAAAUACUAUUUACAGAAUUUACAAGACAGGGAAUGUUGGGACUUGUUCGCAAAACAUGCGUUUGACCAGCAUAACUUCGAGGCGCGCACGAGACUUGAAGAAAUCGGGCAAAGAAUUGUAAAGAGAUGUGAUGGAUUGCCUCUUGCGCUGAAGACUAUAGGUAGCUUGUUACGCUGUGAGUCUGAUAUCAGGAAGUGGGAAAUAAUUGCAGAGAGUGUCAUUUGGGAUUUGGCACCUGGAAAGAAUAGAAUUCUCCCUGCCUUGUUGUUAAGUUAUCAUUACCUUCCUCCACAACUGAAACGAUGUUUUGCCUAUUGUUCAGUCUUCCCAAAGGAUUGCAUAUAUAAGAAGGACCAGCUGAUCUUACUUUGGAUGGCUGAGGGCUUGAUAAAACAACCUAACGCCGGCAGGACAUUAGAGGAAGUAGGUGAUCAGUGCUUCUGUGACCUUGUGUCUAGAUCUUUGCUUAAUAGAGUAAGUGAUGUUGAAUCGAGCUUCCCGAUGCAUGACCUGGAAGAAAGCGACGUCGCAUUGACCUUUUCGAUGCAUGACCUGGUCAAUGACUUAGCAAGAUAUGUAGCUGGUCGAUCUUUUUUUAGCUUGGACGGAGGCAAUGCACACCAGGUGUCCUCAGGCACUCGCCAUUUGUCAUUUGUAAGAACUCGAUAUGAUGUCGCUUCCAGAUUCAGAGUGUUAGCCGGGGCAAAGAAUUUGCGCACUUUCCUGCCGCUAAACGUGGGUCAUGUGAGAUUUCGCGGCACUGUUUGUUGACUGAUGAGGUACUGCAUGUCCUGUUGCCGACCCUGAGACGGUUAAGGGUGCUAUCUUUGUCUUAUUAUGAGGGAAUCUCUACGUUGCCCAGUUCAAUUGGACGUUUGAAGCAUCUGCGCUAUUUGAAUCUCUCCUAUAAUGAAAGUCUAAGCAGAUUGCCUGAUUCAAUUACAGCUCUAUAUGACUUGCAAACCUUAAUUCUUAGUUACUGUCAGUCUCUCGUUGAGUUACCGAGCAACAUGGGCAGCCUAACCUGUCUGCGUCAUCUUGAUAUAAGGAAGACAUCCCUGAAGAGAAUGCCGCAGGGGAUGAACAGAUUGAAGAAUUUGCAGAUAUUAACUAAUUUCGUGGUGGCCAAAAACGGUGGGACCAGGGUUAGGGAGUUAGGGGAGCUAAGGGAUCUUAUGGGUACACUCUCCAUACAGGGUUUGCAGAAUGUUGAUAGUUACCGAGAUGCUGAGAUAGUCAAUUUGCAGGGAAAGAGGUACUUGAAAAAGUUAGUGCUGGAAUGGGGUUGUGAUGACAAUAUUACGCAGCAAAAUAGCUUAAAUGUAUUGAACAAGCUGCAACCUCAUUGGAACUUGAGAGAGCUCAUCAUUAUAUCCUAUGGUGGUAGGUCAUUUUCCACUUGGCUGGGACACGGUUCAUUCUCUAAUAUGUCAGUUGUGCAUCUUGAAUCUUGCAAGCACUGUGUGUCAUUGCCUCCUUUAGGACAGCUACCAUCUUUGGAGAAGUUGACAAUCGAAGGAUUUGAUGGAGUUACAAGUGUGGGUACUGAAUUCAAUGGUAGCAACUGUAUACCUUUUCAGUCACUUAAGUACUUGGAAUUUGCUGACAUGUGCAGCUGGAAAGAGUGGGCUUUUUCUGCAAUAGAAACAGGAGGUCUUGCCUUUACACAUCUACAGAAGCUUUGUAUUAGAAAUUGCCCGCAGUUGAGUGGAGGUUUACCCAGCCAUCUCCCUUCUCUAACAGCCUUGUCCAUUAAAGAGUGCCCACAGCUAAUGUCUUCUCUACCAUUUGCACCGCUUCUCCAUAAGAUCAAUUUGGAUGAUUGUGGAAAGGUUUCUGGAGUUGAGCCUCUCCUAAAUGGCAUUGAGUUACGAGAUAUGGAAAUCGGGAAAUUUUCAACCCUUCCCUUGAGGUUUCUUCCUCCUACCAUGACAAGACUCUGUCUUCUAUACAGUCAUGAAAUAGAGUUGCCAAUGGACGGAUGCUAUGAGUCUCUCCAAAAUCUAAGCUUGAUGCGGAGCUGUGAUUCACUUAUAUCCUUUCCUCUCGAAAUUUUCCCCUCGCUUAAGCAUAUUUACUUGACGGAGAUUAAAAAAUUGGAACAUCUUUCAAACUCAGAUGGUUUAUCACUUCUUCUCCAUUCGAUGGACAUUAGAAAUUGUCCUGAAUUUAGAUCUUUCCCUGCGGGAGGAUUGACUGCCCCAUGCCUCACUUCAUUAUGGUUGGUUGAUUGCCCUCAUCUAUCUGCCAGAAAACAUGCAGGCUCUCCUUCCUUCGCUUCAGUCACUAGAUGUAUUCUCAUGUCCACAACUCGAGUCAUUUCCCAAGCGGGGUUUACCCUCCAACUUGGUCAGGCUUUCACUCUCUAAUUGUGACAAGCUCAUCGCUAGCCGCAAAGACUGGGGUCUUCAGUCACUAUGCUCUCUUGAAACUUUUGUCAUUGGGAAAGAGAAAAAUAUAGAGUCAUUUCCUGAGAUAGGGCUUCUGCCGACCUCUCUUACCUCUCUAAGGAUCGUUGGCUUUAAGAAUCUGACAUCCCUGAACUCCAAAGGGCUUCAUAGCCUGAGCUCCCUUGAAAACCUCUUCAUUAGCGACUGUCGUAAGCUCCAUUCCUUCCCAAAAGAGGGACAAAUUCUGCCCGCUUCUCUUACCACUCUGACGAUUCAUCAUAUGGAUCUAAAAUCACUGGAUAACUUAGGGCUCCACCGCCUCACUUGUCUCAAAGAAUUUGACAUAUUUAGCUGCCGAAGUCUUCAAUCCAUGCCAGCGGAGGGCUUGUCAUCCUCCCUUUCCAAUCUAUUUGUCCAUGGGUGCCCUUUGCUGGAGAAAAGAUGCCAGCGGAAGAAAGGAAAAGAUUGGCCCCUAGUUUCGCACAUUCGCUGCAUCGUAAUUGAAGGUGUGCUCGUCACAUGAUCGUAUAUCUUGCUUUACAAUCCCUCCUUUUACCAAGAUUUCACUCAGGUAUCUCCCUUGGCCCUACACUAAGUAAGCCAUUUAUUUAUUCACGACAUACUUCAGUUGCUUUGUGGUCAAGCACUAACAUCUGGCUGUAUUUGCCGCAUGCUACUCUAAUAACGCUUCGCAAUGGAGAUUAUUUGUAGUUUCACCGGCUUUCCAUUGUUGUUCCUACGAUUGGGCUGCAUAAUUUCUUUAUUGGUUGCCAAGUUAUUUAGCUGGAGCGUCUGCUUUUCCCCUUCUCCAUUUUCUCUAUAUAAAUCACACUCCCAUACUUCAGCUAAGCAUCUGUCAUGGUCUUCAUAGUCUCACCUGGGAAUGAUUAUUUCAUUGCUACCUUAUGUCGCCAUCAGAUUAUUUCAGCUUUAAGAUCUCGCUAUUGUCAACACCUACAAAUGCCAACUUAUAGAACUGUUUGUGCAUGAGCUAACAAUAGUAAAUAGAGCAAAGAGAUUCAUGGCUACCUAAAGAAGGCCUAGCAUUGAUUAGGUUAUCUAGAUGAAAUUAUUUUUUCUCGAACUCUGGCACUUCCUCAAGUUAAAAAGAGAGUAAAUUUGUUCUUAUCAACAAAUGCUUUCUGUUGUGUAAAGCUGUAUAAUAUUACGAGGGAGACGUAAAUUCUUGAGACUAGGCAUGACUCAUGAUUGACUUGUAUUACGCUUGCCAGAACAGUGUGGUAUCAUAGGUGGAGCAUAUUUCUAUUUGCUUUGUAUGUUUAUUUGUCAAUUUCAGCUAAAUAUCACUCUAAGGUUGUACAGUUUAACAAUUUCCCUCACUACAUGUAGAAUCUUGAUCCAUGGAAUGUGAAAAUGGAACAGUUUAAGAGAUGCGAGUGGCCCAGCAUUUUGUAGUGGCAUAUCCACUUUUUUCACUAAUUAUAUCAUGACAUCAGCUAAAUUCAUCAAACUGAAGGUCUAAAAAGAGUGAAAAAGUUAGGUUUUUAUUUGUUGAAGUUGAAAAUUUGCAUCUCAAAAUGCAAUUCAAUCAAAAUAUAUGGACUUGUUGUAAUUUACCCUAUUUUGAGAGAAUCUAGUUUCUUUUGAGGGAAUUUAAGCGGUUUUAUGUCCAUUAACUUUUGAGGAGCUUCUGUGGAUGGAGAUAGAGCUGGAAAUGUAUUGCUAACUUUUAGCUCGAUUAGAGUAUCCUUUAGUUGUUAAUACUUGUCUUUCAAUCAUUGCAGGUGGAGUGCUUCUAGAUGGGGCUAGACUAACUAAUGUUCCAAAAAUACAUGAUGCAUACACAAUAAGCAAUAUAGGCACAUGCUGUGUUGAGAUGCAUGUAUGGAUUGUGACGCAGGAUUAGUAUGGUGUCGAAUAGUUGAUAUAUCUUAGUUGGCCAAAGCGUUUGAGUAAAAUUGGCCUAACUGGAUAUGUUAAAAGGUUUGGACUUGGGCUCUCUCUUGGCUUUUGCUACGCGCUCCCAAGCCAAUUGUUGAUUGGUGGCAACCUGUUGGUGCAAAAGAAUGCUUGGAUUAAGGGAGAAGUAUACUGAACAUUGAGCUUACACAUAAGAGGGAGAUAAGAAUUGAUGCAGUGUGGAGUAAGAGAAAGACAAGAAUUGAUGUGGUAUGGAGUACUUAAUAUCUCCUAGUUGGCCCAUGAUUCAUUGACUUAAGCUUUUGAGUAUAUGUUGGGUCCAACUAUAUUUGUUGACAGGGUCGAACUUGGGUGGUUUCUUGGCGAUCUCCCAUGGGAUGGCAUUGAAUUUCUGCUAGGCACUACCAACAUGCCAUGGUGGAUGUUGGAUGCUGCUUUGGAUGGACCUAUUCUUCUCCCACAAUAUCAAGAUAGUUUCAGUUAGAGGGUUGUGAGGAAAAAAAAAUGGUGCUCAGUGGACGAGUGAAUUAUGAGGAUCAUGAGCAACAUAGGCAGUGGGAUAGUGGAAUUCGGCAAGGAAAACAAAUCCAUUCUUCAUGCUGUGAGCAAGCCAAGUGAUUGACUCUGGAAAUGUCAGAAUCGAGCUCAAUUAGGAGUAUCGAAAUUUCAUUGUCAGUUUGCAGCUUGUGAGAAAUUGUUUACCAAUGAGUGCGAGUGCAGGAGAGGCACUCCAAUGCAAUUGCAACGUUUAGUUGAAUGUAACGACAUGCCAUGUGAGAAUUAUUUGCCUAAUGGUUUGGUUGGAUUGUUGAUUUAGCAAGCUGAUACUUCUCGCAAUGGAGAAAUAAGAAACCAUUCAAGGUGAAACGGAGCUAACGCAUGGUCUGUAGAGGUACAUCCCAGGUGUUCGAUGUUGUAGCAUUGAAACCGAUGAUGGGCAUGAGAUGAGUGGGUUAUGGAGAUAUUGUUUGAUACAACUUUUCGAUCAUACCUGUGGCCGUAAAACUGGAUGCUUCCGCUUUCGCAAGGUAACAUCUCAAAGCUAUCAUCUGGAACCAGAAAGUUGUCCCGUCUAGCUUACAGCUGUCUCCGUGUGUUACCAAAUGAUCGCAACUAUGAUUGUACCAAAUGGUCCUUGAGUGGAGCUUCAUAGCCUAUAAAGGAUUAGGAGGGAUUGGAGGAUUGAUUGAGUGAUACUUCUUUCUCUUUGGUUGAGUGGUUCUUUUCUUCAAAAGCACCUCUAAUUCUCCGGGACACACUUAAGCAAAGAGCGGGAAUAACUCGUGCAUGCAAGCAUAUACCCGUUUCAUGCUAUUGGAAGGUGUAACAUAUAAGUGAAUUUUAAGGUCAUGUACGAGUCUUAUUUAUCAUGUUCAAGUUUGAAAGUCGUCAUAUGUAAAUCAACAGUGGCUGUGUAUGUAUAUAUAAGGACAAGCAUUCUGAUUAGUAUGUAUAACAUAGUCGAGAAAGAUGAAUCAGAUAACCUUCAUUCCAACUUCGAAAUCUGCAAGGACGUCAUUUCCCAAUAUGGCGAACCAGUCCAGAAACCUUGUAGGGAAAUGACGAACCAAUCCAGAAACCUUGUGGCUACGCAAUAGACAGUUAUUUUGAAAGGAUGUGGUGUAUUAUACUAAUCAACACUGGCACAACUAGCAGUAGAUGCCAAUGCUAAUUUAGCUCGCACAAAUUCGCUGAGCAAGAAGGGGAGUUGAAGCAUCUAAGACAGAAAAACUAACUCGCUUGCUAAAUGAUUUGGACAUAUAGAACAACAAGAAUUGUGAUCUUCAUAUCACUAGCGUUCAUCCAACCAAAAUAACAACAGCAACUUGGACGCGGAUUGGGAAAAAGACCUACUGCAAGAGAAGAUACAGGACACAAGUCAUAUCUCGCAACAUAAUAUCUUCAAAGCAGUCAAAAAAUAGCAUCUCCUGGUCUCAACUCGUCCAACUGCGGAACAGCAUAGAACGAACACUAGGCUAGAUUCGUGCCCAAGGAAUGAAGUCGUGCAUGAUUGUGCCACAAACAGAGCACAACAAGAAAACCACCUAAUGAUCCAACGGAACCUCAAAAACAAAGAUGGUUAUGGGUACAUAAAAUCAUGAGGCAAACUCCUAUCAGAUUGUUCGAAAAUGUCCCUCUCGUUCAAUAAAGUUCUACAGUUUACCGUAUCAAUUGAUGAACAGAAAUUUACAAACCAAUCUGUGUACCCUAGGUCCCCAGCAUUCCUGUGGAAGAAAUGAAGAAAUCAUAUCCUGGCCCUAGCAUGAAAAUCUGACAAACCAUAUUCUGCUGAAAGAAGCACGGGGAUACAGCAUGGCAACAUGUCUUUGUCCACAAACUGCAAAUAUAGGUUUCUUACAACCAUUCAUCAUCAUGGAAAUUUCGAAAGCUAAUGAGGGUGAAAACGACACCCCCUUGUACAAAAAAGAGAGCAAAUCCAGUCAUCAGACAGGGAACCGACAUUUUACAACUGCCAAGAAGUAUGAACAUCAGAGACAUCAGACAAUAUUCACAUCAACCACAGAGGUAAAGAGAAUCUAAAAUCCAAAGCGCUCUUUCCACAUUUGCGACGGUAAUCGAUACAUCAGCACUCAAACAGGUCUGCAGAUGCCAUUAUGGGCUGUAUCGGACGAGGGAUCUGCCAGGGCUUCAUCAACGGGUCGGGAAUCUCGGGAAUAUCAAUCGCGAGCCCACUGACCACCUCCACGAUCUCAAGCACCGAGUUCAGGGACCGGAGCCUGUCGGUAAGUUGCAUCCUGAGGACAUUGUUGGCCGAUUCAACCUCAGCAUACUUCUGCGCAGCCGCAUUGAUACUCGCCACGAGCUGAGCGUUAGCCUGCUGCAGUUGCCCCACUUCUCCGACCAAAUCCUCCAGCUGCUUCUGCCUCCUCAUCCGGGAGCGCCUGGCCGAUUCCCUGUUGGACUCCAUCCUCUUCCUCUUCCUUUCAUCAUCGGCCACCCCACCGAGCCUCGGGUCGCCAUCGGAUCCCGAGCUCGCCUGACGCCGAACCGAACCCAUUUUCGAGGGCCUUUCCCCGCGAUCAAUCAAUCACUCGAUUCAGAAAGCGACCGAUCAGAGGGUCUCCGCGUACCGGGAGUUAACAACGAAUUCCGAUGGAAUCAAAGGGAGGUACGAAUCGCGAUCAAUCGGAGAGAGAGAGAGACGGGCGUUCAUGAGAAGACGUAGAACCAGUAGAGGAACACCACCGAGAAGGAGUGGACGAUCCGCACCCGGAACAUGAGGAUCGCGUAGUUCAUGACUCGGUUUCCCACAUCUGAAAACCCUAGACCAUCUCCCACAAGCGCUCAACCAGUACCCUCCGAUUCUCAACCCAACGCAACGAAGGGGAAAACGAAAACGGCGACAACGCAGCGGAAAGACAGCAGAGAGAGAGAGAGACAAAGAUAGAGAAGGAGGACCUAAACUUAGCCGCCGCCGCCGCCGCCGCCGCCGCCGGCGGAACUCGCGAACCAGAGAGAGGUCGACGAAUGUUGGCCAAGGAGGGGAGAAAGGGAUUAUAUAGAGGAGGCUCGCGGGCUUCGAUUGGUCCGCCGGGAAAACGAAUACUUUCGGAAUGUUUUUUUUGGGUGUAAUUUGGGGGUUUAAUUUUUUUUUUUUUUUAUCGUAAGGGGGUUUAAUUUAUUAGGACGGAUUUUGCUUGGGCGUGUCCCGAUUGCCCAAUCACAUUCGGAAGCGUGAGAUUAUAUUUCUUUCUUGAAAAAAAACUGAAAUUACCUUUUUAACAAAUCGAUUAAAGAAGAAAAUACAUGAGAUACUCGAGGAAUAAACGAAUUUGGAAAUCUAUAUUGGAGAUGUGGAAGAAUCUAGAGAUCCUCUUCUGAUUUUAUUUUGUCAGUUGUUUUUUUUUUAAUCUUUUUAUUUAUCCAUGGGACAACUAAUAUCAGACUUAAUCUAUUUUUUACUUUUUAGUACUUUUUUUUUUUUUUUUUGUGUUACCCUCUUUCUUUACGCAACCGUGUUAACCACAAUACAUGGGGGAACAGAUGUUAUUAAAUUUAAAAAAAAAAAUUGGUGGGGGAGGGGAAUGACGUCAUGGCGCACAUCUGAUGUGGCCGUGGGAUUGGUCAGAUCUCGUCGUCAUCGUCGUAGUUGGUGCUGCCCAUGUAAUGCGCACAUUGUUUGGGACGUUAGCAAGUAGCACCACACCUCACAGAGCAGGCAAAAACCGUGGGUUUGACCGGGUCAAACAUCGGACAUCGGAUCUUCUUGGGAUACAUCCCCCUAGAAUAAUGCACGCGAGCGCCAAGUUGUGAUACGGAGAGAUAUUUAUUUUAACGUUUUCUGUUUUGAGACAUUAAUUUCGCGAUACCUUUUAAUUUUCAUAAAAAAGGACUUGCGCAAUGGAAAUUAGUCGGGAUGUGUGAAAUACGGGCUAAAUCUUGGAUUUCUGAAAUUGAAAUUGGAUGAAAAGAAAAUGCAUGUGAUUUGGUGAAAGCAGUGACCGUUUGGAAAUUGAUAAUGAAAAUAUGUAAGUGGGUUCUUUGUGAGAAAAUAGGGAUAGAAAUCAAAGUGGAUAGUGCAUUUUGGGAUUGCAAACAUUGCAUCAUGAAAUAGUGCUAGAAAAAUGAUUAUUGCAAUCGUUUUAUUCCACAAAAAAUAAAUGAUUUGAAAAAAAAAUUAUUACUGCAAUCUGUUUAUUCCACAAAAAAAUGAAUGAUUUGAAAAAAAUGAACUCAAUGAACAAUACUAAUCACAACCAAGAGCCAACUACUGGCUCCCAAGGAGCAAACCUAGGACACUGUGCCCAAAGUUGCGAUCUUAACACUUUAAUCGAGAAUGAUAUAUUUCAUAUCAAGGUUAAAACUACAUGGUAUCGGCACAAGAUGCAACAAACUCGAGAUGCAUAACAUAUAUAAGGCCGAACGACAUAAGAUUUGUAAUACUUUUUUUUUUCAAUCUGAUAAGAGUUAUAAUACAUUGGCUAAUCAUUAAUGCUGCAUCAUCACUACCAAAUUUAGGGUCGAUGACUGGGUGAGACUUGCCUCGCCAGCCUUUGGUCAUGAGGAGAAAAUAUUAUAUUCAAUUUUGAUGUCAAUUCAGCAAAAUAUUAGUCCAUUCAUCUCAUGGCACGUGUCACGCGUGAGCCCACUUAUCUGUCACGGCCCUGUUUGGUUCAGCUUUCUUAAGGGGGAAAAUAUUUUAUGUUUGGCAACAAUUUUCGAAAGCUACUUGGCCAAAUGUCAGCAUUCCCAAUGCUGAAAGCCCAAUGCUAAUGUUGGGGAGGACCAGCUUUGAGCAUUUGAUAUUUCGGAAAUGCUCGUUCACUAUUCAUCUUCUUCCCCAUUCUUCUCCGUUCGUCUUCUUCGUCUUCCUCGCCGCUUGAGAGUUCGGCUUCUCUGGCAGCCGCCAUCGCCACGUGGGGGUCUCGCGUCCUCGGUGACCAUCGCCUAGGGUGGCGGGAACCGCGACUUAGGCGGGGUCGCUUGGCAAGCGCGAGCCAAGCGACACCACCUGAGGUCCGAGUGACCAGGCGAUGCCACCUGAGGUUGAGAUCUGAGGCCGCCAAAUUUGGCUGUUCGGCAGCCAAAUCUGGUGGUCUUGAGGCCAGAUCUGGCCAUCAGAUGGCCAUAUCUAGCCUUCGCGACCUCAGGCCGUCAAAUCUGGUGGUCCGGCGGCCAAAUCCAGUUGGCUAGCGGUUGGCUGACCGUCGGAAUUUGAUUUUCUAACUUAAAUAUAAAAUAAAAAAUAGCAAAAGUCAAUUACAAAGGUGAAUUUUACCAAACGGUGUUUAUGCUAAGUUGCUUUUCAAUGUUACAAUUUACCAAACGGUGUAACAUUUCCGCAAACCUCUUUAUCUCAAAGGUAUUUGCAUUUUCCUAAUGGCAUUUCCUCAAAGCUGAACCAAACGGGCCCACUUAUCUGUCACGAUCUCUCUCUCCACUUCCUUUUGACCCCUUUUCCCUUCUCCAACUCUCUCUCUCUCCCCCUUCUUUUUGACCCCUUUUUCCUUCUCCAACCUCGAGCCCAAGCCAUCGCCAUUGCUGACCAUGGCAAAGGGCACGCUUGGAGUCUCCAACAAUGAGCUUGCCGCCAAUGGAUCCCUAUUUCUUUGUAAACCUUAUGGUGGGGAACCUUGAGUUGAAGAUCCCCAUCACUACCAAGCCCGCUGGCUCUACCGUCCACCCAUCGUCCUCUCCUCGCUUCUGCACCGACUUUGUUAAAUGGACGGGAGAUGGCAAGAAAUUUUUUUGAGUGCGAAAAGCCUAAGACUUUUUGUUUUCGAAGUGAUUAUUUUUUAAUCGUGAAUGCAUGACAUGCCUGUGACACAUUCGCAUUGAGAAAAUAUCAAGUGAGAGCAAGAUUUGAUGAAAAAUACUUCAUCAAACCUUUUAAGUUGCAUCCCAAAGAUACUAAAGCCCAAAAUAUGGGGGCAAAAACAAGAGGAAAUAGAAAGAAGCAGGAGAAAGAAGUAAAAUUUGUACUUAUUUUUGAAAGCCCAUACCCUUAUGAAGCCCAUCGAUCCUCAUCUUGGGCCAUGAGAGACCCGCCGUUCACUCGACCCAACUUGAUUUUCUUCCUCUUACGUUUUCCCGGGAAAACCCUUCUUCCCCUCUCUAGCUUUCUCCCGGAAAAUUUUCCGAUCCGUUGCAAACCGUUCAUCAUCUUCCGUUCUAUAACAGAUCUCGAUGACCUGCGAGGCUGCGAUGGAGAUUCGCAUUGGAAGAGGCUACGCGUGGGCCAUUGCCGCCGGAUUCAUGGCCGCUCUUGCAGCCAUCUCCGCCAAGUUCUUCUCCUCUCAGGUAACCCAACCUCAUCCACGCACUUGUCCGUGCGAGCUAAUCCAUGAUUGUCCCCCGCCGUUCUGCUUUGUCACUUGAGAUUGUGCGAUCGUUCUAGCUAAUGCAAAUCGAAAUCUGGUGUGUCUGUUGGGCCGUGUCCCUAAUGUAUCUCCGGCUGAAGCACUUGAUGUUGCGUGGCGCAAUGUGAGCCGCAGCCGAUAGCCGGUGUGCGGCGAUACGUCCAAUUUUUGGUUGUUUGAGGAUUAGCGGGAGCUCUAAUUGAGGAAAUCUCCUGCCAAUUCAACUACUUCUGUGGAGAGUAGUUGAAUAGAUUAGCGAGAGGGGAGGAGGGAGGGUGGUGCGUCUGCUCCUCGAUCCCCAGACAUGCCCGGGGAGGAGAGGGAGUUAUGGGCUAGCUUAUAAGGCUUUGGUCCAUCUAACUGUAUAUACGCGUUUUCUUGAGGUAAUAUGGGCUAGUUUGAGAAGAACAAAACCGUAAGGACUUAGUGUUCAAGGCGAAAAAUGUGUACAAUGGAGACCUAGCCAUUACAACAAUGUCAUCCAAUGGCAGGGGAUCGAGGAGCAAGAAAAACACAUUUAGCGAAGCAUGGAACGUGCUCAAGGGGAAUUGGGUAUCGGGACAUCGCCAUGUCACUGGUGAGCUCACUGGCAGAGCCUCAACGGAACUAUCGGGAUGCUGCCACAUCCCCAGUGAGCUGGAGAUCCUCGAGCAUGUCCCAGUCACAAGCGAGUUCUCAGAAAAGCUCUAAGAAGAGCUCAUCGGUGGAGUCUCAGUGGAGAUCCUCCAGCGUCAGCCAAGGCGACGACCAUUAUCACAACUCUGGUGAAGACGAUCCAUGGCGAGCAAGCUACAGGCAUGGCGCUCUUCGCCUAUUCUGGUGAUUACGAUCAAGGGCGAGUGAGAUUGUACCCGCAACCACCCCAGCAGGAAUAUGAUUAUUCUUAUCACACUAUCAGGGGGCAGUAUUAUUCUUGAGGUCUUGACAAUGUCAAUAGUUACGUCCACGACGACGCGUCCGUUCCAUCAUAUCUGCCCCCGCAUACUUCUUAUGGUUAUCACUGUCCAUCCGAGUCUCCCCCGAAUAAUUGUGUGGUGAUGUGAGAUGCCUAAUAUAGUGUGCCUAUAGUUGCUUUUACUAAUAUCUGGUGAAGUACGGGAUGAGCUAGGGGCAUGGUUGAGCCUUUGGUUUGUUAGCUUUCGCUUGUGAAUCUCAGUGAAGUUUCUUGUUUUAGUUAAUGGUUUCGAACGUGAUGGAGAUUGAUUGAAAUGGCUUUGCCAGUUAAUGAAGGUUUAUAUAUUUAUUUUAUGAAGUUUCAUCUAGUUCGUAGAUGCUAAAAAGUUCUAUUAAAAUUUAACUAAAUUUAGGGGCACUUAAUUCCAUCAAUUGUCUACGGUUCUACUUCUAUGGACAGAUGUUCCCUCACCAAUCAUUUAUCACAAAAAUUAAACCAAAUGAAAAACGAUUUAUAAAAAUAGUUUAAAAAAGAAAAAGAAAAUUGGCCGCGCCAUUCUUGAAAAUUCCUCAUUCUUCAAGGAAGACCUUUAAGGAUCCGAGCUUUCUUGUGAUCCUUCGUGUUCAAACUUCAAGUAGCUUUGAAUGUGCAGAUAUACAUUGAAAUUUGUCUUUCCAGAUGCUUAUGGCAUCUCCAUUGAGAUGCAUAUACAUGGAGGAGAAACUUUUCAAGCUCAUCCAUUUAAAAAUUGGGCUCCUUUCUUGAUGAAAUUCAGUGGACGAAGACGAGAGAAAACGUUUCCAGUUAAAAAGAUCAAAACCGAAAAUAAUCUCCACUCAGUCCGUCGGAAGUAAUUGAAUUGUUGAUAUAUCGACAUAAAAAUGAAGCAGGAAAUGUUAGAUUAAAUGUAAACUAAAACCUUAUGAUCCCGAUUAUCAAUCACAGAUAAAUUCGUACAGAAUUUGGGAUCGAUUUGCUGAAACGUAAAAAUCAACAUACCUCCAGUCAUCGAUAAAAAUUUGCAAAAGCGGAAAACUUCAAAACCUUGGACGGAUUCACGCAACACGAUCCGAUCUUCAAUAUGAAGAACACCAGAUCUGUACGUCAUGUUCUACUAGCCAAUACCCCUCAAAUCUGAUGGUGCGUUUUCUGUAAUGAUAGGGUUUGAAUUAGACGACUUGACAUUUUAUUCCGUUUAUUAUGUUAUAGACAUCUUCCAUCAAGACCGUUAUGGUAACAUAUUAACGAGCAAAUAUCAUGUAAUAGAUGUGGGUGAUAAACUGGGCAAUAAAUCGGAACUAAUUGAGAAUAUAAUAUUGGGAUCAUAUUUAGAAUAAUAAAUAUAUUACAACAUUCUCCCACUUGAUCCCAAUAUUCCAUUAAAUGAAAUAUUAACUCAAACCCACAUAAACUUCGUACUAAAAUAAAACACAUGAAUCAUGAUAAUGAGUCCUCUUAGAGUAAGUAUUAUCUUUCAUGUAUCACAAUGCAUUUCAUUAGCUCAUAUGCGAUCAAAUAACUUAAUGAAUAAAUCUUCUGUUUACUCUAGGUCAAAUGUAAUUGUUUCUCUCAGAAUAAUUGAAUGUAUACAAGUGUAUUGAGAAAAACAUUAUAAAUGAAUAAAAGUCUCACAAUUCUUUCAUAUAAUUUUUUUUUUACCUAAUUGGGCCAAUACCCAUUCUAAAUACAUGAUUCUUAUAACUCAUUGGUGGCAUGCCUUUAGUUAAAGAAUCAGCUAUCACCAGUCCAGUGCUUAAGUGUUCUAUGAUCACUUUCUUCUCUUUAACACGUUCUCUGAUGACUAAAUACUUGAUGUCGAUGUGCUUGCUUCAACUACCACUUUUGCGGUUCUUAGCCACAAAAACUGUAGCUGAAUUGUCGCAAAAUAUUCUUAAUGGCCUAGCAAUGGAAUCCACAACUCUAAGCUCCGAUAUGAAACUUUUCAAUCACACACCAUGUGAGGUGGUCUCAAAAUAGAAAACAAACUCUGCCUCCAUAGUGGAAGUGGCAACCAAGGUCUGUUUUGCACUCCUCUAGGAUACAGCUCCACCAACAAAGUUUGAAUUCGAGUAACCAACUACCUCCAAGGUGUUCGUCCGUCUAUACAUAAGUAUGUAUCCCUUUGUUCCUUGAAGGUACCUCAUUACCUUCUUUGCAGCUCUCCAACGGUCCAUACCUAGAUUACUUUAUAUAUACUCAACAUUCCCAUAGCAAAGGCUAUGUCAAAUCGAGUGCAAACUUAAGCAUAUAUCAAGCUUCUGACAGCAGAAGCAUAUGGAAUGUUCUUCAUUCGUUCCCUUUCAAAAUCGUCCUUUGGGCAUUGGUUUAAAUUAAACCUAUCACCUUUCACAAUCGGUGCUAUAUCUGGUGAACAAUCUUUCAUCCGAAACCUCUCUAAGACCUUAUUGAUAUAGGUUUCUUGAGAUAGUCCUAAUAUAUCUCGAGAUCUAUCUCUAUGGAUCUUAAUGCCAAUGACAUAAGACGCUUUAUCAAUAUCCUUUAUAUCAAAACUCUUAGAGAGAAAUUGUUUCCCUUCAUAUAACAACCCCUUAUCAUUGGUUGUAAGUAAAAUGUUAUCUACAUAUAGCAUAGGGAAACAAAUUUUGCUCCCAUUAACCUUUUGGUAUAUACAUUGAUCAAUGAUAUUCUCUAUAAAACCGAAUGAAGAGAUAACCUCAUGGAAUCUUAAGUACUAUUGGCGGGAUGCUUGUUUUAAGCCAUAUAGAGACAUUUUAAGCUUGCAUACCAAAUGUUCACCAAUAUUAGAAAAUAAUCAUUCUAGUUAUUUCAUGUAAACCACUUCUUUCAAUUUUCUAUUGAAGAACGCCAUUUUCGCAUCUAUUUGAUGUAACUUCAUAUCAAAAUGAGCAACUAAUGCCAAAAUAAUACGAAGAGAAUCUUUCUUGAAUACAGGAGAAAACGUCUCCGUGUAAUUGAUCCAUUCCUUUUUAGUGAAUUCCUUGGCAACGAAUUUGGCUUUGUAUCUCUCAAUAUUGCCUAAUGAAUCAUUCUUAGUUUUGAAGACUCAUUUACAACUAAUAGCCUUCACACCAUCGAGCAAUUCAACUAUAUCCCAGACUUCAUUUGAUGCCAUAGAAUUCAUCUCUUCCUUCAUGGCCUUGUACCAUAAAUUGGAUUUAUCACAACUCAUGACUUGUGAAAACGUCUCGGGAUCACUUUCAGCUCCAACAUUAUAGUCAAUUUUUUGUAGAUACACAAUGUAAUCAUUAGGGAUUGCUGAUUUCUUCAUUCUAGUAGACCUUCUUAAUGUUGCAUCAACAUCCUCCUGAGGAGUUUGUUGUUCAACUGAAAGUUCAAUAGUAUCUGGUAAUUGCUGAAUAGUUGGGUCUAUCGAAUCAACAUUAGUAAGUUAUGGAUCUUCAAUGAUUGAUUGCUCAACGAUCGGUUGAAUUGAAGGUGUAUUGUAAACAUUAACCAAUCAAGUACCUGAGGUAGAAGGUUGAGUAUCUAAAUGAUCUUCUUCGGGAACAAAGUCCCUGAAUUGAUCGUUCCCAUUAACCAGGGCAUUCUCAAGAAAUUUAACAUUUCUUGAUUCCACAAACCUAAUGGUGUGAGAUGGACAAUAAAAUCUGUAUUAUUUGGACUUUUCGGCAUAUCCAAAGAAAUACUCAUUUAUAGUCUUUGGAUCUAACUUUUUUUUUUCCUGUGGAUUGUAGACUUUUACUUCAGAUGAGCAUCCCCAAACACGUACAUGUCACAAACUCGGUUUUCAACAUUUGAAUAACUCAAAAGGCGUCUUUGGAACAGCCUUGGUUGGAACUCGGUUUAAUAUGUACACAACCGUUUUAAGAGCCUUAGUCCACAAAAAUUUAGGAAGUUUGGAGCUGCUGAGCAUACUCCGCACCAUGUCCAAUAAUGUUCAUUUUUUUUUCUGCGACACCAUUUUGGUCUAGUGAACUAGACAUAGUGUAUUGAGCAAUAAUCUCAUGCUCUUCAAAAAACUUCGCAAAUGAACCAGGUGCUUAUCCAUCUUCAAUGUAUCUACCAUAAUAUUCCCCACCUCUAUCUGAUCUUACGAUGCCGCAUUGUUUUUCUACUUCGGUUUUAAAUACUUUAAAGGCAUUUAACGCUUUGUGCUUAUUACAAAGCAUAUAAAUACAUGAAUCGUGAACAAUCGUCUAUGAAAGAAAUGAAGUAUCUGACCAUUUGAGUCCAUAUCCGGACUACAAAUAUCUGUAUAUAUGAUUUUUAAUAUUUUUGUAUUCCUCUUAGCACCUUUCUUUGACUUGUUGGUACAUUUUCCCUUUAUACAAUCCACACAAGUGUCAUAAUUAGUAAAAUCCAGAGUAUUAAGUACUUUAUCAUUUACUAGUCGCUUAAUUAUAUCAAUAGAGAUAUGUCCCAACCUCCGGUGCCACAACAUAGAUGAAUCCUCAUUUACAGCACAUCGUUUUAUACUAGCAUUAUCGUGAACAUGCAUCGCAUUAUUAAUUACAUUGUCUAGUAAAUUAAUUCGAAAGAGACCGUUAAACAAAAUACCACUCUCAACAAUUUCAGAUUUAUACGAUAAAUUGAAUGUUGAAUAUAAAAAUUCAAAGGAGUAUCCCUAAGGCACAAGUCUUGAAACUGAAAUUAAAUUCCUAGAAAAACUAGGAAUAUAAAAGGUCAUUUCUAAAAUUAAAACAAAACCACUACCGAGAACUAAUCUGCAUGUCCUAAUAGCUUCCACGCGCGAGCACAUCUUGUUUCUUGAAUAGAUGCUUUGUUCACUUUCCACUUGUUUCCACCGGUUCUAAAAACCCUACAAGGAAUUCGAAAUGUGGAUUGUAGAACCAGAAUCAAUCCACCAAGUGUUGUGACCCACAUCAACCAUAUUAGAUUCAUAACAAACAGAUGAGAGUUGGUUAUCUUUCUUUUUUAGCAGGCCUUAAAUUUGGCACAAUUCUUCUUCACGUGCCCCUUCUUUUUACAGAAGAAACGCUUGAAUUUCUUUUUAAUGCCAACUCGGGGAGGUAGAGGCAUGUUACCUUUUCCCUUUUGCUUGCCUUGCUCUUUAUACUUAUCAUGUGUUGUCAUAUGGUCAUGAGUUCAUUGAUUGACCAUUUAGUUUUAUGUGUAUUGUAAGAGAUUUUGAAAUGGGCAUACUCUUGUAGGAGAGUAUUUAGAAUAUAAUAUACAAGAAAAAAAUAUGAUAUCCCAACCUGAAGAUUUUUCAGCUGAGCUGCAAUGUCCCUCAUCUUCAUGAUGUGCUCACGCGCACCUCUUACACUGGUAAGUUUCAAAGAUGAGAACUUCAUAAUCAGGGUCAUGGCAUGCACCUUCUCUAAAGACUCAAAUUGUGCAUUAAUAGCCUCCAGCAAUUUCUUGGCAUUGUUAUGCUGAAUGACUAAACCACGAAUACUAGCAGAGAGUUUUAUCUUUAUGUACAUCACACUGAGACGGUUGGACCGCUCCCAUUGUGCAUAAUGUGUAUGUUCAAUAUGAGUACUAUUUUCAAUAGAUUCAGGUGGUUCGUCAGACCUUAGUACAUAAUCAAGAUCCAUGCACCCCAAUUGAAGAAGAAUCGAUUCCUUUCAUUCUUUAUAGUUAUUCCUAUUAAGCUUGGAAACAAUUAUACCAGAACUAAUCGUAGGUGGUAAAACUGCAUCAUAAUUAAAGAAAACUUAUGUAUCAACAUAUUUGAGGCAAAUAAACUUAAAUAAAACAUGUUAUAAAAUAUGGAUCACAUAACAUCAAUAACUAUCUGUGGGCUAAGUUUCUAAUUUAAAUUGAUUCAUAAUUACUUAAUGAUGAAACUAUCAAAUUAUAUUCUCUUCUUUAAUCCCUAUGGGUAACUUAAGAAAGAUAAAAUAAUAUUUCAUCAUAAUUAAUCACAUUAAUAUAUUGAAAAUUCCCGUGGGAUAAAAUUCAUAAUAUUAAUAUGACUAAUCACAAUUAUAAUAUUUGACUAUAUGUGAUCCAAAGGCUUUUAAUGUAUAUAACUUAAUAUAAUCAAAGAUGCUAUGGCUAAUCUUUAAUUAAUUAAAUAUAUACGGAUCACUAGACAUUUAAUUUUAUGAGAAAAUAUUCAUAAAAUUGCACGUUAGGGUAAAACGGUAAAAUCACGUGCAAAGGGGUAAAACUGGAAUUUUGCACGCAAGGCCGGAAUAGGAAUUUUACUUUUAAGGGGUAAAAUAGGAAUUUGCACGCGCCUAAAGCCUUCUUUUCGGGCUUUCUUCUUUUCCGCCGUUCCUUCCGCCGCGACUAACUUUGUUCUGCUGCCUGGAUUCCUCCCACAGCCCAUGUCCGACCAAAUUGAUUGAUGGGUUUCGAAGAGAACGUCGGGACGAACGAAUAAUUUCAAGAUCAGGCAAAAACGACCAACAUAUUGACUGGAAUUAAGCCUAAAACAAUCUGCCCUAAAAACCCUAACCACCAAAAUUUCACUGUUCGAUUAACCUCCGAUGAUCAAUAAUAUGCCGAAAAAUUUAAGGGCUUUUCUUCCUAAUGGCAGUGUGGCCAUGCAGAUCCAUUAUCGUGUGGUGGGUCGCCCAAAUUUGGCCAAAAUUUUAAAUUCUGUUCUAAGUCAUAAAAAUCCGAAUUUACCCAUACAUAAUUCAAUGAAAAUAAAUAAAAAUUCCAAAAAUUUCACCAAGGUAGAGAUUGUAAACAUGCUUUGAUACCAACUAUUAGAUUAAAUGUAAACUAAAACCUGACGAUCCCAAUUAUCAAUCACAGAUUAUUUCGUACAGAAUUCUGGAUCGAUUUGCAGAAACGUAAAGAUCAACAUACCUUAAGCUCUUCACCAAAAAAAAACAUACCUUAAGCCAUCAAUGAAAAUUUGCAAAAGCAGAAAACUUCAAAACCUUGGACGGAUCCACGUAGCACAAUCGAUCUUCAAUAUGGAGAACACCAGAUCUGUACGUCAUAUUCUAUUAGCCCAUACCCCUCAAACCUAAUGGUGUGUUUUCUGCAGUGAUAGGGUUUGAACUAAACGACCUGACGUUUUAUUCCAUUUCUUAUGUUACCGACAUCUUUCAUUAAGACCGUUACAGUAACAUAUUAACGGGCAAAUAUCACGUAAUAAAUGUGGGUGAUAAAUUAGGCAAUAAAUCGGAACUAAUUGAGAAUAUAAUAUUGGGAUCAUAUUUAGAAUAAUAAAUAUAUUACAACGGGAAAGAGAUUUAUUUAUUUCAAUAGCUUCUUUAGUGAAGAUUAUAGUAAUCUAUUUAUAAAUUUUAUGAAGUGACUAUCCGAAAAAACAAAAUAUUACACAUAUCAAUGACGAUCAAUGAAAACCAUUCGAAAAUAUGCAUAAUCAAAUGAACAUAGUGCACAAUUAUGAGAGAUAUACAAAACCAAUGGAGAUUUAAAGAAUCUACUUUAUAUAAAGACAUAGAAGAAGUCAAUUGUAGAAUAUAUUAGCAGUCUUAUCAACCAAAGAAGUGGAGACAAGAUGCACAAUGUCAUGAAGCACAUGAUAACACGUGAAACGAUAGUCUCUUUCAAUAUGUUUGGUGCUUUUAUAAAUAAAUAAAAACAUUAUUAUAUGCUGUUCGGGUCCAAUUAUCAUAAUAAAUAAGUAUUUUGUUGUUAAGAUGACACAUAUAUGUCCUUUAAUAACCAUUACAAAUACAGUAAUUUUGAUGUUGUAUUAGCAAAAGCAUGAUAUUCAGCUUUCAUGCUAGAUGAAGCGACAAUGGUCUAUUUAUUGUUAUGCUAUAAGAUAAGUGAGUUACUUAGAAAGUAGUGAAGUAAUAAUCAAGAGGGUCUCCUGCCCAUCAAAUUUAGUUAAAAAGAUUGAACUAAAAAAUGAUCUCCACCCAAUCCAUUAGAAGCAGGUGAAUCACUUAGUUCAAUGGAAGAACCGCUACAUGAAUAAUGGGUAAGGGAGUCUGUCUCGGGAAAUAAACUACGAAUCCAUUAAGGCUCCCUUCGUUUCGUGAAACACAAUUUCUAGAAAAAGUAUUUUUUGGAUUUUCCGACAUUCCUUUCCUGAAAAAUGAACUAAUCGAGGAAAACAUUUUCCAUUAGCAAAAAAGAGUUUUCUAAAAUAGAGAAAAUGUUUUCCACUUUUCAAGAUGAAGAAAACAUUUUUCUUACUCAUUUUCUCUUAUCUCAUACCUAUGUUAACCUUUUCAUCUUUUUUCCUAAAAAAAUCCAAUUUUUAAUUAUUUUUCUUUUUUUUGUUUUUUUAUUUUUCUCUUUCAAGCUCGAGACUCAUUGGAAUUUGGCAAGCCUUAAGCUCACCUACGGCCAAUCACUGGCCAUCACCGUGGUUGAUCAAAAAAGAAGAAUAAAAAAAGAAAGAAAAAAUAAAAAUAAUUUAAAAAUUGAUUUUAAGAAAUAAAAAAAAUUAUUGAAAAAGAGUGCAUGGAGGAAAACAUUUUCCUUACCAAAUAACAGAAAAUAUUUUAUAAUUCAUUUUCAAAUUUCAGCUGCAAACUACAAAAUGGCUAUCUUCUUGAAAAAUGGCUUCCUAGAAAACAAUUUCUAGAAAUGUUACAUUUUCCGUGAAACAAAUAGAAUCUUAAUUAAAAAAUGAUUCGUUCGACAUAGCUUGGAGCUAGGUCUCUCUGUCCAUUGGGCAACCAAGAAUGCAAUCCUAAAGUGCCAUUAUUAUUAUUUUGCCCCCGAUUUCAAAUGCAAGUAGGCCUUCAAAAAAGGGGCUCGAAAUGUUCUUAUUUUCUUAAAUAAGAGCUCGAAGUGAACCUUAUUUCAAAUAAACGCCUGAAGUGCCAUCGUUUUAUCAAAUAAAGGACUGAAGUGAAUAUUAUUUUAAAUAAAUGCCUGAAAUGGCUAUGCCAGUUUCAAACAAUAGCCUAAAGUAAUUAUGUCUGUUUCAAAUAAGAACUUUCUCUUCUUCUUCUUCUUCUUUUUUUUCUGGUUCUUCUUCUUCCUCUUCGCCACUGGCCGAAGGGUUGGGCAAGGGUUGCCUUACCCAAUUCGAUGAGCACCACCCAUGUCGGCCACAAAUGAGGAACGGCCUCACUUGGGCGAGGCCACCCUUGCCCUGGGGGAGGCUGCCCCUUGCGGCCAUCUACAAGGGCUCGUCGACCUCAUCGGCCACGGGUGAGGGUGGCCUCGCUCACAACCGGCGAGGGCUUGCAGGCCCUUGUCGGCCAUUCCUAGCGGCCAGCAAGAUUGUUGACCCUUUGCAAUGAAAAAAGAAGAAAAAAGAAAAGAAAAUGUGGAUGAAAACUCCUUGACCAGUUGGAAAAUUUAGCCGGCCAACAACCGCCGAACUCGGGCCCUUAUUUGAAACAACAAUGGCUACAUCAGACCCUUAUUUAAAACAACCAAGACCACUUCAAGUCUUUAUUUGAAACAAGGUCUACUUCAGAUUUUUAUUUGAAAAAAUGAGGCACUUCAAGUUAGGGGUGUGCAUGGUCCAGGCGGGCGGUUCCUGAUCUAGAACCGGGAAUCGCCUGCUAAAGACCGGUUCCGAAAAAUUGGAACCGAGAUUCACUUGUUUAUUGCAUGGAUCCACAUGGGAACCGGACUGGCCAGUCCGGUUCCCAGGUGGAUCCAUGGAACCGGUCUUGACGCGAAAUAAUUUUGGUUUUCAACAAAGAACGACUAUGUAACAUCAAGGCAAGCCAAAGAAAGAAAAACCAAAUUUAAGUACGUGGAGAUGCGGACGGUGGGAGAAAUAAACGCAGCAAAAUGGCGAUAGGAUUAGGAGCCGAAGACGAAGGGAGUGAGAUGAGAUCUACGAUUUAUUUUAGUAAUUUUUUUUUUAAUAUUAAAAAGGUUCCAGUCCGGUUCGGGUGGGCGGGCGGGCGGAUCCGCCCAUGGAACUGGGAACCGGACCAUUACCCACCGGUUCCCAUAAAUUGGAACCAGGAACCGGACCAAUUCUCUCAAGAACCGCAAGUUCCGAGCAGUUCCAGUCCGGUUCCGGGCGGUCCGGGCGGUUCCCGGGUAUUUUGCACACCCCUACUUCAAGCCCUUUUUUGAAAUUUUCUCUUUAUUUUAUUUUAGGUUGCAAUUCUUGCCCAUGGACUGAACUAAAAUAUACUCUUUUUCUCUCUCUCUUUUUCCACUUAAAAAAGCCGCUUGAUCAAAUAUGAUUUAUCUUGAGCAAAUGCACCUUGAAUCAAGGGGAAAUGACUUCGCAUUUCUUCAGAAGUCUUCCAAAUAAAGUCAACUAUUAUGCAUCUAAUUUUUUUAAUCAAUAUUUGUUACUAAUAGGUAUUCCAAAUAAAAUCAACUUAAUAAAUUUUCUUAUUUUUAAUUAAUAUUUUUUACAAAUAGGUAUUUCAAAUGAAGUCAACUCAAUAAAUUAGUAAAAAAAUUACAGAAAAACGAAAAAAUUAACUCAACCAAAAUAGAAUAACUACUCAAAGUACCUUUACUUUAAAAUAUAAAUAAGAGUGCACAAAUUGCCAAAACAUCAUUACAAAUGAUAAAUUGAAGAAUUAAAAAUGAUAAAAAUUGAUACACCCCUUCCAUACAAAGGGUGCUCAGACCGUCAACUUUUAUUUAGAGAUCACCGAAACAGUGCUUUACCCCUAGAUGUCCUAGUGCGUUUAAAAUUCUAAACUCAUGGCAAAAGUGUAACUAAAAUUUAAAAUUUUAGAUAAUAUAAUCAAAUCCGAAAAUUUACCAAAUUGAAGCAAUCAAAAUUUAAGAUGCUUAAAAUAUUACUAUAAUAUAAAUCAAUAAUAUGUGUUGUGUUGAAUGCUAAACGCGAGACAAAUCGUUGAUGCAUGAUAUCACUCAUUGAUUGUGUAGAAUUUAGGCAACAUUUUUUCUUUUUUAAUUUGAAACUUAGGCAACAGUUCAAUAAGCGGAUUUGAUAAUUACAACGAUCCCCAUAAUUGUUUCAUCAAUAUGUGAUGGAUGGAAAGUGAAAAAAAAAAUAGAAAAAGGAGUAAAAAGAGAAUAAAUACAUAACAUUUUUUUUCAUAGUGUGGUGUUACUGAACUUGAUGUUGACCGAGAGCAACUAAAUUUCCACAAGGUGUCCAGACUGCAGCAUUAAUUUUACUACAUAUUCUCCUUGGGAGAAAAUAUUGGUUGUGCAGAUUGUGCCAGCGUAACAAAUUGAAAGCUCAUCCAUUGAGCAACAUGUGUUCAUCUUCUUGCCCUCUCUCUAUUCUCCCACUUUUUUGCAAGCCACGGAUGCCUCUCUCCUCCAUAAACCCCUUCUCCUUCGGCCCUCCCCCUCACUUGCACGGGGCACAACAACGUUAUUCAACCCACCUCUCCUUCACUUGAGCUCGACCUUUGUGCCUCCCCCACCGACAACAGUUCCACCAUUGAAAUCUUCCACUGUCCCCGCAGCCCUUGGAUCCAAGAACAAGCCUAAGUCUCCCGUGCUCCUUGUUAUCACUCACGAGCCCAAGUCCCUCCACAUCUUCGGGAUUUGACAAGGGCUCAGUCCUUGCCAGAUUCAGCACGAGCGACCCUUGCCCUAGCUGGGGGCGUCAACCUCAUCGAAUCCUCUUGUCAAAUUCGGCGAGAGCGACCCUGGCUUGUGGGUCAAGUACUGGCCAUAGGUCAAAGGGAAAGAAAGUAAUUAAAAAAAAAGAAGGUAGGAAUGGCAAAGAAGAAGAAGAGAAAUGGAGGUGUGAUUCUGCAAGAGGAGAGAAACAAAGGAAGAAUAGUAUGAUAAGUAAGUUUUUUAGGGACACAUAUCACUCAAUGGAUGGGCUUUCAAUUUGUUGCAUUGGCACAACUUGUGCGGCCAAUAUUUUCUCCAUGUCUUGAUAUGGUUUAAAAAUAAGUAAAUGCUCGGCCCAUGAACGCAUGCGUGUCCAUACACAUGUUUUCACAAUUUUAUUAGUAUCAGCUAUAUGAGAUUGUGCUAUAAAUAUAAUAACGCAAAGAGGCCUAAAAUCGGAAAAGCUCACCUAGAGAAACCCCGCAUUAUCUUGAAUCAAUCCCCUGGAAUGGGAAUGGAAGCUUUCUUGGCAUCGUUUGGUUGAUUGGAGCGAGGUGGAAUGGAAAUAAAAUUGGGAAUAAAUUCAUUACUGCAUUUUUCGUUGACACGUGGGAAAGUGGAAAUGAGCGAUAAGGCAUGGGAAUGAGUUGACAGUCAAGGGUAAAUUGACAUGUGCACUAAGCUUUGUAUUUGGUUACUGUUGUUUGGACAUAAUAUGGCAAACAUACUUACCUAAUUUACUAUUAUAUAGCAAUUUAAAACGAUAAAAUUCCACCCAUUACUACAUACGUUCUAAUUCCAAUGUAUUACCAAAUGCAGUGAUCUUCAAAUCAAUCGCUAUUCUGAUUCACUACAAGCAAUUCCAUUCCCUUCAAAUUAUCUCUUGCUUAUGUAACAAAUGGGCCAAAGAAACAAGUUAAAACUCAUAUGGACAACAUCCUCAUCUAAAAUUAAGAACAUAUCAAAGUGCAUGAACCGCAAAAAUUAAGACCAUGAGCGCACGCAUGUCUAGUCUGUCUAAUUCUAUAUGUAUAUAGUGGUAGAUAUGUCCAAUAUGACCUCACUACGUACAUCCAAUUUCCACUCUGGAAAACGUAAUUAAUUGUUUAGGCUUGUUCUUCGCUACUUAUUUUUCCUCCAAUUGUCUUCAUGUUACCUCUUUUGGAAGCAUUCAGUUGAUCUACAUGCAUUGUUUGGAUAUGAAGAAAUGUUUUAAUAGUUCAGUUUUCAUAAAAAUAUACCAGCUCGAGAUUAUCAAUGGUUCGUGUAUAUGUAAUCUUGUGUACUCAAACUAGCUAAACUCGAAUGAUGUUCCAAUUUGGAUCUAAAAUACCAUUGCCGGAUAAUUUCAAUGGAAUGCCAUCAAAUUGUUUUCCCCUAAUGCUACGUUAAAGUACGUAUUGCAUAACUUAGAUACUUUUACCCAAAAUCAUUCCGAAAAAAAUAUAUCAGGACAAAUUCAGAAGUUUUAUAGGCGAUAAUCGUGGAUUAAUAUAGUUUCGUUCCAUUCUUAUAGGAACUAUCCAAAGGAAUUCAUUUCUUCACGUGGAAAGCAAACUCUGCCUUUUUUAGUCAAUUGUUGACUUGGCUUUUGAUUAAUUAUACAUGACUAAAUUCAUUUUUGCUCAAGGUUUGCUGUUUGACAUAUAAUAUCAAAAAUAUAUUUCAAAACUUCACCGCUACAUAUUUACAAUACCCCGCAACAUUGCACGAGAAGUAGCAAGCUUGUGCGGUUCACAUUCCCCUCUGAGCACCUGGGAAAGCCUACUCUCCCGUCUAAAACUGUACAAUUAAAUUAGGUCAAUAUAUCCAACUUCCAUGAUUUUAGGUAUGUGAAUGUGAAUACACCAGUUGCCAAAUGUAGGAAACAAAAGAAAAAGGAAAUAAGUUAACCACACGGGCAGGAUUGAGAGAUGUGUAUUUUUGCAAGCUACGUAAUGUCUCCGAAUAUAUAGUCAUGAGAUACGGUCCACAAACAAAUGCAAGACCAUACAGUAUCCAUUUUCCCAUUUGGGACACAUAAUCAACUAGGCAUAUUGCUACAUUAUUCAAUUGCAUUCAUUUAACUAUAUGGUAAUUUAGUGUGGGAUGGCGUACACAUUGCAUCAUAUAAUGUACAUGGAAAUUUCAAUAUUGUUACCAGUACCCACAUGAUCUCAUGAGAUAAUAUUUCGAACAAUCUUCUAAAUCUUCUUGAUAUAUAUGCCAUGCACUUGGUACCAAACUAAAAAGCAUUCCGCAACUCUCCCGUUAUAUAAACAUAGUCGACUCGCUAUGUUGUACUUAAUUAGUACGUCUAUAAUGGGGUGUGAUGAGAACGUACCAUUUCGUCUUGAUAUGCUACGAUGGAAAAACAUAUAAAAGACUCCUAAAGACAACCGUUAAGCGUGUUGACAGAACACCGUUGAGCAUGUUGGCAGAAUGUACGCUCAAAGAGAAAGUUUUCAUUUUCUUGUCCCAUUUCCAUCAAAAGAAAAAGAAGCAUUUCAUUUCUCUUUUACGAGAACAAUUGACAUUUACGCUGUGGAAACUUUCCUCGUGAUUGCAUUUAGACCAACGUGAAGUAUUUUUGUUCGUGAUUCAUUCGUAAUUUAACGAUUGUUCCGCAGUAAAUUGUUGACUGCACAUCGAGAAUAGGUAUGUCGUCUUCCGCUGACUUUCUUCCAACACGCUAUAUUACUAUCUUUACGAGAUUUUGGAGAAUUGAAGUCACAAUGUCAUCCAAUAGCAGGGGAUCGAGGAGCAAGAAAAACAUAUUUAGCAAAGCAUGGAACGUGCUCAAGGGGAAACGGGGAUCUCACGAAGCCUCAUCAAGCAGGACCUAUCGGGAUGCCGCCACGUCACCGGCGAGCUCACUGGCAGAGCCUCAAUGGAACUAUUGGGACGCCACCACGUCCCUGGUGAGCUGGAGAUCCUCGAGCAAGUCCCAGUCACGAGCGAGUUCUCGGAAAAGCUUUGAGAAGAGCUCACCGGUCGAGUCUCGGCGGAGAUCCUCGAGCGUCAGUCAAAGCGACGACCAUUAUCACAAUUCUGGUGAAGAAGAUCCAUGGCGAGCAAGCUACAGGCAUGGCGCUCUGGCCUAUUCCGGUGGUUACAAUCAAGGGCAAGUGAGAUCGUACCCGCGACCACCCCAGCAGGAAUAUGAUUAUUCUUAUCACACUAGCAAAGGGCAGUAUUAUUCUCGAGGUCUUGACAAUGUCAAUAGUUACAUCCGCGACGACGCGUCCGUUCCAUCAUUUCUGCCCCCGCAAACUUCUUAUGGUUAUCACCAUCCAUCCGAGUCUCCCUCGAAUAAUUGUGCGGUGAUGUGAGAUGCCUAAUAUAGUGUGGCUAUAGUUGCUAUUUACUAAUAUCCGGUGAAGUACGGGAUGAGCUAGGGGCAUGGUUGAGCCUUUGGUUUGUUAGCUUUCGCUUGUGAAUCUCAGUGAAGUUUCUUGGGAGAUUGAUUGAAAUGGCUUUGCCAGUUAAUGAAGAUUAUAUAUUUAUUUUAUGAAGUUUCAUCUAGUUCGUAGAUGCUAAAAAGUUCUAUUAAAAUUUUACUAAAAUUAAGGGCACUUAAUUCCAUCAAUUGUCUAGGGUUCUACUUCUAUGGAUAGAUGUUCUCUCACCAAUCAUUUAUCACAAAAACUAAACCAAAUGAUAAACGAUUUAUAAAAAUAGUUUAAAAAGAAAAAGAAAAUUGGCCACGCCAUUCUUGAAAAUUCUUCAUUCUUCAAGGAAGACCUUUAAGGAUCCAAGCUUUCUUGUGAUCCUACGUGUUCAAACUUCAAGUAGCUUUGAAUGUGUAGAUAUACAUUGAAAUUCGUCUUUCCAGAUGUUUAUGGCAUCUCCAUUGAGAUGCAUAUACAUGGAGGAGAAACUUUUCAAGCUCAUCCAUUUAAAAAUUGGGCUCCUUGCUUGAUGAAAUUCAGUGGACGAAGACGAGAGAAAGCGUUUCCAGUUAAAAAGAUCAAAACCGAAAAUAUCUCCACUCAGUCCGUCGCAAGUAAUUGAAUUGUUGAUAUAUCGACAUAAUAAUGAAGAAGGAAAUGUUAGAUUAAAUGUAAACUAAAACACGACGAUCCCGAUUAUCAAUCACAAAUAAAUUCAUACAGAAUUCAGGAUCGAUUUGCAAAAACGUAAAGAUCAACAUACCUCCGGCCAUUGAUGAAAAUUUGCAAAAACAGAAAACUUCAAAACCUUAGACGGAUCCACGUAGCACGAUUGAUCUUCAAUAUGGAGAACACUAGAUAUGUACGUCAUGUUCUACUAGCCAUUACCCCUCAAACCUAAUGUGUGUUUUCUAUAGUGAUAGGGUUUGAACUAGAUGAUUUUGUUCCAACUCUUAGACAUCUUCCAUCAAAACCGUUAUUGAUAACUCUAUAAAAAUAGAGUUAUUUGACCUAUUUUAGGCAACAAUUAAUGCAUUAUCUAUGAAAAAAUAUUUGGAUUUCCUUUUGAUUAUUUGAAUUUUCCUUGUUUAUGCAGAAUAAUAAGAUAUGGAGAAGAUAAGGAAAAGAAUGGCAAUUAUCAGUAAUUCAAAUAAAAGCGGUAGUGGAAAAGUGGAAAUAUCAAAUCAGGAAAUUCUUGAUUUUAUUCCCUAAUGUUAUCUAUAAGCAUUGGGAGAUAGAUAUUUUAGAUUUCCUAUAAAUAGGAAGAGAGACAGCUAGGGUUUUUAGGGUUGGAGUUAGAUCGUUUUUCAUUCUUCUGAGAGUUUUUUCAGAUCGUUUUUCAUUCUUCUGAGAGUUUUUUCAAGUAUUUUGAAGAAAAGACAAAAGUGGUGACAGAAUUCUUGUCCUUUGAUUCAAGAUGCUAGGUUUGAUCUAUAUUUUUAUUUUUAUUUCUUAUUCUACUAUGUUCUAAUUUUCUUUUGUUAGGGCUACGAUGUAGCCUAACCAUGAUAAUAUGAAUUUCAUGAUUUUUAUAUUUUACAAUUGAUUUUAUUCAUGUGAGUUAUAUAUUAUUGCGUUUAAUGCUUUUGAAUGACUGGCCACCACUUGAAUGAUUUGAUGUGCAUGUUUGAGACUGAGAGGUGAUAAUAUGCAAUUGCUCAUUAUAAUAUAUAACCAUGAAUUAAACGUGGAUAGAAAUAACCGCGUUAUUUGUGUAACUUUCGGUGAUAAGGUGAUCCAAAAGACUCAUUGUAAACCGGGAAUAUUCAUAGUUUUUAAUGCACUCAUGUUUAUUUUAAUUCACAUAGAGAUAUAGUGGAUUAAUAAGCUGAGUAGGUUUGCUAUACCUAGAGAUAGGAUAGUAAAUAGAUUAGGAAAUUCCGCUAUCACAUGUUUGAUAUCGUUCUUGUAUUCACAAUAAUCUGAAAUUCAUAUCUAGUGGUUAUGGUGAAAUCGGAUGCUUUAACAUAUUUAUCUGAUUGAUUUUAUUGCAUUUAGUCUUCAAGUUUUGUUUUUAAUUUAUUCUAAAUUAUAUUUUGAUUUGUUAGAUAAAUUUUAGAAUUAAUCUAUUUUAGUAUUUCAUUAGUUUAUUAAUCAUCGAUCUCCGUGGGACGAUACUUUUUCUCAUCAUUAUAUUACUUAUUCGAUACGUGCACUUGCGUUUAGAAUUUCACGAACAGUUAUGGUAACAUAUUAACGGGCAAAUAUCACAUAAUAGAUGUGGGUGAUAAAUUGGAAAAUAAAUCGAAACUAAUUGGGAAUAUAAUAUUGGGAUCAUAUUUAGAAUAAUAAAUAUAUUACAACAGGAGAGAGAUUUAUUUAUUUCAAUAGCUUCUUUAGUGAAGAUUAUAGUAAUCUAUUUAUAAAUUUUAUAAAGUGACCAUCCGAAAAAACAAAAUAUUACACAAAGUAAUGACGAUCAAUGAAAACCAUUUGAAAAUAUGCAUAAUCAAAUGAACAUGGUGCACAAUUCUGAGAAAUAUACAAAACCAAUGGCUAUGAAGCACGGACACGUUGCCCGUGCUUCUGUGUCGUGUCUGACAUGUGUCGGAGCGUGUCGGACACGUCGACAUGCUCGGACACGCUCGGACACGCGGUCAACUUUUCUUGACACGCGUGUCAAUGCGUGUCCGGAAGACUCCGGGUGGAGGCGAGGGAGGGGGAGGGAGCAAAGGCCGCGAGCAACGGUGAGAGAUGGCCAGAGAGAGGAAGAGAAGAGGAAGGGAUCGAGGCCCGAGGGGGCGGUGGCGGCGACGGCAUCUCCUCCUCCUCAGCGUCGCGUCCACUCCAUCGUCGGAAGUUGAGAAACGAUACGAGGUGCGAAAGAGGGGAGUGAGGUCUGCUGUCUGCGUGUUUGUCUUGGUCCAAUGUUUUUUGUGCGAGCAGUAGAAGGAGGAAAAAGAGGGUCGCUAGGGUUUGUGAUAAUGGAAUAAAAAAUAAUAAAAAGAGGGGGACGAUGGCGUGUCUUUUGAGUUUUGGGGGAGGGGAAGUGAGGCUAACAGCUUGUCUGUCAGUGGUUUCGGGAGGGAAAAAAGUAAAAUAAGUUUGGGGUGGAGGGAAAUGGACAAAGAAAAGAAAGAGUGGAUUUGGGAAUUUUUUUUUUAUAGAAAAAUUAAAUAAAUGAAAUUGAAAAAUAAUUUCGAAAAGUAAAAGUAUUGAAUUUUGAAUAAUCAUAAAUUUUGAUCAUUCUAAAAAAUCAUGAAUUUAUUAUUAGUUUUAUCAAUAACUUUUGUUAAAAUUAAAAACAUGUUUCGCCUUAAUUAUGAAUAUAUCUUUCGAAUUUUAAAUGAAUUGAUUUAUUAAUAUUAUUAGUAUAAAUUUAUUAUAGGCUUUUUUAAUUAAUUAAUUAUUUAUGAAUUUGAAUCAAAUUAAUUAAAAAUAAAAAUAUACAUUUAAUAUUUAACGCGUCGCAAUGUGUCGGAAUUUUCUAUUUUUUAUAAAUGACGUGUCGACGUAUCGUGUCGUGUCGGACACUCAUGUCGUGUCGCGUGUCCGUGCUACAUAGACCAAUGGAGAUUAAAAGAAUCUACCUUAUAUAAAGACAUAGAAGAAGUCAAUUGUAGAAUAUAUUAGUAGUCUUAUCAACCAAUGAAGUGGAGACAAGAUGCACAAUGUCAUGAAGCACGUGAAACGAUAGUUUCUUUCAAUAUGUUUGGUGCUUUCAUAAAAAAAUAUAUAUUAUUAUAUGCUGUUCGGGUCCAAUUGUCAUGAUAAAUAAGUAUUAUGUUGUUAAGAUGACACCUAUAUGUCUUUUAAUAACCAUUACAAAUACAAUAAUUUUGAUGUUGUAUUAGCAAAAGUGUGAUAUUCAGCUUUCAUGCUAGAUGAAGCGACGAUGGUCUAUUUAUUGUUAUGCUAUAAGAUAAGUGAGUUACUUAGAAAGAAACAAUAGCCUGUAGUGAAGUAAUCAUCAAGAGCGUCUCCUGCCCAAUGAGUGUCCGAUUUAGUUAAAAAGAUUGACUAAAAACUGAUCUCCACCCUAUCCAUUGAAAGCAGGUGAAUUACUUAGUUCAAUGGAAGAACCGCUACAUGAAUAAUGGGUAAGGGAGUCUAUCUCGGGAAAUAAACUACGAAUCCAUUAAGGCUCCCUUCAUUUUGUGAAACACAAUUUCCAGAAAAAGUAUUUUUUGGAUUUUUCGAUAUUCCUUUCCUGAAAAAUGAAUUAAUCGAGGAAAACAUUUUCCAUCAGCAAAAAAGAGUUUUCUAAAAUAGAGAAAAAAAUUUCUACAUUUCAAGAUGAAGAAAACAUUUUUCUUACUCAUUUUCUCUUAUCUCAUACCUAUGUUAACCUUUUCAUCUUUUUUCCUUAAAAAAUCAAUUUUUUAAUUAUUUUUCUUUUCUUUUUCUUGUUUUUCUCUUUCGAGCUCGAGACUCAUUGGAAUUUGGCAAGCCUUAAGCUCGCCUACGGCCAAUCGCUGGCCAUCACCGUGGUGGAUCAAAGAAGAAGAAUAUAAAAAUAAAUAAAAAUAAAUAAUAAAUAAUAAAAAUAAUUUAAAAAUCGAUUUUAAGAAAUAAAAUAAAUAAAAAAUUAUUGAAAAAGAGUGCAUGGAGGAAAAAAUUUUCCUUACCAAAUAAUAGAAAAUAUUUUAUAAUUCAUUUUCAAAUUUCAGCUGCAAACUACAAAAUAUGGCUAUCUUCUUGAAAAAUGGCUUCUAGAAAAAAAUUUCUGGAAAUGCUACAUUUUUCAUGAAACAAAUAGAAUCUUAAUUGAAAAAUGAUUCGUUCGACAUAGCCUGGAGCUAGGUCUCUCUGUCCAUUGGGCAACCAGGAAUGCAACCCUAAAGUGCCAUUAUUAUUAUUUUGCCCCCGAUUUCAAAUGCAAGUAGGCCUUCUAUUUAUUUUAGGGAAAAUUCCAAAAAAGGGGCUCGAAGUGUUCUUAUUUUCUUAAAUAAAAGCUCGAAGUAGACCUUGUUUCAAAUAUAACGCCUGAAGUGCCAUUAUUUUAUCGAAUAAGGGACUGAAGUGAAUAUUGUUUUAAAUAAGGGCCUGAAAUUACUAUGCCAGUUUCAAAUAAUAGCCUAAAGUAAUUAUGUCAGUUUCAAAUAAGAACUUUCUCUUCUUCUUUUUUUCUUUUUUCUCUCCUUUUUUUUUUGUUCUUCUUCUUCCUUUUUGCCAAUGACCGAAGGGUUGGGCGAGGGUCAUCGUUACCCGAUUCAAUGAGCGCCACCCAUGUCGGCCACAAAUGAGGAAUGGCCUCACCUGGGCAAGGCCACCCUUGCCUUGGGGGAGGCUGCCCCUUGCGGCCAUCUACAAGGGCUCGGUGACCUCAUCGGCCACGGGCGAGGGUGGCCUCACUCACAAUCGGUGAGGGCUUGCAGGCUCUUGUCGGCCGUUCCUAAUGGCUAGCAAGAUCAUUGACCCCUUGCAAUGAAAAAAGAAGAAAAAAGAAAAGAAAAUUUGGAUUAAAACUCCUUGAUCAGUUGGAAAAUUUAGCCAGUCAAUAACCGCCGAAGUCAGGCCCUUAUUUGAAACAACAAUGGCUACAUCAGAUCUUUAUUUAAAACAAUCAAAGCCACUUCAAGUUUUUAUUUGAAACAAUAUCUAUUUCGAAUUUUUAUUUAAGAAAAUGAGGCACUUCAAGUCAUUUUUUGAAAUUUUCUCUUUAUUUUAUUUUAGGUUGCAAUUGUUGCCCGUGGACUGAACUAAAAUAUACUCUCUCUCUCUCUCUCUCUUUCCACUUAAAAAAGCCGCUUGAUCAAAUAUGAUUUAUCUUGAGCAAAUGCACCUUGAAUCAAGGGGGAAAUGACUUCGCAUUUCUUCAUAAGUCUUCCAAACGCAAGUGCUCAUUUCAACAUUUGCAUCAAGAUUUCUAACCUUUCUGUUUCGAGAAACUAUAGUUACUGCGAUUUUUCUUUUCGUUUUUUAUUUUUUAAAAAAAAGUCAAAGCCACACGGUGCAUCACGUUGACCCAUCAUCAGUCAACGCAUGCCGAUCGGCAGGCGCUGUCCAUGUCCCGACCUCAUCGUCAUAAGCGACUAAUGUAAACCAAGCGACAACCAUCGAUCUUCGAAGGAGAAGACUUCACAGAUUGGGGCUUCUUCCGUCGGCGAUCGUCUUCACUUCCUCUCCAAAUCGCUUCCGUCUUCUCCAGGCACCCUGAAAAUUCCCCAUGGCGACGGCGCUUGUCGGCGGAGCAUUUCUCUCCGCUUUCCUCCAGGUGCUCUUCGACCGGAUGGCCUCCCGCGAGGUCGUCGACUUCUUCCGGUCACGCAAGCUCGGCAAGGGGAGGCUGCUGCAGAAGCUGGAGGUCGCCCUCCUGUCCGCGAACGCCGUGCUGGACGACGCGGAUGAGAAGCAGAUGACCAACGACUCCGUCAGGAAGUGGCUCGACGAGCUCAAGGACGCCGUGUACGACGCCGACGACCUGUUCGACGAGAUCGCCGCCGAGGAUCUGGAGCGAGAAGCCGGGUCCGACCCUCGGGCCCUCGCUUGUAAGGUCUGCAGCUUCGCUUCGGACGCUUGUGCGAGUGGACUAGGAGAUAAGUUAGAGAAGGUUCUGGAGAGAUUGGAGAGCGUGGUGAAGCAGAGAGAAGUGCUGGGCCUAAGGGAAGGUAUUCGCGAGAGGACGCCUAGAGCUUUGCCGACCACUUCGUUGGUCGAGGAAUCGGGCGUCUUCGGGAGGGAGAAGGACAGGGAGGCGGUGAUCGAGUUGCUCUUGUCGGAUCGGGGUGAAAAGAACACCAGCGUGAUGGCCAUAGUUGGGAUGGGUGGUGUUGGUAAGACCACGUUGUCCCAGCUCGUGUUCAACGAUAGUGCGGUGAAGGGGAGUUUCGAGUUGAGGUCGUGGGUUUGCGUGUCCCACCAAUUCGACAUCUGCAAGCUGACGGCGACGGCUCUCGAGGAAUUCUCCUCUUCCAAGAAGGAGACGGAAAAUCUCAACCAGCUUCAGCUCCAACUGAAGAACUUCUUGACAGGGAAGAAAUUCCUAUUGCUGUUGGAUGAUGUUUGGAAUGAGGACUCAAAUAUUUGGAAUGCGUUCCUAGUUCCUUUUAGCUAUGGAGCAAGAGGCAGCAAAAUCAUCGUGACACCAAGAAAUGAGGGCGUCGCAUUGGUUGCUCGUGCCUUCUCGACAUACUAUUUACAGAAGUUACAAGACAAGGAAUGUUGGGACUUGUUCGCACAACAUGCAUUUGAAGAGCAUAACUUCGAGGCGCACAUGAGACUUGAAGAUAUUGGGCAAAGAAUUGUUAAGAGAUGUGAUGGAUUGCCUCUUGCACUGAAGACUAUAGGUAGCUUGUUACGCUAUGAGUCUGAUAUCAGGAAGUGGGAAAUAAUUGCAGAGAGUGAUAUUUGGGAUUUGGCACCUGGAAAGAAUGAAAUUCUCCCUGCGUUGUUGUUAAGUUAUCAUUACCUUCCUCCACAACUGAAGCAAUGUUUUUCCUACUGUUCAAUCUUCCCAAAGGAUUGUAGAUAUGAGAAGGACCAACUGAUCUUACUUUGGAUUGGUGAGGGCUUGAUAAAACAACCUAAGGACAGCAGGACAUUAGAGGAAGUAGGUGAUCAGUGCUUCUGUGAUCUAGUGUCUAGAUCUUUGCUUCAUAGAGUAAGCAACGUUGAAUCAAGUUUCUGGAUGCAUGAACUGGUCAAUGACUUAGCAAGAUAUGUAGCUGGUCGAUCUUUUUAUAGCUUGGACAGAGUCAAUUCCCACCAGGUGUCCUCAAGCACUCGCCAUUUGUCAUUUGUAAGAACUCGAUAUGAUGUCGCUUCUAGAUUCGGAGUGUUAGCCGGGGCAAUGAAUUUGCGUACUUUCCUGCCACUAAACGUGGAUCACGUGACAUCUAACGCGUACUUUUUCUUGACUGAUGAGGUACUGCAUGUUCUGUUGCCGACCUUGAGUCGGUUAAGGGUGCUAUCUUUGUCUCAUUAUCAGAAACUCUCUAUGUUGCCCAGUUCAGUUGGAUGUUUGAAGCAUCUGCGCUAUUUGAAUCUCUCUUAUAAUAGAAGUCUAGCCAGAUUGCCUGAUUCAAUUACUGCUCUAUACAACUUGCAAACCUUAAUUCUUGCUUACUGUCAGUCUCUCAUUGAGUUACCAAGAAACAUGGGUAGCCUAACCUGUCUGCAUCAUCUUGAUAUAAGGGAGACAUUCCUGAAGAGAAUACCGUUGGGGAUGAGCAAACUGAAGAAUUUGCAGACAUUAACUAAUUUCGUGGUGGCUGAAAACGGUGGGACCAGGGUUAGGGAACUAGGGGAGCUUGGGAAUCUUAUGGGUACACUCUCCAUAUAGGGUUUGCAGAAUGUUGAUAGUUACCAAGAUGCAGAGAUAGUCGAUUUGCAGGGAAAAAGGUACUUGAAAAAGUUAGUACUGGAAUGGGGUUCUGAUAAAAAUAUUAUGCAGCAAAAUUGCUUAAAUGUAUUGGACAAGCUGCAACCUCAUUGGAACUUGACAGAGCUUAUCAUUAUAUCCUAUAGUGGUAAGUCGUUCUCUGAUUGGCUAGGACAUGGUUCAUUCUCUAAUAUGUCAGUCAUGCGUCUUGAAUCUUGCAAGCACUGUGUGUCGUUGCCUCCUUUAGGACAGCUACCAUCUCUAGAGAAGUUGAUAAUCAAAGGAUUUGAUGGAGUUACAAGUGUGGGUACUGAAUUCAAUGGUAGUAACUGUAUACCUUUUCAGUCACUUAAGUACUUGGAAUUUGCUGACAUGUGCAGUUGGAAAGAGUGGGCUUCUUUUGCAAUAGAGACGGGUGGUCUUGCCUUUGCACAUCUGCAUGAGCUUUGUAUUAGAAAUUGCCCCGAGUUGAGUGGAGGUUUGCCCAACCAUCUCCCUUCUCUAUCAGCCUUGUCCAUUGAAAAGUGUCCACAGCUAACGUCUUCUCUACCAUUUGCACCACUUCUUCGUAAGAUCAAUUUGGAUGAUUGUGGAAAGGUUUCUGGAGUUGAGCCUCUCCUAAAUGGCACUGAGUUACGAGAUAUGGAAAUCAAGAAUCUUUCAACCCUUCCCUUGAGGUUUCUUCCUCCUACCAUGAUAAGACUCAAUCUUGAAGACAGUCAUGAAAUAGAGUUGCCAAUACAUAGAUGCCAUGAAUCUCUCCAAUAUCUAAACUUGAAGCAGAGCUGCGAUUCACUUAUAUCCAUUCCUCUGGAAAUUUUCCCCUCACUUAAGAAUAUUCAGUUAGUGGAGAUUCAAAAAUUGGAACAUCUUUCAAAUUCAGACAGUUCUCCACUUCUUCUCCAUUCGAUGAACAUUAGUGAUUGCCUUGAAUUUAGAUCUUUCCCUGCGGGAGGAUUGGUUGCCCCACGCCUCACUUCAUUAGAGUUGAAUGAUUGUCAUCAUCUAAAGUAUCUGCCAGAAAACAUGCAUGCUCUCCCUCCUUCGCUUCGGUCACUGAAAAUAUCCUCAUGUCCACAACUCGAGUCAUUUCCCGAGCAGGGUUUGCCCUCCAAGUUGGUUGCGCUUUCACUCUCUAAUUGUGACAAGCUCAUCACUGGCCGCAAGGAUUGGGGUCUUCAAUCACUAUGCUCUCUUAAAACUUUUGUCAUUGAGCAGGAGAAAAAUAUAGAGUCAUUUCCUGAGAUAGGGCUUCUACCAAGCUCUCUUACCUCUCUGUAUAUCUUUAACUUUGAGAAUCUGACAUCCCUGAACUCCAAAGGGCUUCAUAGCCUGAGCUCCCUUGAAAAAUUGUUCAUUGGCGAAUGUCCUAAGCUCCAUUCCUUCCCAAAGGAGGAACAAAUUCUGCCUGCUUCUCUUACCACUCUGUUGAUUUAUGAUAUGGAUCUAAAAUCACUAGACAACUUAGGGCUCCACCACCUCACUUGUCUCAAAACCUUUCACAUAAUUGACUGCCGAAGUCUUCGAUCCAUGCCAGUUGAGGGCUUGUCAUCCUCCCUUUCCAAUCUAUUUAUCUAUGGGUGUCCUUUUCUGGAGAAAAGAUGCCAACGCAAGAAAGGGAAAGAUUGGCCCCUAGUUUCUUACAUUCGCUGCAUCGUGAUUGAAGAUGUGCUCAUCACAUAAUCGAAUAUCUUGCUUUACAAGCCCUGCAUUUACCAAGAUCUCACUAGGGUAUCUCUCUUGACCCUACACUAAGUAAGCCAUUUAUAUAUUCACAACAUGCUUCAGUCGCACUGUGGUCAAGCAGUACCAUCUGGCUGUAUUUGCCGCAAGCCACUCUGGUAACACUCCACAAUGGAAGUUAUUUGUAGUUUCACCAGCUUUCCAUUCUUGUUCCUACUAUCGGGCUGCAUGAUUUGUUUAUCGGUUGCCGAGUUAUUUAGCUGGAUCAUCUGUUUUUCAUUUGUUUAUUGGUUGCCGAUUUAUUUAGUUGGAUCAUCUGCUUUUCCCCUUCUCCAUUCUCUCUAUAUAAAUCACACUCCCAUACUUCAGCUGAGCAUCUGUCACGGUCCUUUAUACUCUCACUGGAAAUGAUAAUUCCAUUGGUUACUUUUUGGUCAUCAUCAAGUUAUUUCAGCUUUAGAACCUCACUCCAUAUCACCGAUUGUCACACCUACAAAUGCCAACUCAUGGAACUGUUUGUGCAUGAGCUAACUAAUGUAAAUAGAGCAAAGAGAUUCGUGGCCAUAUGAAGAAGGCCUAGCCUUGAUUAGGCUAUCCAGAUGAAAUUAUUUUUUCACAAACCCUGUGGCACAUCCUCAAGUUAUAGAGAGAGUAAAUUUGCUCUUAUUGACAGAUGCUUUCUGUUGUCUAAAGCCUUAUAAUAUUGCAAGGGAGACAUAAAUUCUUAAGGACAGGCAUGACUCAUGACUGACCUCUAUUCCACUUGCCAGAACAGUGUGGUAUCGUGGGUGUAGUAUAUUUCUGUUUGCUUUGUAUUUUUAUUUGUCCAUUUCAGCUUAACAUCACUCUAAUGCUGUACAGUUUAACAAUUUCCCUGCCUACACGUGGAAUUCUGAUCCAUAGAAUGUGAAAAUUGAACAGUAUUAGAUGCAAGUGACCCGGCAUUUUGUAGUGGCAUAUCCACUUUUGUCACUAAUUAUAUCACGACAUCAACUAAAUCCAAACUGAAGGACUAAAAAUGCAAUUCGAUCAAAAUAUAUGGACCUAUUGUAACUUACCCUAUUUUGAGAGAAUAUCGUUACUUUCGAGUAGACCUGUUAAACGGGUGGGUUGGGUCGGGUUUGGGUCGGGUCAUAAAUGGUCUGACCCAAAUCGACCCAUUUAACCCAUUUAUGACCCAUUUAUUAUAGUGCAAAAUUUUUGACCCAUACCCGACCCGAUCCAUACUCGACCCAUACCCGACCCAUUUAAUGAAACCUAAAAAAGCUUAUAUAUAUAUUUUUAAAAUGAUAUUGCUAAAAUGGUUUUAUACAACACAAAUUUAAUGGAUAAUUUUUAUAAUUUUUAAAAUAAUUAUUUUAAAAAAAUCGAAUUUUAAUUAUUUUUUAAUUUUUUAAAAAAUUAUUUUUUAAUUAUUUUUAAUUUUAUUUUUAAGAAUAUAAUAUUUCUUUUUCUUUUUUCUUUUUUCUUUUUUUUUCUUCUUCUUCGGUCAGCCGCCGGCCACGACGACUGCCGGCGGCCGGCCACAGGCGAGCCUCGAGCUCGCCCGGCUCGCCGACGACGCCGAGCUCAAGGCUCGCCAGAUCCAGCGAGCUCGAGCUCGCCCGACGCCGGCGAGCUCGAGUCUCGCCAGAUCCGGCGAGCUCGAGCUCGCCCGACGCCGGCGAGCUCGAAUCUCGCCAGAUCGGCGAGGCUCCAAAUCCGGCGAGCUCGAGGCUCGCCAGCAUCGGGCGAGCUCGAGCUCGCCCCUCGCCGGAUCUGGCGAGGCUCGAGCCUCGUCGGAUGUCGGCGAGGCCUCCGCCUCGCCAGAUCUGGCGAGCUCGAGGCUCGCCGGCGAGUUGGAGUCUCGCCAGAUCGGCGAGGCUCGAGCUCGNNNNNNNNNNNNNNNNNNNNNNNNNNNNNNNNNNNNNNNNNNNNNNNNNNNNNNNNNNNNNNNNNNNNNNNNNNNNNNNNNNNNNNNNNNNNNNNNNNNNNNNNNNNNNNNNNNNNNNNNNNNNNNNNNNNNNNNNNNNNNNNNNNNNNNNNNNNNNNNNNNNNNNNNNNNNNNNNNNNNNNNNNNNNNNNNNNNNNNNNNNNNNNNNNNNNNNNNNNNNNNNNNNNNNNNNNNNNNNNNNNNNNNNNNNNNNNNNNNNNNNNNNNNNNNNNNNNNNNNNNNNNNNNNNNNNNNNNNNNNNNNNNNNNNNNNNNNNNNNNNNNNNNNNNNNNNNNNNNNNNNNNNNNNNNNNNNNNNNNNNNNNNNNNNNNNNNNNNNNNNNNNNNNNNNNNNNNNNNNNNNNNNNNNNNNNNNNNNNNNNNNNNNNNNNNNNNNNNNNNNNNNNNNNNNNNNNNNNNNNNNNNNNNNNNNNNNNNNNNNNNNNNNNNNNNNNNNNNNNNNNNNNNNNNNNNNNNNNNNNNNNNNNNNNNNNNNNNNNNNNNNNNNNNNNNNNNNNNNNNNNNNNNNNNNNNNNNNNNNNNNNNNNNNNNNNNNNNNNNNNNNNNNNNNNNNNNNNNNNNNNNNNNNNNNNNNNNNNNNNNNNNNNNNNNNNNNNNNNNNNNNNNNNNNNNNNNNNNNNNNNNNNNNNNNNNNNNNNNNNNNNNNNNNNNNNNNNNNNNNNNNNNNNNNNNNNNNNNNNNNNNNNNNNNNNNNNNNNNNNNNNNNNNNNNNNNNNNNNNNNNNNNNNNNNNNNNNNNNNNNNNNNNNNNNNNNNNNNNNNNNNNNNNNNNNNNNNNNNNNNNNNNNNNNNNNNNNNNNNNNNNNNNNNNNNNNNNNNNNNNNNNNNNNNNNNNNNNNNNNNNNNNNNNNNNNNNNNNNNNNNNNNNNNNNNNNNNNNNNNNNNNNNNNNNNNNNNNNNNNNNNNNNNNNNNNNNNNNNNNNNNNNNNNNNNNNNNNNNNNNNNNNNNNNNNNNNNNNNNNNNNNNNNNNNNNNNNNNNNNNNNNNNNNNNNNNNNNNNNNNNNNNNNNNNNNNNNNNNNNNNNNNNNNNNNNNNNNNNNNNNNNNNNNNNNNNNNNNNNNNNNNNNNNNNNNNNNNNNNNNNNNNNNNNNNNNNNNNNNNNNNNNNNNNNNNNNNNNNNNNNNNNNNNNNNNNNNNNNNNNNNNNNNNNNNNNNNNNNNNNNNNNNNNNNNNNNNNNNNNNNNNNNNNNNNNNNNNNNNNNNNNNNNNNNNNNNNNNNNNNNNNNNNNNNNNNNNNNNNNNNNNNNNNNNNNNNNNNNNNNNNNNNNNNNNNNNNNNNNNNNNNNNNNNNNNNNNNNNNNNNNNNNNNNNNNNNNNNNNNNNNNNNNNNNNNNNNNNNNNNNNNNNNNNNNNNNNNNNNNNNNNNNNNNNNNNNNNNNNNNNNNNNNNNNNNNNNNNNNNNNNNNNNNNNNNNNNNNNNNNNNNNNNNNNNNNNNNNNNNNNNNNNNNNNNNNNNNNNNNNNNNNNNNNNNNNNNNNNNNNNNNNNNNNNNNNNNNNNNNNNNNNNNNNNNNNNNNNNNNNNNNNNNNNNNNNNNNNNNNNNNNNNNNNNNNNNNNNNNNNNNNNNNNNNNNNNNNNNNNNNNNNNNNNNNNNNNNNNNNNNNNNNNNNNNNNNNNNNNNNNNNNNNNNNNNNNNNNNNNNNNNNNNNNNNNNNNNNNNNNNNNNNNNNNNNNNNNNNNNNNNNNNNNNNNNNNNNNNNNNNNNNNNNNNNNNNNNNNNNNNNNNNNNNNNNNNNNNNNNNNNNNNNNNNNNNNNNNNNNNNNNNNNNNNNNNNNNNNNNNNNNNNNNNNNNNNNNNNNNNNNNNNNNNNNNNNNNNNNNNNNNNNNNNNNNNNNNNNNNNNNNNNNNNNNNNNNNNNNNNNNNNNNNNNNNNNNNNNNNNNNNNNNNNNNNNNNNNNNNNNNNNNNNNNNNNNNNNNNNNNNNNNNNNNNNNNNNNNNNNNNNNNNNNNNNNNNNNNNNNNNNNNNNNNNNNNNNNNNNNNNNNNNNNNNNNNNNNNNNNNNNNNNNNNNNNNNNNNNNNNNNNNNNNNNNNNNNNNNNNNNNNNNNNNNNNNNNNNNNNNNNNNNNNNNNNNNNNNNNNNNNNNNNNNNNNNNNNNNNNNNNNNNNNNNNNNNNNNNNNNNNNNNNNNNNNNNNNNNNNNNNNNNNNNNNNNNNNNNNNNNNNNNNNNNNNNNNNNNNNNNNNNNNNNNNNNNNNNNNNNNNNNNNNNNNNNNNNNNNNNNNNNNNNNNNNNNNNNNNNNNNNNNNNNNNNNNNNNNNNNNNNNNNNNNNNNNNNNNNNNNNNNNNNNNNNNNNNNNNNNNNNNNNNNNNNNNNNNNNNNNNNNNNNNNNNNNNNNNNNNNNNNNNNNNNNNNNNNNNNNNNNNNNNNNNNNNNNNNNNNNNNNNNNNNNNNNNNNNNNNNNNNNNNNNNNNNNNNNNNNNNNNNNNNNNNNNNNNNNNNNNNNNNNNNNNNNNNNNNNNNNNNNNNNNNNNNNNNNNNNNNNNNNNNNNNNNNNNNNNNNNNNNNNNNNNNNNNNNNNNNNNNNNNNNNNNNNNNNNNNNNNNNNNNNNNNNNNNNNNNNNNNNNNNNNNNNNNNNNNNNNNNNNNNNNNNNNNNNNNNNNNNNNNNNNNNNNNNNNNNNNNNNNNNNNNNNNNNNNNNNNNNNNNNNNNNNNNNNNNNNNNNNNNNNNNNNNNNNNNNNNNNNNNNNNNNNNNNNNNNNNNNNNNNNNNNNNNNNNNNNNNNNNNNNNNNNNNNNNNNNNNNNNNNNNNNNNNNNNNNNNNNNNNNNNNNNNNNNNNNNNNNNNNNNNNNNNNNNNNNNNNNNNNNNNNNNNNNNNNNNNNNNNNNNNNNNNNNNNNNNNNNNNNNNNNNNNNNNNNNNNNNNNNNNNNNNNNNNNNNNNNNNNNNNNNNNNNNNNNNNNNNNNNNNNNNNNNNNNNNNNNNNNNNNNNNNNNNNNNNNNNNNNNNNNNNNNNNNNNNNNNNNNNNNNNNNNNNNNNNNNNNNNNNNNNNNNNNNNNNNNNNNNNNNNNNNNNNNNNNNNNNNNNNNNNNNNNNNNNNNNNNNNNNNNNNNNNNNNNNNNNNNNNNNNNNNNNNNNNNNNNNNNNNNNNNNNNNNNNNNNNNNNNNNNNNNNNNNNNNNNNNNNNNNNNNNNNNNNNNNNNNNNNNNNNNNNNNNNNNNNNNNNNNNNNNNNNNNNNNNNNNNNNNNNNNNNNNNNNNNNNNNNNNNNNNNNNNNNNNNNNNNNNNNNNNNNNNNNNNNNNNNNNNNNNNNNNNNNNNNNNNNNNNNNNNNNNNNNNNNNNNNNNNNNNNNNNNNNNNNNNNNNNNNNNNNNNNNNNNNNNNNNNNNNNNNNNNNNNNNNNNNNNNNNNNNNNNNNNNNNNNNNNNNNNNNNNNNNNNNNNNNNNNNNNNNNNNNNNNNNNNNNNNNNNNNNNNNNNNNNNNNNNNNNNNNNNNNNNNNNNNNNNNNNNNNNNNNNNNNNNNNNNNNNNNNNNNNNNNNNNNNNNNNNNNNNNNNNNNNNNNNNNNNNNNNNNNNNNNNNNNNNNNNNNNNNNNNNNNNNNNNNNNNNNNNNNNNNNNNNNNNNNNNNNNNNNNNNNNNNNNNNNNNNNNNNNNNNNNNNNNNNNNNNNNNNNNNNNNNNNNNNNNNNNNNNNNNNNNNNNNNNNNNNNNNNNNNNNNNNNNNNNNNNNNNNNNNNNNNNNNNNNNNNNNNNNNNNNNNNNNNNNNNNNNNNNNNNNNNNNNNNNNNNNNNNNNNNNNNNNNNNNNNNNNNNNNNNNNNNNNNNNNNNNNNNNNNNNNNNNNNNNNNNNNNNNNNNNNNNNNNNNNNNNNNNNNNNNNNNNNNNNNNNNNNNNNNNNNNNNNNNNNNNNNNNNNNNNNNNNNNNNNNNNNNNNNNNNNNNNNNNNNNNNNNNNNNNNNNNNNNNNNNNNNNNNNNNNNNNNNNNNNNNNNNNNNNNNNNNNNNNNNNNNNNNNNNNNNNNNNNNNNNNNNNNNNNNNNNNNNNNNNNNNNNNNNNNNNNNNNNNNNNNNNNNNNNNNNNNNNNNNNNNNAAAUGGAUCAUAAAAUGGGUCAACUCUUUAACCCAUUUAAAAUCCAUAUAUCUUAGUAUUAACCCAUUAAAACUCAUAUAUGUGCUUUAUGAAAGAAAGCUUGACCCAUUAAUGACCCAUUUAACCAUAAAUGGGUCUAUAAAUGGGUUAUGCAACCCAUUUAACACCUCUACUUUCGAGGGAACUUAAGUGGUUUUAUGUGCACUAACUGUUGAGGAGCUUUUGUGGAUGGAGAUAAAGCUGGAAAUGUAUUGCUAGCUUUUAGCUUGAUUUGAGUAUCCUGAUACUUGUCUUUCAAUCAUCGCAAGUGGAGUGCUUCUAGAUGGGGCUAGACUAACUAUUGUUCAAAAAAUACAUGAUGCAUACAUGGUUAGCGAGAUGUACGUAUAAGUUAUGUUAGAAAAAGUCCAAUGAAGUGGGAUUGUUAUGGUGUGAAAUAGUUAAUAUCUUAGUUGGCCAAAAAUUCAUUGCAUUAAGUUUUUGAGUAAAAGUGGUCUAAUUGGAUAUGUUAAAAGGCUUGAACUUUAGCUACUUUAGCUCUCCCUUGGCUUAUGCUAUAUGCUCCCAAGCCGAUUGUUGAUUGGUGGCAACGUGUUAGUAUACUUGGAUUAAGGGGGAAGUAUACUUAACAUUGAGCUCACACGUAAGAGGAGAUAAUAAUUGAUGUGAUAUGAAGUAGUUAAUAUAUCCUAGUUGACUCAUGAUUCAUAGAUUUAAGCUUUUUAAGCAUAUAUUGGUCCAACUAUAUUUGUUGGCAGGUCAAACUUGGGCUCUCUCUUGACGAUCUCCUAUGCAGUGAUAUUGGUAAUAUUGGGUUCUACUAAGCGUUAACUAUAGUGGAUGUCGGAUGCAGCUUUGGAUGGACCUAUUCUUCUCCCACAAUAUCGAGAUAGUUUUAGUAACAGGGUUGUGGUGAGUAAAAAAAAUGGUGCUAAGUCUUCACAAGACAAGUGGAUUAUGAGGAUCGGGAGCAGCAUUGGCAAUGAGAUGGUGGAAAUCGGCAAGGAAAAUAAAUCCAUUUUUCACGCGGUCAGUAAGCCAAGUUAUCGACUCCUAAAAACGAAAGAAUCGAGGUCAAUUUAGAAGUUUCGAAAUUUCAUUGUUGGUUUGCAGCUUGCGAGAAAUUGUUUCUCAAUGAGCGCAAGUGCAAGAGAGGCACUCCAAUGCAAUUGCAAUGUUUAGUGUAACACAGCAACACACCAUGUGAGAAGUACUCACCUAAUGGUUUGGCUGAAUUGUCGUUUUUGCAAGCUGAUACUUGUCGUAGUGAAGAAACAACAAACCAUUCAAGAUGAAACGGAGCCAACGCAUGAUCUGUAGUUGUACAUCCCAGGUGUUCAAUGUUGUAGCAUUGGAGGAAAGGAUCAUAUCUGAAACUGAUGAUGGGCAUGAGAUGAGUGGGUUAUGGAGAGAUUGUUUGAUACAGCUUUCGAUGGUAGCUGCGACCGUAAAACUGGAUGCUUCUGCUUUCGCAAGGUAACAUUUCAAAGCUAUCAUUUGGAACCUGUCCCGUCUAGCUUUUAGCUGCUAUGUGUUACCAAAUGAUGCAACUAUGAUUAUACCAAACGGGCCUAAGUUGAGCUUCAUAGCCUAUACGGGAUCAGGAGGGAUUGGAGAAUUGUGUCAGUGAUACUUCUCUCUCUUCGGUUGAGUGGUUCAUCUCUUCUUCAAAAGGACCUCUAAUUCUCUAGGGGCAGACUUAAGCUAAGAGCGGAAUUGACUCUUGCAUGCAAGCGUGUACCAGUUUCGUGCUUUAGGAGGGUAUCACAUAUGCUGGAUAAGUGAAAUUUGGGGUCACGUACGAGUCUCACUUAUUAUCCUGUUCGAGGUGGAAGUCGUCAUACGAGAAAGAUGAAUCAAAUAACCUUCAUUCCAACUUCAAAAUCUGUAAAGGCAUCAUUUCUCAUUAUGGAGAACUAGUCCAGAAACCUUGUAGCUACGCAUUAUAGACAGUUAUUUUGAAAUGAUGUGGUCUAUUAUGCUAAUCAACACUGGCACAACUAGCAGUGGAUGCUGAUGCUGAUUUAACUCACACAAAUUCGCUGAAUGAGAAGGCGAGAUAAAGCAUCUAAGACACAGAAAAACUACCUAGCUAGCUAAAUGAUUUGGACAUAUAGACUAACAAGAAUUGUGAUCAUCAUAUCACUAACGUUCAUCUAACCAAAAUAACAGCAGCAACUUGGAUGGAUGCGGAUCGGGAAAAAAAGACCUACUGCGAGACAAGAUACAGGGCACAAUUCAUAUCUUGCAACAUAAUAUCUUCAGAGCAGUUAAAAAAUAGCAUCUCCUGGUCUUAACUCGUCCAACUGAGGAACAACAUAGCAUGAACACUAGGCUAGACUCGUGCCCAAGGAAUGAAGUCGUGUAUGAUUAUGCCACAAACAGAGCACAACAAGAAAACCACCUGAUGAUCCAACGGAACCUCAAAAACAAAGAAGGUUAUGAGUAUGUACAAUCAUGAGGUGAACUCCUAUCAGAUUGUUCUAAAACGUCCCUCUUGUUCAAUACAGUUCCAUAGUUUACCGUAUCACUUGAUGAACAGCAAUUUACAAACCAAUCUGUAUACCCUAGGUCCCCAGCAUUACCGUGGAAGAAAUGAAGAAGUCGUAUCCUGGCCCUAGCAUGAAAAACUGAGAAAUCCAUAUCCUACUGAAAGAAGCACAGGGAUACAGCAUAGCAACAUGUCUUUGUCCACAAACUGCUAAUAUAGGUUUGUUACAACCAUUCAUCAUCAUGCAAAUUUCACAAGCUAAUGAGGGUGAAAAACGACACCCCCUUGUACAAAAAAGAGAGCCAAUCCAGUCAACAGACACGAAAACGUCAGAGACAUGGGACAAUAUUCACAUGAAACACAGAGGUAAAGAAACUAAAAUCCAAAGCGCUCGUUCCAGAUUUGCAACAGCAAUCAAUACAUCAGCACUCAAACAGGUCUGCAGAUGCCAUUAUGGGUUGUAUCGGACAUGGGAUCUGCCAGGGCUUCAUCAACGGGUCGGGUAUCUCGGGAAUAUCAAUCGCCAGCCCACUGACCACCUCCACGAUCUCGAGCACCGAGUUCAGGGACCGGAGCCUGUCGGUAAGCUCCAUGGCCUGGGCCCUGAGGACAUUGUUUGCCAACUCGACCUCGGCAUACUUCUGCGCAGCAGCAUUGAUACUCGCCACGAGCUGAGCAUUAGCCUGCUGCAGUUGCCCCACUUCUCCGACCAAAUCCCCCAGCUGCUUCUGCCUCCUCAUCCGGGAGCGCCUGGCGGAUUCCCUGUUGGACUCCAUCCUCUUCCUCUUCCUUUCAUCAUCGGCCACCCCACCGAGCCUCGGGUCGCCAUCGGAUCCUGAGCUCGCCUGACGCCGAACCGAACCCAUUUUCGAGGGCCUUUCCACGCAAUCAAUCAAUCACUCGAUUCAGAAAACGACCGAUCAAAGGGUCUCCGCGUGCCGGGAGUUAUUUCGCUUUUGCUUCUCAGACAACGAAUUCCGAUGGAAUCAAAGUGAGGCACGAAUCGCGAUCAAUCGGAGAGAGAGAGACGGGCGUUCAUGAGAAGACGUAGAACCAAUAGAGGAACACCACCGAGAAGGAGUGGACGAUCCGCACCCGGAACAUGAGGAUCGCGUAGUUCAUAACUCGGUUUCCCACAUCUGAAAACCCUAGACCAUCUACCACAAGCGCUCAACCAGUACCCUCCGAUUCUCAGCCCAACGCAACGAAGGGGAAAACGAAAACGGCGACAACGCAGCGGAAAGACAGCAGAGAGAGAGAGAAGGGGGACGUAAACUUAGCUGGCGGCGGCGGCGGCGGCGGCGGAACGCGCGAACCAGAGAGAGGUCGAAGAAGGUGAGGAAAGGAGGGGAGGAGGGGUUUUUAUAGAGGAGGCUCGCGGGCUUCGAUUGGUCUGCCGGGAAAACGAAUAUUCCCAGAAUCUUUUUUUUUUGGGUGUAAUUUAUUAGGACGGAUUUUGCUUAGGCGUGUCCCAAUUGCCCAAUCACAUUCGGAAGCGUAAGAUUAUAUUUCUUUCUUUAAUUAAAAAAAAAACUGAAAUUGCCUUUUUAACGAAUCGAUAAAAGAAGAAAAUACACGAGAUGCUUCAAGGAUGAACGAAUGUGAAAAUCUAUAUCGGAGAUGUGGAGGAAUCUAGAGAUCCUCUUCUGAUUUUAUUUUGCCGGUGGUUUCUUUUUUUAUCUUUUUAUUUAUCGAUGGACAACUAAUAUCCGACUUAAUCUAUUUAUAAAAUCUCUUUCUUUACGCGACCGUGUAACCAAAAUACAGGGGGGGAACAGAUGUUCUUAAAUUUAAAUUGUUUUUGGUGGGGGAGGGAAAGAAUGACGUCAUGGCGCACGUCUGAUGUGGCGUGGGAUUGGUCGGAUCUCAUCGUCGUCGCGGUAGUUGGUGCUGCCCAUGUUCAAUGUAAUGCGCACGUUGUUUGGGAUCUUAUCCAGUAGCAUCACACUUUUUUUUUUUUUUUGAGCAACAGUAGCAUCACACUUUACAGAGCAGGCCAAAACCGUGGGUUUGACUGGGUCAAACAUCGAACGUCGGAUCUUCUUGGAUACAUCCCCCCUGGAAAAAUGCUCGCGAGCGCCAAGUUGUGAUAAGGAGAGAUAUUUAUUUUAAUGUUUUAUGUUUUAAGACAUUAAUUUCCCGAUACCUUUUAAUUUUCGUAAAAAAGGACUUGCGCAGUGGAAAUUAGUCAGGAUCUGUAAAAUACGGGCUAUAUCUUGGACUUCCAAAAUUGAAAUUGGAUGAAAAGAAUACGUAAGUGAUUUGGUGAAAGCAGAUAGCCGUUUGGAAAUUAAUUGUGAAAAUAUGUAGGUGGGCUCUUGGUGAGAAAAUAGGGAUAGAAAUCAAAGUGGAUAGUGGAUUUGGGGAUUGCAAACAUUGCAUCAUGAAAUAGUACUAGAAAAAUGAUCAUUGCAAUUUGUUUAUUCCACAAAAAAUGAAUGAUUUGAAAAAAACACCCCAUUACUGCAAUCCGUUUAUUUCACAAUAAAUGAAUAAUUUGAAAAAAAUGAACUCAAUGAACAAUACUAAUCACAACCAAGAGCCAACUAUCGGCUCCCAAGGAGCAAACCUAGGACACUGUGCCCAAACUUGCGAUCUUGACACUUUAAUCGAGAAUGAUAUAUUUCAUAUUAAGGUUAAAAUUACAUGGUACCGGCACAAGAUGCAACAAACUCGAGAUGCAUAACAUAUAUAUAAGGUCGAACGACAUGAGAUUUGUAAUACCAUUUUUUUUUCAGUCCAAUCAGAGUUAUNNNNNNNNNNNNNNNNNNNNNNNNNNNNNNNNNNNNNNNNNNNNNNNNNNNNNNNNNNNNNNNNNNNNNNNNNNNNNNNNNNNNNNNNNNNNNNNNNNNNGCAUUCUGAUUAGUAUGUAUAACAUAGUCGAGAAAGAUGAAUCAGAUAACCUUCAUUCCAACUUCGAAAUCUGCAAGGACGUCAUUUCCCAAUAUGGCGAACCAGUCCAGAAACCUUGUAGGGAAAUGACGAACCAAUCCAGAAACCUUGUGGCUACGCAAUAUAGACAAUUAUUUUGAAACGAUGUGAUGUCUUAUACUAAUCAACACUGGCACAACUAGCAGUAGAUGCCAAUGCUAAUUUAGCUCGCACAAAUUCGCUGAGCAAGAAGGGGAGUUGAAGCAUCUAAGACAGAAAAACUAACUCGCUUGCUAAAUGAUUUGGACAUAUAGAACAACAAGAAUUGUGAUCUUCAUAUCACUAGCGUUCAUCCAACCAAAAUAACAACAGCAACUUGGACGCGGAUUGGGAAAAAGACCUACUGCGAGACAAGAUACAGGACACAAGUCAUACCUCACAACAAAAUAUCUUCGGAGCAGUUAAAAAAUAGCAUCUCCUGGUCUUAACUCGCCCAACUGAGGAACAGCAUAGAACGAACACUAGGCUAGACGAGUGCCCAAGGAAUGAAGUCGUGCAUGAUUGUGCCACAAACAGAGCACAACAAGAAAACCACCUAAUGAUCGAACGGAACCUCAAAAACAAAAAAGGUUAUGAGUAUGUACAAUCAUGAGGCAAACUCCUAUCGGAUUGUUCUAAAACGUCCCUCUUGUUCAAUGCAGUUCCAUAGUUUACUACAUCACUUGAUGAACAGCAAUUUACAAACCAAUCUGUAUAGCCUAGGUCCCAAGCAUUGCUGCGGAGGAAAUGAAGAAAUCGUAUUCUGGGCCUAGCAUGAAAAACUGAGAAAUCCAUAUCCUACUGAAAGAAGCACGGGGAUACAGCAUAGCAACAUGUCUUUGUCCACAAAUUGCUGAUAUAGGUUUGUUACAACCAUUCAUCAUCAUACAAAUUUCACAAGCUAAUGAGGGUGAAAAACGACACCCAAUUGUACAAAAAAGAGAGCCUAUCCAGUCAUCAGACACGAAGUCGACAUUUUACCGCUGCCGAUGAGACGGACAUCAGAGACAUCGGACAAUAUACACAUGAAACACAGAGGUAAAGAGACUAAAAUCCAAAGUGCUCGUUCCACAUUUGCAACAGCAAUCGAUACAUCAGCACUCAAACAGGUCUGCGGACGCCAUUAUAGGUUGUAUCGGACAUGGGAUCUGCCAGGGCUUCAUCAACGGGUCGGGUAUCUCGGGAAUAUCAAACGCGAGCCCACUGACCGCCUCCGCAAUCUCAAGCACCGAGUUCAAGGACCGGAGCCUGUCGGUAAGUUCCAUGGCCUGGGCCCUGAGGACAUUGUUCGCCGACUCGACCUCAGCAUACUUCUGCGCAGCCGCAUUGAUACUCGCCACGAGCUGAGCGUUAGCCUGCUGCAGUUGCCCCACUUCUCCGACCGAAUCCUCCAGCUGCUUCUGCCUCCUCAUCCGGGAGCGCCUGGCGGAUUCCCUGUUUGGACUCCAUCCUCUUCCUCUUCCUUUCAUCAUCGGCCACCCCACCGAGCCUCGGGUCGCCAUCGGUUCCCGAGCUCGCCUGACGCCGAACCGAACCCAUUUUCGAGGGCCUCUCCCCGCGAUCAAUCAAUCACUCGAUUCAGAAACGACCGAUCAAAGGGUCUCCGCGUGCCGGGAGUUAAUUCCCUUUGUCUCAGACAACGAAUUCCGAUGGAAUCAAAGGAGGUACGAAUCGCGAUCAUCNNNNNNNNNNNNNNNNNNNNNNNNNNNNNNNNNNNNNNNNNNNNNNNNNNNNNNNNNNNNNNNNNNNNNNNNNNNNNNNNNNNNNNNNNNNNNNNNNNNNNNNNNNNNNNNNNNNNNNNNNNNNNNNNNNNNNNNNNNNNNNNNNNNNNNNNNNNNNNNNNNNNNNNNNNNNNNNNNNNNNNNNNNNNNNNNNCGAAGGGGAACACGAAAACGGCGACAACGCAGCGGAAAGACAGCAGAGGGAGAGAGAGAGAGAGAAGGGGGACGUAAACUUAGCUGACGGCGGCGGCGGCGGCGGCGGCAGCGGCGGCGGAACGCGCGAACCAGAGAGAGGUCGAAGAAGGUUGGGAAAGGAGGGGAGGAGGGGUUUAUGUGGAGGAGGCUCGCGGGCUUCGAUUGGUCUGCCGGGAAAACGAAUAUUCCCAGAAUCUUUUUUUUUGGGUGUAAUUUAUUGGGACGGAUUUUGCUUAGGCGUGUCCCGAUUGCCCAAUCACAUCCGGAAGUGUGAGAUUAUAUUACCUUUUUAAUGAAUCGAUAAAAGAAGAAAAUACAUGAGAUGCUUGAGGAAUGAACGAAUUUGGAAAUCUAUAUCGAAGAUGUAGAGGAAUCAAGAGAUCCUCUUCUGAUUUUAUUUUGUCGGUGGUUUUUUUUAUCUUUUUAUUUACCAAUGGACAACUAAUAUCCGACUUAAUCUAUUUAUAAAAUCUCUCUAGUUUUUACUUGUUAGUACUUGUGUUUCCCUCUUUCUUUACGCGACCGUGUAACCAUAAUACGGGGAGAACAGAUGUUCUUAAAUUAAAAAAAAAUUUCGUGGGGGAGGGGAAGAAUGACGUCAUGGCGCACGUCUGAUGUAGCUUGGGAUUGGUCGGAUCUCAUCGUCGUCGCGGUAGCUGGUGCUGCCCAUGUAAAUGUAAUGCGCACGUUGUUUGGGACAUUAGCCAAUAGCAUCACACUUUACAGAGCAGGCAAAAAUCGUGGGUUUGACCGGGUCAAACAUCGGAUAUCGGAUCUUCUUGGGAUACAUCCCCCCGAGAGUAAUGCACGCGAGCGCCAAGUCAUGAUAAAGAGAGAUGUUUAUUUUAAUGUUUUCUGUUUGGAGACAUUAAUUUCUCGAUACCUUUUUAUUUUCGUAAAAAAGGACUUGUGCAAUGGAAAUUAGUCGGGAUGCGUAAAAUACAGGCUAAAUCUUGGAUUUCCGAAAUUGAAAUUGGAUGAAAAGAAAACGCAAACGAUUCGGUGAAAACAAAUAAUUGUUUGGAAAUUGACGGUGAAAAUAUGUAGGUGGGCUCUUGGUGAGAAAAUAGGGAUAGAAAUCAAAGUGGAUAGUGGAUUUGGGGAUUGCAAACAUUGCAUCAUGAAAUAGUACUAGAAAAAUGAUCACUGCAAUCUUUUUUUUUUUUUUUUUUUUUUUUUUUUUGUGCAGGAAGAACCAGCUUGCACCGACAGUGCGCCGUAAACCCCCCGAUGACGCUAGUGGGGAAACCACCACCCCAACGUCACGCUUAAGUCACCAUGUAGCUAAGACUGCCUCCCUGCUUCGCAGGGGCUUCAAACCUUGGCCUCCACCGGGGAGGGCCAAGGAUCUACCAUCCACGCCACCUUGGUCGGUGGUAUCACUGCAAUUUGUUUAUUGCAUAAAAAAAUGAAUGAUUUGAAAAAAAUAAAAAUUACUGCAAUUCGUUUAUUCCAAAAAAAAGUGAAUGAUUUGAAAAAAAAAAUUAUUGCAAUCCAUUUAUUCCACAAAAAAUGAAUGAUUUGGAAAAAAAAGAACUCAAUGAACAAUACUAAUCACAACCAAGAGCCAACUAUCGGCUCCCAAGGAGAAAACCUAGGACACUAUGCCCAAAUUUGUGAUCUUGACACUUUAAUCGAGAAUGACAUAUUUCAUAUUAAGGUUAAAAUUACAUGAUAUUGGCACAAGACGCAACAAACUUGAGAUGCAUAACAUUUAUAAGGCCGAACGACAUGAGGUUUGUAAUACUUUUUUUUUCAAUCCAAUCAAAGUUAUAAUGCGUUGGCUAAUCAUUAAUGUUGCAUCAUCACUAUCAAAUUAGGGUCGAUGACUUAGUGAGGCUUGCCUCACCAGCCCUCGGUCAUAAGGAGAAAAUAUUAUAUACAAUUUUGAUGUUAAUUGAGCAAAAUAUUAGUCUAUUCAUCUUGUGGCACGUGUCACACAUGAGCCCACUUAUUUAUCACGAUCUCUCUCUCCCCUUCCUUUUGACCCAUUUUCCCUUCUCGAACAUCGAGCACAAGCCAUCGCCGUUGCCAACCAUGGCAAAGCGCACGCUUGGAGUCUCCAACAAUGAGCUUGCUGCCAAUGGAUCCCUAUCCCUUUGUGCACCUUAUGGGGGGAACAAUGAGCUUUGCUCAAGCGAUCUCUUUAUGACUUUAAGCAAUGCCAUAGUGGUGCAAGCGAUUUGACUCCAUUCAACGCUAUGAUAAGAGUGCUGAUAAAAAUUGCAUGUACUUUAGGAGGUUAUAUGAUGGUAGUUACAAAAUUUUAUACGGCCUUGCCUUGCUUCCACACCUAAGUCACCGGCAAACAAGGCUAGGUCCAUCAAGGUCGGGCCUGAGAACUCAAUGCUCCCAUCAAAGUCGCCAACGGUCCAUGCCCAAGACCUCGGUACUGGUCCAUGGGUCCUAGACCGCCAUGCUUGGGUAAGUGACUUCCACACCCAAGUCACUAGCUCCCAAGCUCCCUUAACAGCCAACCUCCCUCAAGACCGUGCCAAAGACCUAGGUAUCUAUGCCCAAGUCCUUGAUACCGUUGCUUGGAUAAUGCUCAUGCCGCCAGGACGCAGUUGGGUAUCUCUUAUAUACUAUGAAUAGUGCAUGACUUUUUAGGAAAAUAAAAUCAAGUUUUUCUUUCUAAAUGAUAUAAUUUUCAAUUCAUUUUUAAAUUUCAGUUAAAUACCAUAAAAUAUUCUUAUUGCUGAAGAUCCCCAUCACUGCCAAGCUCGCCGGCUUUGUCGUCCACCUAUUGUCCCCUCCUUGCUUCUACACCAACUUUGUUAAAUGGACGGGAGAUGGCAAGAAAUUUUUCUGAGUGCGAAAAGCCUAAGACUUUUUUGUUUUCGGAGUGAUUAUUUUUUAAUCGUGAAUGCAUGACGUGCCUGUGACACGCCCGCAUUGAGAAAAUAUGAAGUGAGAGCAAGAUUUGAUGAAAAAUACUUUAAACCUUUAAGUUGCAUCCCAAAGAUACUUAAGCCCAAAAUAUGGGGGCAAAAACAAGAGGAAAUAGAAAGAAGCAGGAGAAAGAAGUCAAAUUUAUACUUAUUUUUGAAAGCCCAUACCCUUAUGAAGCCCAUCGAUCCUCAUCUUGGGCCGUGAGAGACCCGCCGUUCACCCGACCCGACUUGAUUUUCUUCCUCUCAUGUUUUCCCGGGAAAACCCUUCUUCCCCUCUCCAGCUUUCUCCGGGAAAAUUUUCCGAUCCGUUGCAAACCAUUCAUCAUCUUCCGUUCUGUAACAGAUCUCGACGACCUGCGAGGCUGCGAUGGAGAUUCGCAUCGGAAGAGGCUACGCGUGGGCCAUCGCUGCCGGAUUCAUGGCCGCUCUCGCCGCCAUCUCCGCCAAGUUCUUCUCCUCUCAGGUAACCCAACCUCAUCCGCGCGCUUGUCCGUGCGAGCUAAUUCGUGAUUGUCCCCCGCCGUUCUGCUUUGUCACUCGAGAUCGUGCGAUCGUUACAGCUAAUGCAAAUCGAAAUCUGGCGUGUGUGUUGGGCCGUGUCCCUAAUGUAUCUCCGGCAGAAGCACUCGACGUCGCGUGGCGCAAUUUUUGGUUGUUUGAGGAUUAGCGGGAGCUCUAAUUGAGGAAAGCUCCUGCCAAUCCUACUACUUCUGUGGAGAGUAGUUGAAUAGAUUACCCAGAGGGAAGCUUGGAAGCUAUCCGAGCGGCCUGUCGUGGCAAUCAGCGACGCCUGCUCAGUAGCAGAGGAGAGUUUCGAAAGUUGAGGGGACAAGCUUAGGAAAUUCGUGAAAUUCGUGCAAAAUCUCAGUUUAUGAGAUGGGGAUGUGGACAGAGAUUCUUGGUGAAAUUUAAAAGAAGAUAGCAUAGGAAAUAGGAAACGCGCCAACGCCUAGCAGGCUAGCAGGCAGGCCAGGCGGGGCGGGGUUGGGGCAUCCGGAGAACUCUGACUGGAUAUUUAGAAGGGGUUACUAUUGUACAAGCAUCUUCUCGAAUGUGAGCUUCGCAGAAUGGGUUGUUAUCUGUCAGGUUUAUAUCUUCACUGGGACGAAGAAGAAUAGCAAAGAGAGAGAAAACAGAGAAUCUGUUGCUCUUCUUUUCCCCAGUGGGUAAGUGCAUCUGUUAUUUGUGGUGUCAUUAGCUGCGGUUGUCAGCAUUUCCUAGUCAACUCAGUCUGAGAUCUGGUGCUUUUGCAGUGAACUAGUUAAGUCCUACCAUAAAUGGAGUUCAUUUGGUCGUAUCUACCUUAAACGUUUGAUUCUCUUUGCGAGAAAAAUGUUUCAAUGUCUGAGUCCAGUUAAUUAGAUUCCUAUGACUUGACCAAUGAGUGGUUACUGCACUGCACUAAAGCCUGUUAUUUGACAGGAAUCUUUUCCUCAUGCUACUCCUUUUCCUCCAUUUCUUGACUGUAGGGGCAGAUUGUUUAAAGAUAUUUUUCAUGUGUUUACUGAUUGUCUAAGAUGCACAGUUAAGCAUUUAUUCUGUCAUGAUACAUCUUCGAUGAAUUUUCCCAGUAACUGUUGCCAUUAGAUGGGUGUUGUUAAUAAAUUGUGCAGUUCAUGAACUCGGACAUAUUUUUCCUGGACUAACACCCAGACAUCUGAAUUUGUUAACAGGUCAUUAAGUAUGGUUUUGUCAUACUGUUCAAUGUUACAAUGUGGGGAUGUUAUGUCAACAGCCUAAAGAGUCUCUCGUCUCUUCAAGCCACAGUUACGAACUUUGCGACAAAUUUCCUCACUUCUGGAUUAGCUGGGUUCUUUUUGUUUGAUGAGUCAUUGAGAUACCAGGUACUUUGAUUAACUAUUUUCCUGCCCUGUUCUGCAAAGUUAUAUACUUCAAGGUUUGAUUUUUUACUGUGUUUAAAAUAAGAGGCAAGCUCUUAUUGUUACAGCCGGAGCUGUCAAAAGUAUUUUUCACUGAUACAAGUAAUAUCAUGACUGCAUUUAGUUCCCUUGAGAGAUAAAUUCUCUCUAUGGAAUCGGAACUGGUUAUCUUGAAAGUGGCAAGUAGGCUAAAAUUUAGGAGUCAAGUUAUGCAAUAGAUAACUUCCGAGUUUAUUAUCUCAUGAAUGCAUUGAGGGUAAUUAUGCCAUCACAAACGGGGGAUAAUAAAAUGGAGGGUUUUAUAUUUCAGAUGAAAGCUUCUGAGAUCAAUGUGGUUGCCAAGGAAAAGAGCUAGUUUGCUUCAUGCAAACCUGUUGUUCAGGGAUUCUUGGCGUAGUCUCCACCUUGCGAUAAAAGGUGUCGAGUACUUCCUAGUUCCUGAUAAUGACUCGAGUUUUAGGUUUAAUCAUUGCUAUCUUGACUCACAUUAUGGUUGUGAUAUGGUUGUGAAAUUGUGAUUAAAAGGAUGCAGUGAUUCGAGAUUCUCACUCCACUUAGUCUAUGAAUGCAGAUUUCACAAAAUUCACAUGAAGUCCCGUUCUUAGUGGUUUGCAGGUGCACUUUUCAUAGUGAUUGGCGUGCUAAUUCUCAGCAAAUCAAGUAUUGAGAAGAAAACUAGAGUUGAUUGAAAGUUCUCAGUUUAUGAGAGAUACCGUACGCCAUGCUUGAAGGUUGCCCCCUUUUGCUACUGACAACAGUUGCUCUGCUGCUCUGGUUUAUGCUUUUCUUUCCCUUCUCCCUUUUAAGUGCCCGAACUGCCUGUUCUCAUUUUUUUUUUUUUUUGUGGAUUUGCAGGUGACUUAGUAGAGAUCAGAAGUUCCAUUCUUGUGCCACUCUCAAGGAAAGGAGAAUGAAGUUGAGAAUUGAGGAUAUAAAGGGUGUUUCCUUCCUGGCCGGUGAUUCCGUGUGAACGAUCACUACUUGUCGUGACUGGCAGCACCGAGGAUGCUAAGCCAGGAUUGCUAUGUUACUGUUAAUGGUGACUAUACAAUAUAGCUACAAGGCAAGCUGCAAAGAAGACAGAUUUGUGUUUAGAGAUGGGAUCCUAUGCUACCUUUUCACCAUGCCAAACGAGUAGGCUAAAACAUUGGUAAGUGAACCCUAAUUUAGGCGCUGUCGAAAGGCUGAAUGCGUCGUGCGCGCUUCGUGAGCGUUAAGCUAAAAGAUCAUCUUUACAUUGAUAUAAAUCAAGGCCUUGAUGUGAGCUUACGCCGACAUGUGCUAUAAUUUUUAUUUUAUUUUUUUGAAUGCGGAGGAUUUAAUGGACAUCGGGCAUUACUGGGGCAAGGUCGUCCUCUAACUUACCCCGAACUGCUCUUUCUUUAACACCGUCCAUUCUUUUUGCUCUUUAUUAAUUUAUAAAAUAUGAAAAAAAAUUGAUUUUAUUGUAUAAUUGAAAUUUUAUCGAGAAAAAGAUCCUUUUUUUUUCAAUUUCUGCUUUGACAAAAGAGAAAUACGCGAGUUGGAUCUUUCAAUUACUUUGUCGAAAAGGUAAUUACGUUAUAGCGUGUGGUACUCAUUGCUAUAAUUGGAUAACAAAAAUAUAUCCAUGGAUGUGGCUCUAUAGAUGAAAUCAUGCUGUUAUAUUGUUAUCGUGGUAAAGGAAAUAAUAGCUUUUCCUAAAAAAACUCGGUUAAAUGUGUGAUUUGAAACAUGACAAUUUGCGGCGAAAAUAAUAGCUUUUUUCAUCACCAACCUAAACUUAAAAUUCAUAACAUCAAUUUGGCGAAAAGAUCGGGAAAUUGUUAAACUGUACGACUUUUUGGGUCCAAUUGUUGCAAUAAAUAAUUAUUCCGCCGUUUAGAUGACACCUAUAUGCCCUCUAACAUUGCAAAUACAAUAAUUUUGAUGUCGUAUUAGCGAAAGCAUGAUAUUCAACUUUCGUGCUAGAUGGAGUGAUGAUGGUCUAUUUGUUGUUAUGCUAUAAGAUAAGCGAGAUACUUAGAAAGAAAUAGUAGCCUAUAAUAAAGUGAUAAUCAAGAGGGUCUCGUGACUAAUCAGUGUCUAAAUAUUUUGAUGAGUCCUUUUAGUUAAAAAGAUUGAACAAAAAAAAUGAUCUCCACUCAAUCCAUUGAAAGUAGGUGAAUCACUCAGUUUAAUGGAAGAACCGGUACAUGAAUAAUGGUUAAGGGACUUUUUCUCGGGGAAUACACUCAAAUCCAUUAAAUUACCAAUUUUUAUCCAUGUGUUUUCCUAUUUGUUUUGUUUUUUUUUUGGUAACUGAGGAGCCGUUAUGGGGUCGCCCUCCGAUGCCCGGUGGCACUAUUGGUCGUCGUCACAAGUCACUAUUUAGACGUAAAACCUCGGAAAGUUGGCCUAGUAAUCCACCCUAAGACCCCCAGUUAAGUCAUAGAAUGCAACGAGAGAGUUCAAACCCUCGACCUCGGCGAUGAGAAAAAGUAUGCACACCAUUUGCUCUGCCCAUGGGUGGGUAUGUUUUCCUAUUUGUUGAUCGUCAAUUAAUACAUUAUAUAUGUGCAUUACUAAUACUCACCAAUCUGCUUCUUCACAAUCCAUUUAUAACAUAUGACUUUAGCUAGCUACAUGUUGAGUCCUUGCUCAGGAGCACGAUGUAACUAAUAUUAAAUUUAUCCAUAAAUUUAUUAAAUAAUUAGGCAAAACUAAAUUGCUUGAUUAGGAUAGAUUGUUUUGUGCUAUAGGCUUUUUGUUGGCUUGGCAGUCGUUGGGCCACCAAACUUAUGAUUGACUUCAAUUCGAUUGAUCUGCGUGCCUCGUUUUGACAUGGAGAAAUAUUUUACAAGGUCAUCUUUCAUGAGAAUACACGAGCUCAAGAUUAUUAAAGGAGCGUCAAGUACUCUUAUAUGCUUGACUAGCUAUAUUUCCAUAAAUUUGCAAAUUGCAUUAAUGGUUGUUCGAUUUGUGAAUAAUCUAUCUUUAAUAAAGAAUCAUUUGUUUUAGCGUGCCAAAAUUAGAUCUGGCAAACUGGUAAGUCGAGGUUGAGUCGAAAAUGAUCCGAAUCAAAAUCAACCAAUUUUAUGUGUAAUAUAAAUUUAGUGAUUGGUAUGUGACUUAAGAUCAAUUCUAAAUUUAUUUUUUUCAUUAGAUUAUUGAUUUUUGAGAAAACGAGCGGUUUCAUAAAUCGACUCGUUGAAGAAGAAAAAAAAUUAAUUCUCGUUAAAAAUUUAAAAUUCUUUCUUGUUUUUGCUUCAAGUUCUCGUCCCGUGACCCACCGUCGGAACGAGGGCAUGAAAUUUGAUGAAAAGUCCAAGGAGAGAUAAGGGGCGAAGGAUUUAAACCUAACGUGCAGAUCGGACGGUCAGCAGGUUCUAAGCAAAUCGAAUCUAACGGAGGAGACAGCAGCGUCGGCUUAAAGCCAUGUUAGAUAGAAGAAAAAAAGAAAAAGGGAAAAUUAGCGUUGACCACUCCGCAUUUCUUCAAAAUUCUUCCAAAUUUGCAAAUUCCCUAUGGCGGGGGCGCUCGUCGGCGGGGCAUUUCUCUCGGCUUUCCUCCAGGUGCUCUUCGACCGGAUGGCCUCCCGCGAGGUCGUCGACUUCUUCCGGUCGCGCAAGCUCGGCAAGGGGAGGCUGCUGCAGAAGCUGAAGGCCGCGCUCCUGUCCGCGAACGCCGUGCUGGACGACGCGGAGGAGAAGCAGAUGACCAACGACCACGUCAGGAAGUGGCUCGACGAGCUCAAGGACGCCGUGUACGACACCGACGACCUGUUCGACGAGAUCGCCACUGAAGAUGUGAAGCGCGAAGCCGGGGUCGAGCCUCGGGCUCUCGUUUGUAAGGUCUGGAGCUUUGCUGCAGACGCUCGUGGGAGUAAAUUGGGGGAUGAGUUAGAGAGGGUUCUGGAGAGAUUGGAGAGCGUAGUGAAGCAGAGAGAAGUGCUGGGCCUAGGGGAAAUUAUUCGCGAGAGGACGCCUAGAGUGACGACUUCGUUGGUCGACGAAUCGGGAGUUUUCGGGAGGGAAAAGGACAGGGAGGCGGUGAUCCAGUUGCUCUUGUCAGAUCGGGGCCAAAAGAACACCAGCGUGAUGGCCAUCGUUGGGAUGGGCGGUGUCGGUAAGACCACGCUAUCUCAACUCGUGUUCAACGAUGGUGCGGUGAAGGGGAGUUUCGAGUUGAGGGCGUGGGUUUGCGUGUCCGACCAAUUCGACAUCUGCAAGCUGACGGCGACGGCUCUCGAGGAGUUCUCCUCCUCAUCUAAGAAGGAGACUGAAAAUCUCGACCAGCUUCAGCUCCAACUGAAGAACUUCUUGACAGGGAAGAAAUUCCUAUUGGUGUUGGAUGAUGUUUGGAAUGAGGACUCAAAUCUUUGGGAUGCGUUCCUAGUUCCUUUUAUCUAUGGAGCAAGAGGCAGCAAAAUCAUCGUGACGACACGAAAUAAGAGGGUCGCAUCGGUUGCUCGUGCCGUCUCGACAUACCCUUUACGGAAGUUGCAAGACGAGGAAUGUUGGGACUUGUUCGCAAAACAUGCGUUUGACCAGCAAAACUUCAAGGCGCGCACGAGACUUGAAGAAAUCGGGCGAAGAAUUGUAAAGAGAUGUGAUGGAUUGCCUCUUGCGCUGAAGACUAUAGGUAGCUUGUUACGCUGUGAGUCUGAUAUCAGGGAGUGGGAAAGUAUUGCAGAGAGUUAUAUUUGGAAUUUGGCACCUGGACCAAAUGGAAUUCUCCCUGCGUUGUUGUUAAGUUAUCAUUACCUUCCUCCACAACUGAAACGAUGUUUUGCCUAUUGUUCAGUCUUCCCAAAGGAUUGUAUAUAUGAGAAGGACCAGCUGAUCUUACUUUGGAUGGCUGAGGGCUUGAUAGAACAACCUCACGACAGGACAUUAGAGCAAGUAGGUGAUCGGUGCUUCGAUGAUCUUGUGUCUAGAUCUUUGCUUCAUAGAGUAAGUGAUGUCGAAUCGAGCUUCUCGAUGCAUGACCUGGAAGUAAGCGAUGUCGAAUCGAGCUUUUCGAUGCAUGACCUGGUCAAUGACUUAGCAAGAUAUGUAGCUGGUCGUUCUUUUUUUAGCUUGGACGGAGGCAAUGCACACCACGUGUCCUCAAGCACUCGCCAUUUGUCAUUUGUAAGAACUCGAUAUGAUGUCGCUUCUAGAUUUAGAGUGUUAGCCGGGACAAUGAAUUUGCGUACUUUCCUGCCGCUAAACGUGGGUCGUGAGAGAUUUUACGAGUACAAUUUGUUGACUGAUGAGGUACUGCAUGUUCUGUUGCCGACCCUGAGACGGUUAAGGGUGCUAUCUUUGUCUCAUUAUCUGAAAAUCUCUACGUUGCCUAGUUCAAUUGGAUGUUUGAAGCAUCUGCGCUAUUUGAAUCUCACUUGUAAUUGGAGUCUAAUCAGAUUGCCUGAUACAAUUACAGCUCUAUACAACUUGCAAACCUUAAUUCUUGCUUACUGUGAGUCUCUCAUUGAGUUACCGAGCAACAUGGGCAGCCUAACCUGUCUGCGUCAUCUUGAUAUAAGGAAGACAUCCCUGAAGAGAAUGCCCUUGGGGAUGAACAGACUGAAGAAUUUGCAGAUAUUAACUAAUUUCGUGGUGACCGAAAACGGUGGGACCAGGGUUAGGGAGCUAGGGGAGCUAAGGGAUCUUAUGGGUACACUCUCCAUACAGGGUUUGCAGAAUGUUGAUAGUUACCAAGAUGCCGAGAUAGUCAAUUUGAAGGGAAAGAGGUACUUGAAAAAGUUAGUACUGGAAUGGGUUUAUGAUAACAAUAUUAUGCACCAAAAUUGCUUAAAUAUAUUGGACAAGCUGCAACCUCAUUGGAACUUGAGAGAGCUUGCCAUUAAUUUCUAUAGUGGUAGGUCAUUUUCCGAUUGGGUGGGACAUGGUUCAUUCUCUAAUAUGUCAGUCGUGUGUCUUGAAUCUUGCAAGCACUGUGUGUCAUUGCCUCCUUUAGGACAGCUACCAUCUUUGGAGAAGUUGAUAAUCAAAGGAUUUGAUGGAGUUAGGAGUGUGGGUACUGAAUUCAAUGGUAGCAACUGUAUACCUUUUCAGUCACUUAAGUACUUGGAAUUUGUUGACAUGUGCAGCUGGAAAGAGUGGGCUUCUUUUGCAAUAGAGACGGGAGGUCUUGCCUUUGCACAUCUGCAGGAGCUUUGUAUUAGAAAUUGCCCUGAGUUGAGUGGAGGUUUACCCAACCAUCUCCCUUCUCUAACAGCCUUGUCCAUUGAAAAGUGCCCACAGCUAACGUCUUCUCUACUAUUUGCACCACUUCUCCGUAAAAUCAAUUUGGAUGAUUGUGGAAAGGUUUCUGGAGUUGAGCCUCUCCUAAAUGGCACCGAGUUACGAGAUAUGAGAAUCAAGAGACUUUCAACCCUUCCCUUGAGGUUUCUUCCUCCUACCAUGACAAGACCUAAUCUUGAAGACAGUCCUGGAAUAGAGUUGCCACUGCACAGAUGCCAUGAAUCUCUCCAAUAUCUAAACUUGGAGUGGAGCUGCGAUACACUUAUAUCCUUUCCUCUGGAAAUUUUCCCCUCACUUAAAGAUAUUCAGUUGUCGGGGAUUAAAAAUUUGGAACAUCUUGCCAAUUCAGACGGUUCAUCACUUCUUCUCCAUUCGAUGGCCAUUUGUAAUUGCCCUGAAUUUAGAUCUUUCCCUGCGGGAGGAUUGGCUGCCCCAUCCCUCACUUCAUUAGAGUUGUAUAAUUGCUGUCAUCUAAAGUAUCUGCCAGAAAGCAUGCAGGCUCUCCUUCCUUCGCUUCGGUCACUGACAAUAUCCUUAUGUCCACAACUCGAGUCAUUUCCCGAGAGGGGUUUAUCCUCCAAGUUGGUCGCGCUUUCACUCUCUAAUUGUGAUAAGCUCAUCACUGGCCGCAAGGAUUGGGGUCUUCAAUCGCUAUGCUCUCUUGAAACUUUUUCCAUUGGGGAACAGAAAAAUAUCGAGUCAUUCCCUGAGAUAGGGCUUCUGCCAACCUCUCUUACCUCUUUGCAUAUCUCUUUCUUUGAGAAUCUGACGUCCCUGAACUCCAGAGCGCUUCAUAGCCUGAGCUCCCUUGAAAACCUCUCCAUUAUCGGAUGUCCUAAGCUCCAUUCCUUCCCAAAAGAGGGACAAAUUCUGCCUACUUCUCUUACCUCUCUGUCGAUUUAUUUUACGGGUCUAAAAUCACUGGAUAACUUAGGGCUCCACCACCUCACUUCUCUCAAAGAAUUUCGCAUAGAUUUCUGCUUCAAUCUUCGAUCCAUGCCAGCGGAGGGCUUGUCAUCCUCCCUUUCCAAUCUAUUUAUCAAUAAGUGCCCUAUGCUGGCGAAAAGAUGCCAGCGGAAGAAAGGGAAAGAUUGGCCCCUAGUUUCGCACAUUCGCUGCAUCGUGAUUGAAGGUGUGCUCGUCACAUAAUCGAAUAUCUUGCUUUACAAUCCCUCCUUUUACCAAGAUCUCACUCAGGUAUCUCCCUUGGCCCUACACUAAGUAAGCCAUUUAUUUAUUCUGGACAUACUUCGGUCACUCUGUGCUAUCCUUCCAGCUAAUGCAAAUCGAAAUCUGGCGUGUGUGUUGGACCGUUUCCCUAAUGUAUCUCCGGCUGAAGCAAUCGACGUUCUUAUGGCGCAAUGUGAGCUUCAGCCGGUAGCCAGUGCGCGGCAAUACGUCCAAUUUUUGGUUGUUUGAGGAUUAGCGGGAGCUCUAAUUAAGGAAAGGUCCUGCCAAUUCUACUACUUCUGCGGAGAGUAGUUGAAUUACCAAGAGGGAAGCUUGGAAGCUAUCCGAGCGGCCUGUUGUGGCAAUCGGUUGACGCCUGCUCAGUAGCAGAGGAGAGUUUCAAAAGUGGAGGGGACAAGCAUAGGAAAUUCGUGCAAAAUCUCGGUUUAUGAGAUGGGGAUGCGGACAGAGAUUUUUGGUGAAAUUUAAAAGAAGAUAGCAUAGGAAGUAGAAAAUGUACCGAACACCUAGCAGGUGGGCCGGGUGGGUUUGGGGCAUCCGGAGAACGCAGACCGGAUAUUUAGAAGCAAUAACUAUUGUACAAGCAUCUUCUCGAAUGUGAGCUUUGCAGACUGGAUUGGUAUCUGGCAGGUUUAUAUCUUCACCGGGAUGAAGAAGAAUUGCAAAGAGAGAGAUCAUAGAGAAGCAUCAUUUGAUUAUUUACCUGUUGCUCUUCUUUUUCCCAGUGGGUACAUGCAUCUGUUGUUUGCAGUGUUAUUAGCCGGGGAUGUCAGCAUUUCCUAGUCAACUCAGUCUGAGAUCUGGUGCUUUAGCAGCAAACUAGUUAAGUUCUACCAUGAAUGGAGUUCAUUUGGUUGUAUCUACCUUAAAUGUUAAGUCGUCAUUCCCUGGCAGAAUUACGUGAAAAGAAGUAGAUGUUUGUUUCUCUUUGUGAGGGAGAAGUUUCAAUGUCUGAGUCCGGUUAAUUAGAUUCCUAGGACUUGACAAUGAUUGGUCACUGCACUGCACUGAAGCCUGUUAUUUGACAGGAAUCUCUUCCUCAUCCUCUUCUUCUUCCUCCAUUUCUUUGGACUGUUGGAGCAGAUUUUCUAGUGAUAUUUUUCAUGUGUUUACUGAUUAUCUAAGAUGCACAGUUAAGCAUUUAUUCUGUCAUGAUACAUCAUUGUGACGAAUUUUUCCAGUAACUGUUGCCGUUAGAUUGGUGUUGUUAAUAAAUUGUGCUGUUCAUGAACUUGGACAUAUUUUUCCUGGACUAACACUCAGAGAUCCGAAUUUGUUAGCAGGUCAUUAAGUAUGGUUUUGUCAUACUGUUCAUUGUUACGAUUUGGGGAUGUUAUGUCAACAGCCUAAAGAGUCUCUUGUCUCUUCAAGCCACAGUUACGAACUUCUCGACAAAUUUCCUCGCUUCUGGAUUAGCUGGGUUCUUUUUAUUUGAUGAGUCAUUGAGAUACCAGGUACUUUGAUUAACUAUUUUCCUGCCCUGUUCUGCAAAGUUAUGUACUUCAAGGUUUGAUUUUUUAUUGUGUUUAAAACAAGAGGCGAGCUCUUAUUGUUAUACCUGGAACUAUCAAAAGUUUUUUUCACGUACACAAGUAAUAUCACGACUGCAUUUAGUUCCCUCAAGAGAAGAAUUCUCUCUAUGGAAUCGGAACUGGUAAUCUUGAAAGUGGCAAAUAGGCCAAAAGUUGGGAGUCAAAUUAUGCAAUAGAUAACUUCCGAGUUUGUUAUCUCAUGAAUGCAUUGAGGGUAAUUAUGCCAUCAUAAGUGGGGAACAACAGCAUGGAGAAGGAUUUUAUAUUUCAGAUGAAAGCUUCUGAGAUCAAUGUGGUUGCUAAAGAACAGAGCUAGUUUGCUUCAUGCAAACCUGUUGUUCAGGGAUUCUUGGUGUAGUCUCCACCUUGCGAUAAAAGGCAUUGUGUACUUCCUAGUUCCUGAUAAUGACUUGAGUUUAGGUUUAAUCAUUGCUAUCUUGACUCGCAUUAUGGUUGUGAUAUGGUUGUAAAAUUGUGAUUGAAAGGAGGCAAUGAUUUUUGAGAUUCUCACUCCACUUAGUCUAUGAAUGCAGAUUUCACGAAUUUCACAUAAAGUCCCGUUCUUAGUGGUUUGCAGGUGCACUUCUUAUAGUGAUUGGUGUGCUAAUUCUCAGCAAAUCAAGUAUCGAGAAGAAAAGUAGAGUUGAUUGAAAGUUCUCAGUUUAUGAGAGAUACCAUACGCCAUGCUUGAAGGUUGCCCCCUUUUGCUACAGGCAACAGUUGCCCUGCUUCUCUGCUUUAUGUUUUUCUUUCCCUUCUCUCUUUUAAGUGCCCGAACUGCCUGUACUCAUUUAUCUUUUGUGGAUUUGCUGGUGACUUAUAAAUGAGAAGUUACAUUCUCGUGCCACUCUCAAGGAAGGAAAAAAAGGAAGCUGAGAAUUGAGGAUAGAAGAGUGUUUCCUUCCUGGCCGGUCAUUCCGCGUGAAUGAUCACUACUUGCUGCGACUGGCAGCACCAAGGUUGCUAUGUUGUUAAUGCCAGGAUUGCUAUGUUACUGUUAAUGGUGACGGUAAGAUAUAGCUACAAAGCAAGCUGCAAACGAGUAGGCUAAAACAUUGGUAAGUGAACCUUAAUUUAGGCGCUCUGGAAAGGCUGAAUGUGUCGUGCGCGCUUUGAGAGCAUAAAGCUAAGACCCAACAAAGAUCAUCUUUACAUUAAUAUAAAUCAAGGUCUUAAUGUGAGCUUAUACCGACAUGUGCUAUGACGUAAUAGAAAACUUGCGGAGGAUUUAAUGGACAUCGUGCGUUACGGGGCCGAGGUUGUCUUCUAACUCACCUCGACCCGAACUACUCUUGCUAUAAGACCCUCCAUUCCUUUUGCCCCUUAUUAAAAGUUUGUUACUUGUAUGAUCUAAAACACGACAACGCAUGGCCAAAGUAAUAGUUUUUCUCAUUACCAAUCUAAACUUAAAAUUUGUAAAAUCAAUUCGGUGAAAAGAUCGGUGCACCAAAUUGGUGUUCCCCUCAAAAUGUGGAUUUUUGGCUGGCACAAUAAAAUAAUCAAGUAACCUAACAUUAUAUAUAUAAAGCAUUUUUUGGGGUUAACUUAUUAGAUUCAUGUUUAAUGAGUUUAUAAUGCAGCAUCGUAGCACGACGUGAGAAUACAAUAAUUUUGAGUGUGUUUGUUUCGUGGAAAAAGAAUAAUUUGAAAAAUAUAUAUUUUUAAAUAAUCGCUUAAAAGAAUUAAUGAGUGGAAAAUAUUUUUCAUUGUUCAUGAAAAUAUUUAGACAUAAAAUUAUUAGUAAUAAAAAUAUUUUUAUUGAUUAAUGAUUAUAAGCAAUAUAAACGCAGGCCUUAACGAGAAAAUGUGGCUUAUUUUUUCAUUUCUCAUUGAACUGUCACUGUUCAGGUAAGGCUCCGCCCGACAAAUGGGCUCGAGGCGCGAAACUGAGGAUGAAUCAGGACCGUUGCUCAAAGGCGAAGGGCUCGCCGACUAAAAUGCGUCCGCGCACACCGGAUCGCGGCUCACCGUCUCUCUCCUUCGCAUUUUCCCGCCAGAAACCCAUCCCCGUCGACCUUCAUUUACCGCCAAGUCUCUCUCUCCCGCCCUCUUCCCUGACCUAAACCCUCACUCGCGAGGCUCUGCGCGUAAUUGAUCGGCGGCGUUAUGCGAAUCCGGGAUCCAAUUUGAUGUUGUGAUGAAGCCGACAGCAAUCGCGAAGGAUUUCCUCUCGAACUUCGCCAACGCGAAUGGAGAAGCCAAGUACAUGAACGUCCUCGUAAGUUCCUCCUCUCUCGGCUCUUGUUUUUAUACUCGGACAUCCUUUUAAGCGCUGUAGAAUUGAGGCGAAAUCAAUGUUAAAGGUGCGUGCUUGAUCGCACGUCGUGCCCUAUCCUUUUCUGUUGUCCAUGAACUGCGGCUGCGGAGUCUCUUCCGUGUGCAAUAAUGCUCCAGUACUUAUAAAAUGAUUAACCCUAGAUUUCACAUUUGAGUCGAGCGUAGUUCCCUUUUUAUUUGCAAUUUAAAUGGCUCGCAUGAGGGUCGCCAUUCCUGAUUUCAGCAAGAAGUUGCAAAUCGAAAAAUUCGUGAUAUCCGUUUUAUUAUUCCGUGAUAUCUUUCAUUCAUAAGCUAUAUGUUUAAAAUAGAUAGUAAUUAGCUAAAUAAUCGGUGACACCAAAUAUUAAAUAUUUACCUAACAUCAUCAUAUUAUAAAGUUACUUUCGAUUCCGAGUAAUAAAAGCAGCACACAUCCUCUCUCUCUCUCUCUCACUCACUAACACAGUGGUCGAGGCGUCAGACGUGGUUGAGGCCCCCCUCAUCGUUGCAUGGCUGCUCCCGCUGGCCUGGCUCGUGAGCCGGAUGAUAGGCGCCGCAAGAUGAAGCGGCUGCUGCGAUUGGCUUCAGAAGAAGCCGUGCGAGUCGAGCUCAAGGCGUGGAUCGAGGCGUGGAUCGUGGCGUGGAUAGGCCCGAUUGAGGCCCUCAUCCUCUGCAUCAUAUGACUGCUACCACUCGUGGCAUUCCUCAUCCAGAGGAGUCGGUGAUGAUCGGUCAAGAGGAGCCUCAAGAUUGAGCGGCUGAGGCUCCAUCGGGUACAUAAGGUCGUCUCCCCUUUGCUACUGUCACUGUCCCGUUUGCUAUGGACGUGAUACCUAUAGAUGCUCACUGUCCCGUUUGCUAUGGACGUGAUACCUAUAGAUGCUCGCACCACCAAGCGACGCGAUGCUAGUGAUUUCGAUAGUUUAAUCAAUCAGUCGUGGCAUCUGGUGUAUGGUCGAUGAACAAUCACUAGCGAAAAAUUUACUAUGCCUAAUUUGGUUAUGUACAUACUAGUCAUUUAGGAAGAAUCAAUCAGUCAUGGCAUCUGGUGUAUGAUCAAUGAACAAUUACUAGGGAAAUUUCCAUUGUUUAUUACAAUAUUUCCUAUAUACAUUCGCCGUACCGUCGUCGCUCUCGCCCGUGGUUGCCCACGGUCGCGACCAACUCUCGUUGCCAUGGAGGGAGAGAGAAGGGCCGUGGCGACUGAGGGGACUGUGGGGACAGCGCUCCUGAAUUCGAGCAAUUCUCGAGACGGAGUCUAAGCUCGAAUAUGUCCGCGAAGGACGCGAUUUUCUUCGCUGCUGCGGCUAACGAAGUGGAAUCCUUACGCGAAAUCGCGUCGGGAAGUCCCACCACCAAGUACGAACCUGUCUCUUCGCUGAUGGAUCCUCCCGAUCAGCGGAAGGAGUCGAAGUCGAAGUUCGUCGUCGCCCAUUGUUCGCGACCACCCCACUCUCAAGACUCUCCAUUCAGCCACGGGUCCAAUUCUUCGCUGCCUGCGAUCGUAACUCGUUCCUACCAAAAUCUCAAGGGAGAUUUGACUACCAACGUCUCUCUCGUCCAGCGGUCUGUGUCUCUCCCUCUUCCCUCGAGCUUGCUCUAUGAUCAUGGGAGAGCGUGCGGGCCGAUGCUUCGCUUCGCUCCUCCGCUCGUAAGAAGGAAAGGAAAAAAAGAGCGAAAAAGAGAGGGAAAAUCACAAAAAAAAAGGAAAAAAAGAGGGGAAAAUAGGGAAGUUCCCAGGUUUGGUAGUUUGUUAGGGGCGUUGGCGGAUGAUAUGCCCACUUAACAUUUUGGAUCAUCAUCUCUACUGCGGUGAAUCAUUCAUCAUCGAAUGAGGAUUCACCAUCGAAUGAGGAGAGACUUGUGUCUGUGGAGACAUACAUGACAUUCAUGAUCUAAUCUACUUAAAAUAUGCUUGAUGAUUGUGCAUUUCUUCAAGCUUUAAUGUGAUGAUAUCUACAAAGGACAUAUAUGUUUCACCAGGGGAGCUCCAAAUAUGCAAAUGUCAAUGUUAACUACAAAAUCUUUCUGCUUGGAGAGCCUGCUAGCCAUCACUAGCCAAAAUGAAAAGAGGAAAAAAUUUUAAAAAGAAUUAAAAAAUUUCCACGUCAAUGCGAAUCACACCUUAUAAGAUAGCUAACUUUCAAAUCAAUGGAUUGGACUCAAUUGUCACAAAUAUAAAAAAUCAAUGAUUAAAUUAAUCUAAUCUAAAGAUUUAAAAGUGAAUUAGUAUUAAUAUAGUAUGUUUAAAUAUUGAUAAAACACAAAAUUGUACCAUGAAAUGUCACAUCACAAAAUUGAAGAACACUACAAAUAAGUAAAAAUCAUAAAAAUUGAAAAACACUACAAAUAAGUAAAAAUCAUAAAAAUUGAAAAAUAAACAUCAAAUAUGAAAAACAAAAAACAAAGAAAAAGAUGAAGUUUGCAGGGUUUAUAUGUCGUCCCAAUAAGGGUUGGCGAUCCUCAUCGAGGUCCAAUUGAGGGCAGUGAGCCCUCACACAAUAGUAGUUGCAAUAACCAUCAUUGGGCCCCAACAAGGGUCUAUCCAACAAAUUGUGCCCCACUGCUGCAAGGGGCAUUACCUCCGUCCAUCUCUAGGUGAGUCACCCUCACGGAUGCAAAGCCGCCCCCUUAUUGCCCCUAACAUUUUUUACUUUUCUGAAAUCAUUUCAAUCCUUUUUUUUUUUAAUAUUUAUGCUAUUUCGUCCUCUUUUUUUUUUUUUUUUUUUUUUCCUUUUUAGCAUUUGUCUUUUUGACGCGGUGCCUAUUCGACAGCGAGAGAGGAAGAGUGAACUCUCCAUUUUUGGGUCCACCGUUGGCUUUCUUUAUGAUUAUCUUAGGAUGGUUUGACAGUCCCAUUAACUCAAUGAGAGAGAGAAACUCUCACUCUUCACCUUAUAUGAACUUAAUUUGACCAAUCUUUUUUGCCUCUCUUUCUUUUUCCACUUUUUCCAAGAAGCUUCGCGGAAGCAUCUCGGGUCAUUAGUUUCGUCGAAUUUAAUGUCUGAAAAGGAAACUCCACGGCUUCUUGCAAUACCCGUCCUUGAUUUCCUUUGAAAUGAAGUUGCUCUCUUGAGCAAACCCUCUUCGAAGUAGUACUCAGGGCUGUCAAAUGAUUGGUUCGAAAAUGGUUAAGCCCUAAUUGAUCCAUGUAAUUUUGAUAAAAAAUGACCUAUAUAACUUCUUUUUUUUACUCAUUUAUAUGAAAUACAAAGUUAAUGUCCCAAUAUAGAGCCAUAAUUUUGACUGACGGAAGUGAAAUUUUCACUGUUAUGCAUCUUAAUUUUUUUUUCUAAUAUUUGUUACUAAUAGGUAUUUCAAAUGAAGUCAACUCAAUAAAUUAGUAAAAAAAAUUACAGAAGACUGAAAAAAAUUAACUCAACUAAAAUAGAAUAACUACUCAAAGUACAUUUUUUUAAAAACAAAAGUAAGAGUACCAAAAUUGCCAAAACAUCAUUACAAAUGAUAAAUUGAAGAAUUAAAAAUGGCAAAAAUUGAUACACCCCUUCCGUACAAAGAGUGCUUAGGCCCUUUCAACCUUUUCUUUUAAUUGAGGAGAGUGGGGAAGCAAUAACACUUAGACCGCCAACUUUUUUGAGAUUAGUGCAUUUAAAAUUUUAAACUCAUGGCAGAAGUGUAACUGAAUUUUAAAAUUUAAGAUAAUAUAAUCAAAUAUGAAAGUUUGCAAUCAAAAUUGAAGAUGCUUAAAAUAUUACUCUAGUACAAAUCAUCAAUAUGUGUUGUGUUGAAUGUUAAACGCAAACAAAACCUGAAAGUGUGAAACUCAUGGCAGAAGUGUAACUGAAUUUUAAAAUUUAAGAUAAUAUAAUCAAAUAUGAAAGUUUGCAAUCAAAAUUGAAGAUGCUUAAAAUAUUACUCUAGUACCAAUCAUCAAUAUGUGUUGUGUUGAAUGUUUGCUUUGUUGAUUUGAUAAUUGUAAUGUCCCCAUAAUCGUUUCAUCAAAUAUGUGAUGGAUGGAAAGUGUAGAAAAGAAGUAAAAAAAGAAUAAAUGCACAUAACAAUUUUUUUCAUAGUGUGAUUGUUUAGAUAUAACUGAACUUGUUGACCGAGAGCAACAUAAGUGUCCACCGGGUGUCUGGAUUGCAACGCUAAUGCUACUACAUGGCUACUAGAUGUUCUCUUUGAGAGAAAAUAUUGAAUAUACAAGUUGUGUCAGUGUAACAAAUUAAAAGCUCAUCUAUUAAGUGACAUGUGUUCUUAAAAAAUGCACUUGAAAUGGGAAUGCUCAUGUUUCAAAAUGGCGUGCAAGUCGCUCUCUCGAGGAAACCCUCUUCCUAAGUAGCACUUGGGCUAUCGAAUGGUGGAUUGGUUCGAAAAUGAUUAGACUCUAAUUGACCCAUGUGAUUUUGAUUAAAAAAUAAUCAAUAUAACCUGUUUUGACUCAUUUAUAUGAAAUAUGAACUUAAUGUUCCAUAAUAGCACCACAAUUUUGAGUGGUGGAAGUGAAUUUUUCACUAUUAUGCAUCUAAAUUUUUUAAUUAAUAUUUGUUACUAAUAAGUAUUCCAAAUAAAGUCAACUCAAUAAGUUUUCUAAUUUUUCAAUUUAUAUUUUUACAAUAGGUAUUUUAAAUAAAAUCAACUCAAUAAAUUUUCUUAUUUUUAAUUAAUAUUUGUUACAAAUAGGUAUUACUAAAAUGAAGUCAACUCAAUAAAUUAGUAAAAAAAAUUACAGAAAACCGAAAAAAUUAACUCAACCAAAUUAGAAUAAGUACUCAAAGUACCUUUAUUUUAAAAUAUAAGUAAGAGUGCACAAAUUGCCAAAACAUCAUUACAAAUGAUAAAUUGAAGAAUUAAAAAUGAUAAAAAUUGAAACACCCCUUCCAUACAAAGAGUGCUCAGACCGUCAACUUUUAUUUAUAGAUUAGUGCAUUUAAAAUUCUAAACUAAUGGCAAAAGUGUAACUGAAGUCUAAAAUUUUAGAUAAUAUAAUCAAAUCUGAAAAUUUACCAAAUUGAAGCAAUCAAAAUUUAAGAUGCUUAAAAUAUUACUCUAAUAUAAAUCAAUAAUAUGUGCUGUGUUUAAUGCUAAGCGCAAAACAAAUCCUCAAUGUGUGAUGUCACUCAUUGAUUGUGUAGAAUUUAGGCAACAUUUUUUUUUUGGUCGAAACUUAGGCAACAUUUCAAUAAGUAGAUUUGAUAAUUACAACGAUCCACAUAAUUGUUUCAUCAAUAUGUGAUGGAUGGAAAGUGAAAAAAAAAAGGAGUAAAAAGAGAAUAAAUAUGCAACAUUUUCUUUUCAUAGUGUAAUUGUCUAGGUAUUAUUGAACUUGAUGUUGACCGAGAGCAACUAAAUUUCCACCAAGUGUCUGGAUUGCAGCAUUAAUGCUACUACAUGUUCCUUGGGAGAAAAUAUUGGUUGUGCAUGUUGUGCCAGCGCAACAAAUUGAAAGCUUAUUCAUUGAACAACAUGUGUUCAUCUUCUUGCCCUUUCUCUGUUCUCCCACUGCUUUCUUCGUUCUUUUUGCAAGCCACGGAUGGUCUCUCUCCUCCGUAAACCCCUUCUCCUCCUUCGGCCCUCCCCCUCACUUGCCCGGGGCACGACAACGUCAUUCACCCGGCCUCUCCUUCACUUGAGCUCGACCUUUGUGCCUUCCCCACCAACAACAGCUCCACCAUUGAAAUCAUCCGCUGCCCCUGCGGCCCUUGGAUCCAAGAACAAGCCUAAGUCUCCCGUGCUCAUUGUCAUCACUCAUGAUCCCGAGCCCCUGCAUCCUUGAGAUCUUCUGUGCUCUGAGUCAUCCCUCCCUCCGUAGCUUACGGAUCUAACAAGGGCUUAGUCCUUUAUAGAUUUAGCGCAAGUGACCCUUACCCUAGUCGGGAGAGUCAACCCUCACCGAAUCCCCUCAUUAGAUUCGGCGAGAGCAACCCUAGCUUGUGGCCAGUCACCGGCCACAACCAAGUACUGGCCAUAGGUCAAAGGGAAAGAAAGUAAUUUAAAAAAAAAAAAGGAAGGGAGAAAUGGCAAAAAAGAAGAAGAGAAAUGGAGGUGCAAGUCUGUGAGAGGAGAGAAACGAAGGAAGAAUAGCUUGAUAAGUAAGGGCGCGAUUGGUAAUGUUUCUGUUCAAAAAUUGUUCCAGGGAACAGAAAAAAAAAAGUGUUUAUGUUCCGAGGAACAGUUUUUGAACAAAAGAACGCGUUUGGUAAGUGUAAAAAAAAACUGUUCUUGAAAUUAAAAAAAAAAAAAAAACAGAAACACGUUUGGUAACUGACUUAAUUUCUGUUCCUAGAAUAGAAAAAGAACAGAAACACGUUUGGUAACUGUACAAAAUUUAUGUUUUAAAUUUUUCAAAAAAUGUUUUUUUUUAAUAAAAUUUAAACUUGAUAUUGAAUUCUCAUUCUCAUGAAAUGCUCAUUAAUUUAAUUUUAUUCAUGGUGAAUAAAGACAAACAUUCUGAACAUGAUCACAUGACAUACUUGGUAGAAAAUUUUGUAAAUAAAGUUUGUAUCAAAUUUUUAUCAAAUACUUUAUUUUUUAUUUUUUAUUUUUUAUUUUUAUAUCAUAUCUAAAUGUUCAUAAACAAUCUCCAUUAUCCAAUCUGUUCCCUAGGAAGUUAAUUGACGUGAAAAUAAUCAAAAUCUAGAUGAGUUCUAGAUUCAGACUUUCUUUUGAAGGCUAAACUCACUGUUCUUGAUAAUAUAGCCCCCUUAUUCGGAAUCACUCAAACUGCAGGUGGGUGAUUGAAGCCUACAUCAGUCUUCGUUAUAAAUUUCGACCAUCACAUUCUAUAACAGAAUUUCUUUUAGGUAUGAGUCAUUUUAUAUCAUACCAAUUACUUGAUACGAAAUAACGUUGUCUUAUAGACAUAUAAUUAGAAUGACACAACAACAUUAGAACUACAUCGGCAAAGCCGCAAAGUUGAAAAUAUUCUAGAUUAUAUUGAAACACCUACAAUGAAUAAAAGACUGAAUUAAUAAUUUCUCUUUGGUGACUGCACUAAGAGUCUUAAAAUUUGCACUGCAAGUGUACUCAACGGGCUCAACGCAGAGCCAUGCAGACUCUGCAUCUUCAAGCUCGCUCUCUUGCGGAGUUAUCCCUGAGACCGCAUUGAAUUGGAUGUCCACGGGAGUUAAAAUCAUCGGAAUCCUGAGCCGGCCAUCCCCCACCGACCUGUCUCAAUGAAAGCUCCCCUUUUCCGUUCUUCGCUUCCAAAAUCCUCAACGUUUUCGACUUCCCACGGACAACCUCUAGCCCCUUCUUUGAGUACUUGGGUGCCACCAUAAUCUCGCAGAACAUCCGAGUUUCACCAUCCGUUGGGCUUGUGAACUCCUGGACUUCCCUCGCCAAGUUCUAUAUGCACAAUAGGACAUUGCAAGGUUAGUGUUGACAUUCAACUCAAUCAACUUUAUCAAGUGAAGCAUUACAAUACUGACUCAGCAAUAGGAGACCCGCACCUACACCAGUGUUGUUUCAAUUUUGAGGGAAGCCCGUGCUGAAUGAGGCUUAAAGUUUUAAAAGCUCACGCCCCUUUUUAUUUAUCAGAGAAUUAUAAUAUAUUAUGGAAUGUGACCAUGGCAUAACAUUUAGCCUAAUUUGCUCAAACUAGUUGACUCAAGAAUGAGCUUCAAUAUGGAACUCUAUGGAUUUAAAAAAUGAGGAGCCUUUUUCAGUUUAUUAUAUUUGGACUCGGUGGGUGUACUAUAUAAGGAAAUUCGAAUUUUCACUUUGUAACUUGCAUAAUGAAAUAAGCAUAUACCUCAUCAAUUUCUAUGUUGAAGGCCACGAUAUCACCAAAUGCACUGACUGGAUCUGCUUUGACUGCUAAUCUGAAUGCUUGAAGAAUAUCGGCGGGGGAAGCCACCCCAUGAGGAUUUGUAUGCUUUAUGACGAUGCAUGUAGGUCACUAAACUCGGAUACACGAUUCCAGGCAGCAUCAACAUCCAGAUAGUUAUUAUAUGACAUUUCCUGCAGCACCAAUACAUAAUUCACAACAAAUGAGAGAUAGAUAUGCUAUUGUUACCACGAUCUGUCAAUGGUUUAAACGAACUUUGCAGAACAAACUACUAUUGCAGUUGCUCAGAGACUUCUAAACAGCAUCCAGUCUCAUCUCAAAAACACAUGGUUAUGAUACUAAAAGGCAGCCAAUUAGUCCCCUGUAUCGCUAAUCUCCUUUGCAAAACAUUGUUAGUGUUUCAUUAUACCUAAACCUUUUGCACGCUCAAAUACACAGAUAGUUAUGUUGAAGAAGCAAAUAAAGUGCCAGAGAGAUUUGAAUUGAGUACCUCCUGUUCUAAUAACAUAUUGACUUCUUGAAGCCUUUGUUAAUUUAUCAAAAAGCUUUAGCUAUAACAUGAAGAUACUAUCUAUUAUUUAGAUUUAAUAACAAGAUUCCAUUUUAGAAACUGCCUCCUCUAUCUAAUGAAGUUUUCAAAGCUAGAUAAUUACUAGAUCCGCUGCAAUUUCAACUUCCUCAAAAGAUUGACCUUGAUGUAAAAAUAUGACAUCAAGGAAUCGCCUUCCAUGAUGUUGGAUUGCAGUUGCAAUACCACCUCCAUUAACCUUAGCAAGACUCUUGUCCACAUGUAGCCUUAUGGUGGGGAUUUUCACCAAUAUGAAGAGAACUUUUAAGAGAUAGAGGCAAUGUUAAGCUAGGAGGGAAUUUCUCUAUCAAAAGGAAGAGUCGUCAACCUCCACAUUUUCGGUUAAAAAACUAAUAGGGUAACAGAACCUACUGAAAUUACUGAUUUCCAAAAGAAACAAACAAAAGGAUACCAUCAGAACCAAGUCUCUAAAAAGCCCCUUACUUGCAUGUGUUUAGACCUACAUGCAUUUUUAAUUGCCUUAGUGGCUAUGACAUCAAUUGAGAACACGAACUAGACGAAUACCUCCAGUUGUUUGUCUCCAUAGCCACUCUGACACUGCAGAAUCAUAGGAAGCAACACUUUGAAAGGCCUUUCAAGCAAGUUUUCUACGGAACUGUUGAUCAUCUCCAUUACUCUUCAGGAACUCUAGCAGUGCAGGGUAGUCGUGUGAAUCAACCACAACAAGGACAUCUGAUGAUUCUGUUAGAAGACAAAUGCCAACAUCAAUUCAAAUUAAGGGCAUAUAAUGGUUCUUGACGCAAAAUUACAGAAAAAUUUACCACAUGCAUAUUGAUACAUAGAGGCGCAAAGCCAGCAACAAUUCUACAAAAAAAGUGCAACAUAUUGGACAUACCUACUUUAGUUUAUAAUUUAACAAGCAUCACAAGAGCAAUUGUUUAGUUUUAGCAUAAAAGCAUGAGAGAAAUCAUUACCCAAAUAGUAAGAAGAUAAUCUGGAGCCGCAAUCUCAAUGUAAAAGUUAACAUACUUUCAGUCAAUUACAUGCCUCGGUUACAAGUGCCGUUGUAGCAAAGUUUGCAUGAUAUCCGUGAGCCUAGAGUGACAGAAGACACCAAUACAAUCAUAAUCCCUCACAUGUCCAAAUUUGGGCGAGCAACGCUCGCUUGGGGCUCGAGCACGAGGGCUCGCUCGAGCGAGCGUCGUUGCUCUGCCGAGCGACCAAAGCAGCUCGAGCUCGGCAGAGCAGCUCCAACGAGCAACGCUCGCUUGGGGCUCGAGCACGAGGGCUCGCUCGAGCGAGCCUCUCGCAGAUCUGGGCAAGCGCUGGAUCGAGCGAGCUGUCGCGCUCGAGCCCCGAGCAGCCGUCGCCCAGAUCUGUGAGGGGUGGCUCUCGCUGAAGCCCUCGUCGAACGGAGAAGGAGGAGCAGCAGAAACUAACCUCGAUUCAGAAGCUUCAGCCGGUAGGAGCAGCAGCUGUCGGCGCCGGAGAGUCAGCCGAGUGGGGAGGCGCCGGAGAGUCAGCCGAGUGGGAGGCGCCGGAGAGUCAGCUGGUGGUGAACUUGUGAGAGACGCCGGAAAAGGGAGAGCGUUGUUUCGGGUAGGGCAUGAACGAAAGAGAAAGGGCACGAACGAAGGAGAAAGGGCACGAAAACGAAGCCCGAAGUGUUCCGGUUUUGUUCUUUUUAGGGCUUCAAGAAGUGUUUCUGGACUCCAGAAGUAAGUUUUUUUUUUUUAUUUAUCUUUUUUAUGUUUCAAUUUUGCUCUAGGAACCAAGGGUGCGAAUGGUAACGGAAACGUUAAAUAAACACGUUUCUGUUCUUUUUUGUUCCCAGGAACAAAAAAACCAAAAAACUGUUCAUAAACACAUUUCAGAAACAAAAACAUACAGGGCCUAAGCUUUUUAUGGACACAUAUUGUUCAAUAGAUAGGCUUUCAAUUUGUUGCGUUGGCACAACUUGUGUGGUCAAUAUUUUCUCCAUGUCUUAGUAGAAUGUAAAAAUAAGUAAAUGCUCAGCCCACGAACGCAUCUAUGUCCAUACACAUGUUUUCAGAAUUUUAUUAAUAUCAGCUAUACGAGAUUGUGCUAUAAAUAUAAUAACGCAAAGAGGCCUAAAAUCGGAAAAGCUCACCUAGAGAAACCCCGCAUUAUCUUCAAUCAAAUCCCUAGAAUGGGAAUGGAAGCUUUCUUGGCAUCGUCUGGUUGAUUGGAGCGAGGUGGAAUGGAAAUAAAAAUGGGGAAUAAAAAUUGCUUUAUUACUGCAUUUUUCGUUAACACGCGGGAAAGUGGAAAUGAGCGAUAAGGCAUGGGAAUGAGUUGACAGUCAAAGGUAAAUUGACAUGUGCACUAAGCUUCGUAUUUGGUAACUGUUGUUUGGACAUAAUAUGGCAAACAUACUUACCUAAUUUACUAUUAUAUAGCAAUUUAAAACGAUAAAAUUCCACCCAUUACUACAUACGUUCCAAUUCCGAUGUAUUAUCAAAUGCAGUGAUCUUCAAAUCAAUCGCUAUUCUGAUUCACUACAAGCAAUUCCAUUUCCCUCUAGUUAUCUCAUGCUUAUGUAACAAAUCAGCCAAAGAAACAAUUUAGAACUCGUAUGGACCACAUCCUCAUCUAAAAUUAAGAACAGAUCAAAGUGCAUGAACCGCAAAAAUUAGGACCAUGAGCGCACGCAUGUCUAGUCUGUCUAAUUCUAUAUUUAUAUAGUGGUAGAUAUAUCCAAUAUGACCUCACUACAUACAUCCAAUUUCCACUCUGGAAUACGUAAUUAAUUGAUUAGGCUUGUUCUUCAUGACUUAUUUUUCCUCCAAUUGCCUUCAUGUUACCUCUUUUGGAAGCAUUCAGUUGAUCUACAUGCAUUGUUUGGACAUGAAGAACUAUUUUAAUAGUUCAGUUUUCAUAAAAAUAUACCAGCUCGAGAUUAUCAAUGGUGUGUGUAUAUGUAAUCUUGUGUACUAAAACUAGCUAAACUCGAAUGAUAUUCCAAUUUGGAUCUAAAAUACCAUUGCCGGAUAAUUUAAUGGAAUGCCAUCAAAUUGUUUUCCCCUAAUGCUACGUUAAAGUACGUAUUGCAUAACUUAGAUACUUUUACCCAAAAUCAUUCCGAAAAAAAUAUAUCAGGACAAAUUCAGAAGUUUUAUAGGAGAUAAUCAUGGAUUAAUAUAGUUUCGUUCCAUUCUUAUAAGAACCAUUCAAAGGAAUUUAUUUCUUCACGUGGGGAGCAAACUCUGCCUUUUUUUAGUCAAUUGUUGACUUGGUUUUGAUUAAUUAGACAUAACUAAAUUCAUUUUUGCUCAAGGUUUGCUGUUUGACAUAUAAUAUCAAAAAUAUAUUUCAAAACUUCACCGCUACAUAUUUACAAUACCCCGCAACAUUGCACGAGAAGUAGCAAAGCUUUUGCUGUUCACAUACCCGUCUGAGCACCUGGGAAAGCCUACUCUCCCAUCUAAUACUGUACAAUUAAGUUAGGUCAAUAUAUCCAACUUCCAUGAUUUUAGGUAUGUGAAUGUGAAUCCACCAGUUGCCAAAUGAAGGACACGAAAGAAAAAGGAAAUAAGUUAACCACGCGGGCAGGAUUGAGAGAUGUGUAUUUUUGCAGGCUACGUAAUGUCUCCGAAUAUAUAGUCAUGAGAUACGGUCCACAAACAAAUGUACGACCAUUCAGUACUCAUUUUCCCAUUUGUCAACUAGGCAUAUUGCUGCAUUACUCAAUUGCAUUCAUUUAACUAUAUGUAAUUUAUUGUUGGAUGACGUACACAUUGCAUCGUAUAAUGUACAUAGAAAUUUCAAUAUUGUUACCGGUACCCACAUGAUCUCGUGAAACAAUAUUUCGAACAAUCUUCUAAAUCUUCUUGAUAAAUAUGCCAUGCACUUGGUACCAAACUAAAAAGCAUUCCGCAACUCUCCCGCUAUGUAAACAUAGUCGACUUGCUAUAUUACUAUCUUUACGAGCUUUUGGAGAAUCGAAGUCGCAAUGUCAUCCAAUAGCAGGGGAUCGAGAAGCAAGAAAAACAUAUUUAGCAAAGCAUGGAACGUGUUCAAGGGGAAACGGGGUUCUUGAGAAGUCUCGUCUAGCAGGACCUAUUGAGAUGUCACCACGUCACCGGUAAGCUCAUUGGUAAAGCCUAUUAAAUUAAUGUCUCGAGUUUGAAUUUGGAUAAUGAUUUGUAAAUCGAAUUUAUUGAUAAAAAUUUUUCAAAUAAAUUUUAAAUUGGAUGAAAAAAAAUUCGUUGGAUUCUUGAAGAUUUAUGAAGGAGGAAAUAAUAGUAUAAAGGAAAAAGGGGAGCAAAGUUUUCUUUAUCUGAGGAGGAGGCCGAAUAAGGUUUGUUACAUGGGGCCAAAGUCAAGUCUUGACUUUUGGGCACACAUAUAAAUAAAAGGCAAGUCUCCGGGAAGAAAAGCUGUCCAAACCUCUCUGCACGUGGAGCCGAAAAAAGAGCUGGUGAGCCCAAGUCAGAUAUUUGAAAAAAGAAUUGGUGAGCUCAGGUCAAAUAUUUGAAAAAAAGAGUGGUGAGCCCAGGUCAAAUAUUUGACCUUUGGGCUCACGAAUUUCCCUUUUUGGUGUGCGUGAAACGGCUUAAGAAAAACCCCCCACGAAAUAAAAGGAGCCGCCGCAGUCGUACAAGUGAAAAAGGAGCCGCACGUAGGAGAAUAUAGAAGCCACGGGAAGCUGUACAUAGAGCGUUUUGUUUUGAGCUUUGAUAAUUUUAUACCGUGAGUUAUAAAAACUUUGAAUUUAAAGUUAAAUCUAGAUAUAGAAAAUAUUUGAGCAUGUAAGUGAUUGUAAACUCUGAUUCUCUAAUUAUAGUGGAUUAUUUGCUGCUGAAUCUUCCCGUAGACGUAGGUACCGAUACUCGGACUGAAUUACGUAAAUUUCGGAUAUCCUUAUUAUUUCUCGUUUAUUUCUUUGGUGAUUUCGCGUUGAUGUAAAUUGCAAAAUCAUGUUGUUUCCGCGUAUUAUAUUUCAACAGAGCCUCAACGGAACUAUCGGGAUGUUGCCACGUCUCCGGUGAGCUGGAGAUCCUCAAGCAAGUCCCAGUCCCGAGUGAGUUCUCGGAGCUCACUGAUGGAGUCUCAGCGGAGAUCCUCGAGUGUCAGCCAAAGCGACGACCAUUAUUACAAUUCUAGUGAAGACAAUCCAUGGCGAGCAAGCUACAGGCAUGGCGCUCUCGCCUAUCGUGGUGAUUACGAUCAAGUGCGAGUGAGAUCGUACCCGUGACCACUCCGGCAGGAAUAUGAUUAUUUUUAUCACACUAGUAUGGGGCAGUAUUAUUCUUGGGGUCUUGACAAUGUCAAUAGUUACGUCCAUGACGACGCGUCUGUUCCACCAUAUCUGCCCCCGCAUACUUCUUAUGGUUAUCACCGUCCAUCCGAGUCUCCCCCGAAUAAUUGUGCGGUGAUGUGAGAUGCCUAAUAUAGUGUGGCUAUAGUUGGUAUUUACUAAUAUCUGGUGAAGUACGGGAUGAGCUAGGGGCAUGGUUGAGCCAUUGGUUUGUUAGCUUUCGCUUGUGAAUCUCAGUGAAGUUUCUUGUUUUAGUUAGUGGUUUCGAACGUGAUGGAGUUUGAUUGAAAUCGCUUUGCCAGUUAACGAAGGUUAUAUACUUAUUUUAUGAAGUUUCAUCUAGUUCGUAGAUGCUAAACAUUUCUAUUAAAAUUUUACUAAAAUUAAGGGCACUUAAUUCCAUCAAUUGUCUAGGGUUCUACUUCUAUGAACAGAUGUUCCCUAACCAAUCAUUUAUCACAAAAACUAAACCAAAUGAAAAACGAUUUAUAAAAAUAGUAAAAAAAAAAAGAAAAAGAAAAAUUGGCCACGCCAUUCCUUGGAAAUUCUUCAUUCUUCAAGGAAGACCUUUAAGGAUCCAAGCUUUCUUGUGAUCCUUCGUGUUCAAACUUCAAGUAGCUUUGAAUGUGCAGAUAUACAUUGAAAUUCGUCUUUCCAGAUGCUUAUGGCAUCUCCAUUGAGAUGCAUAUACAUGGAGGAAAAACUUUUCAAGCUCAUCCAUUUAAAAAUUGGGCUUCUUGCUUGAUGAAAUUCAGUGGACAAAGACGAAAGAAAACGUUUUCAGUUAAAAAGAUCAAAACCGAAAAUAUUCUCCACUCAGUCCGUCGGAAGCAAUUGAAUUGUUGAUGUAUCGACAUAAUAAUAAAACAGGAAAGAGAUUUAUUUAUUUCAAUAUCUUCUUUAGUGAAAAAUAUAGUAAUCUAUUUAUAAAUUUUAUGAAGUGACUAUCUGAAAUAACAAAAUAUUACACAUAUCAAUGACGAUCAAUGAAAAACCAUUCAAUGAUAUGCAUAAUCAAAUGAACAUAGUGCACAAUUAUGAUAGAUAUACAAAAUCAAUGGAGAUUUAAAGAAUCUACUUUAUAUAGAGACAUAGAAGAAGUCAAUUGCAGGUUGGUGCCUUAGUGAAUAUAUUAGCAGUCUUAUCAACUGAAGAAGUGGAGACAAGAUGCGCAAUGUCACGAAGCACGUGAUACACGUGAAACGAUAGUCUCUUUCAAUAUGUUUGGUGCUUUUAAAAAAAAAAACAUUAUUAUAUGCUUUUUGGAUCCAAUUGUCCUAAUAAAUAAGUAUUCUGCCGUUAAGAUGACACUUAUAUGUCCUCUAAUAACCAUUACAAAUACAGUAAUUUUGAUGUUGUAUUAGCAAAAGCAUGAUAUUCAGCUUUCAUGCUAGAUGGAGCGACAAUGGUCUAUUUAUCGUUAUGCUAUAAGAUAAGUGAGUUACUUAGAAAGAAGCAGUAGCGUGUAGUGAAGUAAUAAUCAAGAGGGUCUCCUGCCCAAUGAGCGUUAGAUUUAGUUAAAAAGAUUGAACUGAAAAAUGAUCUCCACUCAAUCUGUUGAAAACAAGUGAAUCACUUAGUUCAAUGGAAGAAUCGCCACAUGAAUAAUGGGUAAGGGAUUUUGUCUCAGGGAAUAAACUAUGAAUCCAUUAAAGCUCCAUUCGUUUCACGAAGCACAAUUUCCAGAAAAGUACUUUUUGGAUUUUCUGACAUUCAUUUCCUAAAAAAUGAACUAAUUGUGAAAAGCAUUUUCCAUCGACAAAAAGAGUUUUCUAAAAUAGAGAAAAUGGUUUCCACUUUUCAAGAUGAAGAAAACAUUUUUUCUUACUUAGUUUCUCUUAUCUCAUACCUAUGUCAACCUUUUCAUCUUUUUUCCUUGAAAAAAAUCGAAUUUUCAAUUAUUUUUCCUUUUCUUGUUUUUCACUUUCAAGCUCGAAACUCAUUGGAAUUUGGCGAGUCUUAAGCUCGCCUUUGGCCAGUCGCUGGCCAUCACCAUGGUUGAUCAAAGAAGAAGAAUAUAAAAAGAAAGAAAAGAAAAAGAAAAAUUAAAAUAAUUUAAAAAUCGAUUUCAAGAAAAAAAAUUUAAAAAAAAUUAUUGAAAAAGAGUGCAUGGAGGAAAACAUUUUUCUUAUCGAACAACAGAAAAUAUUUUAUAAUUUAUUUUCAAAUUUCAGUUGCACACUACAAAAUAUAGCUACCUUCUUGAAAAAUGGUUUCCUAGAAAAUAACUUUUGGAAACAUCACAUUUUAUGUGAAAAGAAUAGAAUCUUAAUUGAAAAAUGAUUCGUUUGACAUAGCCUGGAGAUAGGCUUCUUUGUCCAUUGGCAACUAGGAAUACAACCCCAAAGUGCCAUUAUUAUUAUUUUGCCCCAAUUUCAAAUGCAAAUAGGCCUUCUAUUUAUUUUAGGGAAAAUUGCAAAAAAGGGCUCGAAGUGUUCUCAUCUUCUCAAGUAAGAGCUCGAAGUGGACCUUAUUUCAAAUAAGCGCCUGAAGUGCUAUCACUUUAUCAAAUAAGGGAUUGAAUUGAAUUUUCUUUUGAAUAAGGGCUUGAAAUGGUUAUGCCCGUUUCAAAUAAGAGUCUAAAGUAAUUAUAUUUAUUUUAAAUAAGGGCUUUCUCUUCUUUUUUUCCCUUCCUUUUUUAUGGUUCUUCUUCUUCCUCUUCAUCGGUGGUCAAAAGGUUGGGCGAGGAUCGUCUUCACCCAAUUCGGCGAGUGCCACCCGUAUCAACCAAAAGUGAGGAACGGGUUCACCUAGGUGAGGCCACCCUUGCGGCCAUUUGCAAGGGCUCGACAACCUCGUCGGCCACGGGUGAGGGUGGCCUCGCUCACAAUCAGCAAGGGCUUGCAGGCCAUUGUUAGCCAUUCCUAGUAGCUAGCAAGAUCGUUGACCCCUUGCAAAGAAAAAAUAAGAUAAAAGAAAAGAAAAUUUGGAUGAAAACUUCUUGGCUGGUUGGAUAAUUUAGUUGGCCGACAACCGCCGAAGUCGGACCAUUAUUUAAAACAACAAUGGCUAUAUCAAUGCCUUUAUUUAAAACAAUUGAUGCCAUUUCAAAUUCUUAUUUGAAAUAAGGUCUAUUUCGGGUUUUUAUUUGAAAAAAUGAGGCACUACAAGACUUUUUUUUGAAAUUUUCCCUUUAUUUUAUUUUAGGUUGCAAUUCAUGCCCGUGGACUGAACUAAAAUAUACUCUUUCUCUCUCUCUCUUUUUUUUUUUUUUCAACUUAAAAAAGCCGCUUGAUCAAAUAUUAUUUAUCUUUAGCAAAUGCACCUUGAAUCAAGGGGGAAAUGACUUCGCAUUUCUUCAGAAGUCUUCCAAACGCAAGUGCUCAUGUCAACAUUUGCAUCAAGAUUUCUAACCUUUCGUUUCGAAAAAGUAUAGUUGCUGCGAUUUUUCUUUUCGUAUUUUAUAAAAUAAAAAUAAAAAGUCAAAAACACACGGCGCAUCACGUUGACCAUCAACAGUCAAUGCAUGCCGAUCAGCAGGCGCUGUCCAUGUCUCGAUCUCAUCGUCACAAGCGAAGAAUGUGAACCAAGCGAUCAACCAUCGAUCUUCGAAGGAGAAGACUUCACAGAUUGCGCUUCUUCCGUCGGCGAUCGUCCUCACUUCCUCUCCAAUCGCCUCCCAGCUUCCUCCUGCAUCCUGAAAAUCCGUAUGGCGGCGGCGCUCGUCGGCGGAGCAUUUCUCUCGGCUUUCCUCCAGGUGCUCUUCGAUCGGAUGGCCUCCCGCGAGGUCGUCGACUUCUUCCGGUCGCGCAAGCUCGACCAGGGGAGGCUGCUCCAGAAGCUGGAGGCUGCGCUCCUGUCCGCGAACGCCGUGCUGGACGACGCGGAGGAGAAGCAGAUGACCAACGACUCCGUCAGGAAGUGGCUCGACGAGCUCAAGGACGCCGUGUACGACGCCGACGACCUGUUCGACGAGAUCGCCACUGAAGAUCUGAAGUGCGAAGCCGGGGUCGAGCCUCGGGCUCUCGUUUCUAAGGUCUGGAGCUUUGCUGCAGACGCUCGUAGGAGUAAAUUGGGGGAUAAGUUAGAGAGGGUUCGGGAGAGAUUGGGGGAUAAGUUAGAGAGUAAAUUGGGGGAUAAGUUAGAGAGGGUUCUGGAGAGAUUAGAGAGCGUGGUGAAGCAGAGAGAAGUGCUGGGCCUAAGGGAAGGCAUUCGCAGGAGGACGGCUAGAGCUUUGCCGACCACUUCGUUGGUCGAGGAAUUGGGAGUUUUCGGGAGGGAGAAGGACAGGGAGGCGGUGAUCGACUUGCUCUUGUCAGAUCGGGGCGAAAAUAACACCAGCGUGAUGGCCAUCGUUGGGAUGGCCGGUGUCGGUAAGACAACGCUAUCUCAGCUCGUGUUCAACGAUGUUGCGGUGAAGGGGAGUUUCGAGUUGAGGGCGUGGGUUUCCGUGUCCGACCAAUUCGACAUCUGCAAGCUGACGGCGACGGCUCUCGAGGAGUUCUCCUCCCCGUCUAAGAAGGAGACCGAAAAUCUCAACCAGCUUCAGCUCCAACUGAAGGACUUCUUGACUGGGAAGAAAUUCCUAUUGGUGUUGGAUGAUGUUUGGAAUGAGGACUCAAAUCUUUGGGAUGCGUUCCUAGUUCCAUUUAUCUAUGGAGCAAGAGGCAGCAAAAUCGUCGUGACGACACGAAAUGAAAAUGUCGCAUCGGUUGCUCGUGCCUUCUCGAAAUACUAUUUACAGAAGUUACAAGACAAGGAAUGUUGGGACUUGUUCGCAAAACAUGCAUUUGACGAGCAUAACUUCGAGGCGCGCACGAGACUUGAAGAAAUCGGGCGAAGAAUUGUAAAGAGAUGUGAUGGAUUGCCUCUUGCGCUGAAGACUAUAGGUAGCUUGUUACGCGGUGAGUCUGAUAUCAGGAAGUGGGAAAAUAUUGCAGAGAGUUAUAUUUGGAAUUUGGCACCUGGAAAGAAUGGAAUUCUCCCUGCGUUGUUGUUAAGUUAUCAUUACCUUCCUCCACAACUGAAACGAUGUUUCGCUUAUUGUUCACUCUUCCCAAAGGAUUGUAUAUAUGAGAAGGACCAGCUGAUCUUACUUUGGAUGGCUGAGGGUUUGAUAGAACAACCUAACGACAGCAGGACAUUAGAGGAGGUAGGUGAUCAAUGCUUCUGUGAUCUUGUGUCUAGAUCUUUGCUUCAUAGAGUAAGUGAUGUCGAAUCAAGCUUCUCGAUGCAUGACCUGGGAGUAAGCGAUGUGAAAUCGAGCUUUUCGAUGCAUGACCUGGUCAAUGACUUAGCAAGAUAUGUAGCUGGUCGUUCUUUUUUCAGCUUGGACGGAGGCAAUGCACACCAAGUGUCCUCAAGCACUCGCCAUUUGUCAUUUGUAAGAACUCAAUGUGAUGUCGCUUCCAGAUUCAAAGUGCUAGCCGGGGCAACGAAUUUGCGUACUUUCCUGCCGCUGAACGUGGAUCAUGUGAGAUUUCGCGAGUGCAAUUUGUUGACUGAUGAGGUACUGCAUGUUCGGUUGCCGCCCCUGAGACAGUUAAGGGUGCUAUCUUUGUCUCAUUAUUGGAAAAUCUCUACGUUGCCCAGUUCAAUUGGACGUUUGAAGCAUCUGCGCUAUUUGAAUCUCUCCCAUAAUGAUAGUCUAAUCAGAUUGCCUGAUACAAUUACAGCUCUAUACAACUUGCAAACCUUAAUUCUUGCUUACUGUUGUUCUCUCGUUGAGUUACCGAGCAACAUGGGCAGCCUAACCUGUCUGCGUCAUCUUGAUAUAAGGAAGACAUCCCUGAAGAGAAUGCCACAGGGGAUGAACAGACUGAAGAAUUUGCAGAUAUUAACUAAUUUCGUGGUGGCCAAAAACGAUGGGACUAGGGUUAGGGAGCUAGGGGAGCUAGGGGAUCUUAUGGGUACACUCUCCAUACAGGGUUUGCAGAAUGUUGAUAGUUACCGAGAUGCUGAGACAGUCAAUUUGCGGGAAAAGAGGUACUUGAAAAAGUUAGUACUGCAAUGGGGUUCUGAUAACAAUAUUAUGCAGCAAAAUUGCUUAAAUGUAUUGGACGAGCUGCAACCUCACUGGAACUUGAGAGAGCUUAUCAUUACAUCCUAUAGUGGUAGGUCAUUUUCCAAUUGGCUGGGACACAGUUCAUUCUCUAAUAUGUCUGUCGUGCGUCUUGAGACAUGCAAGCACUGUGUGUCAUUGCCUCCUUUAGGACAGCUACCAUCUCUGGAGAGGUUGAUAAUCGAAGGAUUUGAUGGAGUUACAAGUGUGGGUACUGAAUUCAAUGGUAGUAACUGUAUACCUUUUCAGUCACUAAAGUACUUGGAAUUUGCUGACAUGCACAGUUGGAAAGAGUGGGCUUCUUUUGCAAUAGAGACAAGAGGUCUUACCUUUGCACAUCUGCAGCAGCUUUGUAUUAGAAAUUGCCCGCGGUUGAGUGGAGGUUUACCCGGCCAUCUCCCUUCUCUAACAACCUUGUCCAUU
RNAcentral lists this long non-coding RNA (96766 nucleotides) under Eucalyptus grandis. RNAcentral's name for it is "long non-coding RNA (EGRA_LNC004617)". The record is from RNAcentral. Lineage: Eukaryota; Viridiplantae; Streptophyta; Magnoliopsida; Myrtales; Myrtaceae.